CAUGUAUAUAGAUCCAAUCUAACUAAGCCAAGUACAUAACUAUGAUAAACUAAGAACAAUAUAAUCUUGAAUAUAAGCAAGUAGAGCAAAGUCAUAAGCAAUAUAUUGAAGUAGAACAAAGUCAUAUUCAUAAUAUUGAAGAACAAAGAUAAUUAGAAAGCAAUUAGAAGCACAAUUAGAGAAUUACCAAGAAUCCUCUUGACAGAUCCGUAAACCAAUCGAAGAUUGACUCCUUCUAGUUCUAAUCCUAUGUAGCUAUGCUAAUCUAGAUAUCUAAUUGAUGUGGUGGCUCUAAUCUUGAUCAGAGGCUUCUUCUCCCUUGAUGGAACAAUGAAUUAGGGUUGAGAGGCUCUCUCCUCCAGGGGCCAGGGGGUCUAGUUUUAUAGUCCAUUCAAGUGAAUAUGGGCCCUUGGAUCAAACCGACAUAGAUUGUAUGGUUUAGAUUCAUCCUUUAGGUCGGUGGAGACUUCCCGCAAAGCAGAGUCCUGAUUGGACUUGGGAGCAGGGCGGGCGCCCUGUCUCUGGCCCCGAUUCGCCUCCGCUUCGGUCUCGUGGCUUCUGGAGUCUUCUAGAUGUAAGAUAAUUGCGCAGUACGUUAAUACCUUUACGUAAUCCUGACAUGUGGGCCUUUCUUCCAUAUUUCCUAAUAACCCCCUGCAGAAAUAGACAAACACCAAAACUCGUGGAAAUCUGUCAGAUAAAACCCUAAGUCUAGAUCUUGAAUUCAUUUGGAUCCUUUUCUUUAUUUAUUUGAUAAUUAAAUUUGAUACUUAAGGACCGUCAACAAACUCCCCCAAGCUUACCUCUUGCUCGUCCCUGAGCAAGGAUAGACUCAGCUAUGGAUCAUAAGUUGUUGCUAUAUUUUAAAAAUUUGACGGUACACAUGCUUUUAAAUAAGAUCUCAUCUCUGAGUUAGAGUAAACUGUCAAGACUUAAAACUUACUUACUUUACCUACACCAUGGGACUUGUAACCGUCACUUCUGUCUUGAGUGGUUAAAAGAUAGAACAGUCUAGCCAAGUGCCAUGUCUCUUAUUCUUGAUCAGCUAUAACUCUGGGGUUUUUUGCAGAUUUUCAAAUAACACUCAGAGAUUCCUUGUAUGAUUCUCUCAGGUCUCUCUUUUGUGGUAUUUUUGGAUCAUUACCAAGGCAUUGAUGGUAUAUGCCUUCUCUCAUGAUAUGUAGUAUUUGUGGUAUAAGGCAUAGUGACAUUGCCUUCUCUCUCACCCUACUCUAAUAAGGCUUUAAUAUCUGGAGCUCAUAGGUGGGAGAUAAAGUAUACAUACUUACAAGACAUUUAUUGCAUAGUCAAACCAUGGAUCCAAAGUAACAAGUCAAUAAGCCAAAUCAAGAUGUGCAUGUGUGGCGAAUGAAUGGUGUAUGGUGAUGAUGGUGAUAACAAUGGUGAAAACAAUGGUGGUGGAAGUCUAAUUCUACUUUGCUCUUUUGAGGGGAUACAUACCUUCCUUGCUUUUGAAACUUUAUGAGGAGAAUGAGAUGCUCUUCUUUUUCUUGUCUCUGAGGUGGGUAUCUUGUACCCCUAAUUCUACUGUCGGACACUUGUCCAUUUUUACCUCUCGUCUCACUCUUUCUUUUCUUUCGAGGUUCCGAGCACUUGCUCCUUUUUAUUUCCUCGUAUAUUUUUUUAUUUUCUUUUUUUUAGAGCACUCAUCUCUUGAGAUAAUAUAGCAAGUGGUAGUAACAAGAUAACUUGAGCAUUUAGUUCACAAGGGGAAACAGAAAUAUUUUUGGUUAUUCUCUCCCGGAUUAGGAGUAGAAUAUUUUUAGGUGGUUCUGGAGAUGGAAAUGGAUGGAUAUAUGUGGAUGGUACUUCCGGAGUAGAAGUAGCAUAUAUGAGUGAACGUGCAAGUGAAAUCUUGAUUUAACCACAUGACAAGCUCCUAAGGGUCUACACAGCUUGACCACACUCAAUGCUCAUAAGCAGUAAAUAGUAAAUGUGUGGCUCAAAGUCUAGCAAGCAUGUAUAUAUGGCUGUGGUAGGAAUUUAAGCUCUCAUCAUACAGGAACUCAUCAUGUAACAUUUUAAAGAUUUUCAAAGAUAAAAUUCUCCAGAAUUCUAGCAUCUCUAGGAACAGAUAAACAGCAGCUCAACCUUCCCAUAUCGUAUCCAUUAACAACUUAGACUUCAGAUCAAGUUUUCAUCCCACAAGUUUAGGUCUAGGGCAAGCUUUAAAUUAUAAUAGUUAUAUCUAAACUUGAGAGAGAACUUAGAAUGUGCAAAUUAGACAGAGCAACUAUUUAUCAUAUCCAUCCUUAAGUUUUAUUUAGAUACAGAUUAGCAUAGCCACUUAAACACACUAAGCAAAAGACAUAUAUAAGCAUAAAAUCUUUAUUUGGUUUUCCCAUAGUUUAUGUGUAUUUUAAUAUUCUAAAAUAAUAUAAGUAUAAAGAUAGAUAGAUAUACUUAUCGAGAUAAAUGGGGGUGCUCUCCCCCAAGCUGAAUUUUGACGUAAUUUCUCUUGAUGUAGCUAGCAGGUGGCAGAGGUGUAGUUGAAAGUCAGCAGCAUUCUGACAGCGAUUAGAAUGUCCUCCGUCUGCUAGUCUUCUUGAUUCUUAAAUUCUGUGGAGCUCAAAUAGACAACAUAGCUUGUGGAACUGAUUAAGUGUUAGCAUAAAUAUCUAGCCUUUAUCAUGUUGAGACUCCUUAAUAAUUGUUACUCCCUGUUUUUAUAUUUUUUUAUUUUAUAAAGCAGAAAUGAAAUAUUUAUUUUAUUUUUAUGCCACCAUAGUGAAUGUACUUAUGGGUUUUAUGCCACUCGUCUACUCACAUGGGGCUUACAGUUUUUUUCACAUUUUUACUUUCUAUUUAGGAUAGUGCGAACAUGAUUAACUAAGUAAACUAGUUGAAAUAAUUAAAAGGGAAAGGGUAACUACCAAGUUUACCUCUUGGCAGGGUGUUCGGUGUUUUUAAGUCCUCCGAACGGGACUCUCCAACUUCUUAAUCGUCCUGAGGUUCGUUGGGUGGCGAAGUCGGUACUUCCGGUAGCGCCUCCUCUUCAUGUAUAGUUAUCUUCAUUUUCCAUACCUGACUCGGUGCUUCAAUCUCCUCUGGAUAAUUCUGUUUAAACUCUACGUCUUCUGACCUUACAACUUCUCCUUCAUAGUCUGCCCAUCCGUCCUUGAUGAUUUGCCUCCUCUGGUUGCGGUUGCGUCUCUUUCUGACCUGCUUAGAUUCUUCAAUGAUAUAGUUAGGGUCAGUAAAAUAACGGCGUACCUUCUCUGAGGGGAAGUGCAUAUGGACUUCUCCGGUUCCAAUGUAGAUAAUUGCUUUAACGGUGCUGAGGAACGGUCUUCCAAGGAUGAUGGGUGGAUCGUACUCGUCUUCUCCCAUGUCAAUAACUUGAAAGUCUGUGUAGACAAAGUGAUCAUCUAUUUUGACUGGGACAUCAGAUACUAUUCCUUGAACUUCUCGAAAUGUCUGAUCUGCCAUCUGGAGCUGAAUGUAUGUUGGUCUUAGUGGCAUGGUCCCGAACAAGAGCCGAUAAGUGACUGCGGCCAUUAUGUUGACGCCCGAUCCGGUGUCGCAAAUCGUCUUGUAGAAGUUAUAUCCAUUUAUGGAGCAGUAGAUGCUUGGCAUUCCUGGGUUGUCCUUCUUGGUCAAAAACGGUGACUUAAGUUGGUGAUCUUGGCCUCCAUGGACUACAGUGACCAUCUUAGCUGACUCGGUCCACACUUGCUUGUUCAUGUUUCUCCUGUUGGUCCUCUUCCUUGAUUCACGUCUGGAUUGAUCUGGAAUUUGUGUAGUCUUGUUCUUGAAGAAAAAUGUCUCCUUCUUCCCUUUGACGUAGAAACUAAUCUUGGCAGCACUAGCGUAGAUGAUAGCUCCCGUGGUGUUCAAAAAUGGCCUUCCUAGGAUGAUAGGUGCUCUCUCAUCAUUUCCGGUCUCAACCACUACGAAGUCUGCUGGGGCAUACAAGGUACCAACUCGGACACAAAGGUUCCUCACUAUUCCUUUUGGAACAGUUAUCGUCUGAUCUGCAAACUGCAAACACAUGGUUGUCUCUAAUAAAGGAUAUGUAAAAUUUUUUUCAUAGAGUACCCUGGGUACAAUGUUGACGCUAGAGCCAAAGUCACAGAGUGCUUCUGGGAAGUCCACCAUGCCGAUGGAGAUCGGGAUGACGGGGCGUCCUGGAUCGCCUCUCUUGACCGGCAGACGGUCAGUAGAAAAUUUAGUGACGGGGUUACUCCAAUUACCUGCAUCAAACACGUCUACAAGAUUUGCAGAUUCUAAUCCUUCCGGUUGUGAUGGUAUACCGAGGUUAGUAGUAGGAACAGCAGCAGCUAUUUGAUUUAAUUGAGAUUCAAUCAUUUUAUUAAAGCUAAUUUGAUUCUUGAUGGCAGUAGAGAAAUUAUCCAUUCUAUUAUUUAUAUUUUCUAGCAUUUUAUCAUUUGAUGCCAAUUUCUUAGACAGGUUAUCCAUUAGCUUUCCUUUAUUAGACACUAACUCUCUCAAAGGUGGAAAAUUAUUAUUAUUGUUGUAAGAAUUAUUACCUUGAUAAUUACCUGAGUAGUUAGGCCUCUGUUGAUUCCAACCUUGAUUUUGUUGAGGACGGUUGUAGUAGUUGUUGUUGUUGUUGUUGAUGUAGUUCACAUCCUCAAGCAUCUCAGGGCAGUGGUUGCCUGAGUGUCCAGUGUCUCCACACUCCUCACAAGUCAUGUGAGAGUCGUAGAUGUGCAUAACUUCUUUCUUGUCUCCAGCUCUAUCGUCGAGCUUCUUCAUGAGCAGGUCUAGCUUUGCAGACAGCAUGUCUACCUCCUUCAGCUGAUGCAUACCUCCACCUCUCUUGCGUGUCUGGGUCCUCUCUUCAUUCCAGCUUUGGGUGGACGCCAUCUUCUCCACAAGAGCUGUGGCUUGUGGUAUAGUAAGUGAUAAGAAUGCUCCUCCAGCUGCAGCAUCCAUGGUCUCUCGGGCACUGUUGCUGAGCCCAUGAUAGAAUGUCUGCAUCAGUAGCCAACUCUCCAUUCCAUGAUGGGGACAUUCUAGGAUGUAGUCUUGAAAGCGCUCCCAUGCUUCUAGAACAGAUUCAUCAUUUUGUUGCUGAAAACUUGUAAUCUUCCCACGUAGAGCAUUGGUCUUGCCCAUGGGAAAGAACUUAGCCAGGAAGUUUGUUGAGCAGAGUGCCCACGUAGUAUUCUUCUCCUUUGUAGCGUAGAACCACUGCUUCGCUCUUCCUAACAGUGAGAAUGGGAAGAGGCGAAGUAGUAUAGCGUCUUUGGAAACUCCUGCUAUGGUGAAUGUGUUGCAAAUCUCCAGGAAGUGUUGUAAAUGAGCACUAGCGUCUUCGUGUGCCUUCCCACAGAACUGGUUGGAUUGCACCAUGUUGAUAAGUCCAGGCUUGAGCUCAAAGUUGCCAUCGAUCUCUGCAGCAGGUCCAGUGCGGAUGUUGUCCGUAGUGGGAGCUGAGAACUCGCGGAUUGAUUUGUUCGCCAUGGCCUCGAACUCUGAAGACAAGUUCCGGUGAUCUUCUUGAUUGGAUGAAGCUUCUUGCUGAAGUGUUGAUGAUUUCUUUAGCUUGGCUCUCGUCUUCUUGAAUAAUGCUUCGGGAUUGUCAACAAAAUUUCCUAGAAGAUGUCUUCUAUUCAUACAUUCCCCUGCAUAAGAUAAAAUAGAAAAAUAUCGGGGUAAAACUGUAUGAUAGAAUAGAUAAGAUCAAUCAUAUUAGUGAUGCGAAUGAUAACUCAAAAUCUUUUAUUCCAUUCCUGAUUAGUAAUCAACCUUCCCCGGCAACGGCGCCAAAAAUGCUUGUUGGGUAUUCUUAACAUCAUUACCAAAAGUAGACUAAGUUCUCUAAAUCUAGUAACGGUGCCAAAAAUGCCAAACCUAUCCCUCACACCACUUAAGCCAAGUUGUCAUCCCCAGCAUGAUAUGAGAGACGCGGUAUUCAAAUAUGCAAUUGCUCUUCUAAAUAAAUAAUAAAUUGGAUCUGCAAGCGCACAGAUUAAUACAGAUGCAGCAUUUUAACCGGGAAGUAUUCCACGUAUUGUUAUUUAUAUUUUUACCACUGGGAAGGGAUUAGCAAUCGUCACUAAUGAUUACAGAAUAGAAUAUGAGAUUGAGCAUCUAUCAUUGCAUGUAUAAUUGAGAACAUUAUAUCUAACUCUUCAUACAGGGAUAAGUGUCACAUAAAAGAUAUUUGAAAUAAUAAUAGUGACAAGGAUAACUAAUCUGAUCUAGCCACAUAAUAAAUAUGAUAAGCACCUCAAUUAGAUACUCUAGAAAGUCAUUAGCAUGGUAUUAGAACGAACUACAAGAAUAUUCCCUAAGUUAUUCUCAACUAUAUAGUCUAGCAUAUCAUAGUUAGUGCAAGCAUACUUAGCAAUCAUUGCGAGACAAGACUAUGCCCAUGCAUAGUGAUAUUAGCAAGGAAUAUGAGAAACAUAGCAAUCACUCCCCUGUAAUAAUGUUGCUCUGCCAGCCCAAUACACGAGAGGGGGACUAUAUAAGAAUCAAUGAAGCUGUCACUAUCACGAACCACCCCACGAUCUGGCAUAUUGGGUACAAUCGCAGAUAAAUACGGUAUGAGCACCACGCCUACACAAUAUCUAUCAUUUACCCAUGGAUCCGAUGGAUAAACGCUAUACGAUCCUAAGCAUGUAUAUAGAUCCAAUCUAACUAAGCCAAGUACAUAACUAUGAUAAACUAAGAACAAUAUAAUCUUGAAUAUAAGCAAGUAGAGCAAAGUCAUAAGCAAUAUAUUGAAGUAGAACAAAGUCAUAUUCAUAAUAUUGAAGAACAAAGAUAAUUAGAAAGCAAUUAGAAGCACAAUUAGAGAAUUACCAAGAAUCCUCUUGACAGAUCCGGAAACCAAUCGAAGAUUGACUCCUUCUAGUUCUAAUCCUAUGUAGCUAUGCUAAUCUAGAUAUCUAAUUGAUGUGGUGGCUCUAAUCUUGAUCAGAGGCUUCUUCUCCCUUGAUGGAACAAUAAAUUAGGGUUGAGAGGCUCUCUCCUCCAGGGGCCAGGGGGUCUGGUUUUAUAGUCCCUUCAAGUGAAUAUGGGCCCUUGGAUCAAACCGACAUAGAUUGUAUGGUUUAGAUUCAUCCUCUAGGACGGUGGAGACUUCCCGCAAAGCAGAGUCCUGAUUGGACUUGGGAGCAGGGCGGGCGCCCAGUAGGACAGGGCAGGCGCCCUGUCUCUGGCCCCGAUUCGCCUCCGCUUCGGUCUCGUGGCUUCUGGAGUCUUCUAGAUGUAAGAUAAUUGCGCAGCACGUUAAUACCUUUACGUAAUCCUGACAUGUGGGCCUUUCUUCCAUAUUUCCUGAUAACCCCCUGCAGAAAUAGACAAACACCAAAACUCGUUGAAUUCUGUCAGAUAAAACCCUAAGUCUAGAUCUUGAAUUCAUUUGGAUCCUUUUCUUUAUUAAUUUGAUAAUUAAAUUUGAUACUUAAGGACCGUCAACAAGCUUCAGUGCGCUGCCGUGAAGAACCUUCUCCUAGCUCUCCCGGCCAUCGCUGCUGCCUCGGCCGCCCCUGGGCGCGCCUGCUCGACGUGCGUGGCAGGCGGACCUCUGGCAACCCGACCUCUGUCGCUCGGGGCGACUUCCGGGCGGCUCCGAGGUCUGCGGACCAAAGUUGGGGCCGCCUCUUCUUCCUCAUUGUCGUCAUCUACAAUUAUGAUAAGCCGGCACCGCUUGGGCGCUCGGGUGUCUGAGGUCGACCCCUGGCCCAUUAUGGGACCUGUAGUUGCCGGCACUGCUUCUGCUGGAGAUGGCUCUGCAGCCAUUGGCCUCUUGCCGGCCACCCUGUCAUCGGUGGUCGGCGCUCGACGGUUCCCCUCGUCGCUGCUGGCGUAUUGGUCAACCCGGUCAGCGAUGACCGCUGGAGGAUCCACUCCGGCCAGAGGCUCCAUACCGGCGCUAGUGACACGUACACCGUUGCCCGGUCCACAUCUCUGAUCUACACCAAGAGCACGACAAAUCAUUAGCACAAGAAUAUCACAAAGGACUACAAUUAUGUUGGGAGCUAGACGACCCAGCUUAUAGGCAUGCAUUCGGUUGUCGCUUCUCACGAAGCUGCUGUCGCCCAAGUUGAACAGCUCGUUAAUCCUUUGCUGGAUCUCUGAUUUCUUGAGGUUCUCUGGACGCAGCCUGGUCGAAUCCUGCCCGCCUUGGUACUCAUAUGCGACGUGUACCCUUCUCUAACAGGGCAUCACUCGUCGAGCGAGGAAAUUCCCGACCACCCCUGGUCCAUCCAGGCAGGACCAGUCGAUCAGACUCAUCAACUAUGAUACUUGACCAACAUGCUCCGGCCGAUCUGUCCAGCUGACCCUCUUCUUGGCAAGGUGGCCAAUGUCGCAGAAUGUGGUGCUGCCCGGCUCCUCCCUGAUGUAGAACCAUCUCUUGUACCACUCGGUCAGGGAGGUGUUCCAUGGGCAGCUGAGGUAACGAUUCUUCAUUCUGUCGUGAAGAUUGAGGUAUACUCCACCUGCAAUCUUGGAGCCUCCAACCGCCCCCUUCUUCCUCAAGCAGAACAGGUAGUGGAAGAGAUCAAAGUGCGGCUCUAUUCCAACAUAGGCCUCGCACAAAUGAAUGAAGGUAGAGACAAGGAGAAUGGAGUUCGGGUGCAGAUUGCAAAUCCCGAUCUCAUAGUAAAGAAGAAGACCUUGAAGAAAAGGAUGAACGGGAACCCCAAAUACCCUUUUGAAAUAAUCCUCAAAAACUAUAAUCUCACCAAUGCGGGGGUCGGGGUAACUCUCUCCUUCUGGUGCCCUCCAGCCGCCGAGCUCCUGGUUGUGCAGAAGCCCCAUUCAGACAAGGUCGUUGAGGGACCUCGUGGUGCUCCGAGACUUCUUCCACUCUUUUGCCAUCAUCUCGGCCCUUUUCUUCGAAUCGCUCUUCGCCAUCUCCAUAGUAGAGCAAGCUUUAUAUCGGGUGUUGAGUGUUUAGGGGUGCUGAGGAUGGCGAUGGCAGGAGGCAGUAGUGGCAAAGGCAGGAGACUGGGAUGCAACUGCUCGGUAAAGAACAGGGACGCAACAUCGGGCCCUUUAUAAUAGCAAACCCACCUUUUCCACUUCCCGCCUUUUGGGGAAGUGGGCGGAUCUCGCGGCUGUCGUGGCUUUUCAGUUUUCAAGAAUUAUCGCAGUUAAUUUGGUAGCCUUUCUGAAUGAUUGCUGGUUUCUUUUUCUUGUUCCACGCGAAGAGCGGCUAUACAUUUAGAAGGCGUCCCUUUUUAUGCAAUAGACUGACAAGAUAACAGGAUACUCCGUCACAUCGCACAUUAAUAUGGCAGUACGAUUUUUUCAAAAGAUACGUAGGAUCUUUGGCCAGACAAACAUGAUAUGCUUGGGGACUGUACCGACCACCGAGCAUGAUAUGCUCGGGGACUGGUCGACCAGUUCGCCCAUUCGACAAUCCGGGGACUGUACCGACCACCGAGCAUGAUAUGCUCGGGGACUGGUCGACCAGUUCGCCCAUUCGAUAAUCUGGGGAGUGUACUGACCACCGAGCAUGAUAUGCUCGGGGACUGGUCGACCAGUUUGCCCAUUUGACAAUCUAGGGACUGUACCAAUCGUCGAGCAUGAUGUGCUCGGGGACUCGUUGGUCAGUUCUAUUCGCUGCAAAUAAGUGUAACACGUUCUCGGCUUGGAAAAUUCAAUUGCAUAACGUCUAAUCGGAUUACAUUUUAGACCUUGCUAAAAGGCUCAUACUUCGCCUUCCAGCAAGCUUGGGGACUACAUCGGUACGAUGCAUCUGGGGAUGCAUUUCAGUAUCAGAUUUUCUAUGUGGUUUUUUCUCUUUGGACCUUGGCACCACGUGCCUACGUCACCUACUUCCAGGCUCGGGGACUAAGUGGGCACACUUCACCUUACGGUGAAUAUGCUUGCUUUUUGAAAGUCUAUACUUUUCAGAAAAGUAAAGUGGGCACACUUCAUCGGGAAAGAAAUAUUUUUUGAUUAAGAGCACCAUGCAUUCUUCGAACAACCUGCUUCUUCGAUGUUCAUAUUGAUAAACUGACUUUUGAGUUGGUCAAAAUACCACUGCAACUGUUUGGGCGACUCUCCUGUUUAUUGAAGACGUCAAGCCUCACUGGUCGAAGAAGCUCAAGACCACGUGUUACAUCACAAUUCAUGGUGCUCGGGGACUAGCUGUGGGGGUAUAAACCCCUAUACCCUUACGGCCAGACUUGGGCCAGGAGGCUUGGCCCAUCGCGAGACAGAUUCGGGGCUUGAUCCAACUACUCGGAGUUUUGCGCAAGGAAACAAGACGUGGAGAUCAAGCAGGAUUCUAGUCGGUUAGAAUAGGAAUUGAUACCAUGUUAUCUGUGGCAAUUGUAACCGACUAGGAUUAGUUUCCAGAUCUGUAACCCUACUCUCUGGACUAUAUAUAGAGAGGCAAGGGAACCCCUUAGACAACUCAAUUCAAAACAAUUCGAUCCACAACAAUACAAUCAGACACAGGACGUAGGUAUUACACCCACACGGCGGCCGAACCUGGACAAAAACCUUGUCCGUGUCUUGCGUCACCAUCAAGUUCGUAGCUUGCGCACCUGUCUGUCGAUAAAGUACUACCGUGGGUAUACCCCAAGGUAGACUGCCGACUAGCUUUCGUCGACACACUUAAGCUAGGUUGUCAUCCCUAACAUGAUGUAGAAAUGCUAGUAUUAAAUCUAUAUGCUUUUCUAAGAAUAAAUAAACAAAAUAAAGGAUCUGCAAGAGCACAAAUAAUACCGAUGUAGCAUUUUAACUAGGAGUAUUCCAGGUAUCGUUAUUUAUAUUUUUACCACUAGGAAGGGACUUGCAAUGGAUAAUGAGCAAUGAGCAUUGCAUGUAAUCAUGGAGACCUUAACCAUGUCUUUAUCUAUCUCUCAUGCAGGGUAAGUGUCACAUAAGAUAAAUAUAUGAAUAUGAAUAAUAAGUGACAGAGGAUAAAUAAGAGUUCAUAGCCAUAAGAUAAACAUGAUAAUCAUCUCAAUUAGAUUACUCUAAGUCUAUAGCACUAGCAUGGUAUUAGGACAACUACAACAAUAAAUCUUAAGUAUCCUAACUAUACUGUCAAAGCAUACUAUGAUUUGUGCAAGUACACCUAGCAUCAUCACUAGAAAAGGGUAUAUCUUUCCAUAGUGAUAUUAGCAAGAAAGAUCAUGAACAUAGCAAGAACUUCCCUGUAAUAAUGGUGCUCUACAAUCCUUAUAAUGAGGAGAAGGAAUACAAAGGACUCAAUAGGACUGUCACUCCCUCGAUUUACCUCAAGCUCGGGACUAUAAGGGUAAUCGUAAAUAAAUACAGUCUAAGUACCUCGCCUACACAAUAUCUAUCACUUACCCAUCGGCCUAAUGAGUAAGCACUAUAUGAUCCUAUGCAUAAACAUAAUUCUAAUCUAACUACACUAAGCAUAUAAUCAAAGUAGAGUAAGAACAAUAUAAUUAAGAACAUAAGCAAAUAGAAUAAAGUCGAUUCUGCUAUAAUCAAAUAGAUCAAAGUCAUAUUCCUAGUGGCUUUAUUUAUAUCCUCUUCUCUAGGGGGGUCAGGGUCUUUAUUUAUAUCCCCCUAGGAAGCACCACAGCCCUUGGAUCAAACCGAAUUAAACGUACGCUUAAGAUUAAUCCUCAAAGUCGGUGGAGGUAGGAUCCAUGAGGUUCACCAUGAUUGGCUGAGCUCUUUGGGCGGAUGUCCCUGAUAGGGUGGGGCACCCGCCCCUGCCCUAUGGUAGGUGGGCCCCACAUUUUAGGUGGUGUCUUCUCGAGCCUUCUGGAGUAUUCCUAAGUUGACGUUUCACGUGUUCUCUCUAUGUAAAUAUGACAUGUGGACCUCCUUUUGUUCUUAUUCCAAUAACCCCCUGCAGAAAUAAGCAAUCACCAAAACUUGUGGAAUUUUGUUAGUGAUAACCCCUAUAACUAGAUAAUAUUUUGAUUUUAAUCCUUUCUCAUGCUAUGUUGACGAUUAGAAAGAGUACUUAUCUACCGUCAACAAACUCCCCCAAGCUUACCUUUUGCUCGUCUAUGAGCAAAGAUAGACUCAGUGAUGGAUCAGAAGUUGCCACAAUACUUUCACGCCUCACAAGUACACAAGCGUUCAAACAAAGACUCUCCUUUAUAGUGAACUAUUCUGACUCAAGACUCACCCAUAUUACCUUCAACCACGGAGCUUAUAGCUAUCACUUAGUUCUUGGUCAGUUGAAAGAUAGAACAGUUAAGUCGAGCACUAUGCUACUUACUCUUGGUCAACUAUUAUUCUAGAGUUUUGGAAGAUUUUUAAAUAAAACUCAGACUUUCCUUGUAUGAUACUCUCUAGUCUCUCAUAUGUGGUAUUUUUGGAUCCUCUCCAAGGCAAGUGAGUAUGCCUUCUGUCGAGGGUAUCAGUAAGGGGUACCCUAACUGACACACAUGACGAGAGCGCCCGUAUGUAAAUCGAGGGCCCCUGACUCGAUGCCCCACGGUCGCACGCAUAGUUAUCGACGACCGUAGCCUCGAACAUGGAAAGAGCGUCGUACGAAUCGACUAGGGCUCGAGCGCCGGCGACCGUCGAAUACGGAAACGGGCUCGUACGAAUUGGAGGGCCUCGAGCGCAAGGACGCCGCCCGCCGCCUAACGCGGGCACAGAAACCAGGGCAUUUAAUGCGCCUGCCGCGUUCUCACCUAACCCGUCAGUCACGGGAAGCGUGAUAGGAAACCAGCACCCGUCCAAUCGUUCUUUUUGCAGCCUUGCCCACCAAACGAGCCAGAGCAUGACAGGGAGCAGCGAGGUGGUCGAAACGUCCCGUCAAGACCCCCCUCGAGACGUCCAAAGUCAGUGCUAUGCUUUAAGCGUUGACCCUCGAGCAGGCGUGUUCCUUCCCAGAGAAGGGUCGAGCAACGGCGGACGACACCUCAACCACUCUGACGUGGCCGCAGUCGCGACAUACAAGCGUGCAACAGAUAAACCGGUCCAGGACGGCGCACAGGAGCAGGAUUCAGGGGCACGCGUAAUCAUCACCAAGGUACCAAGAAAAGACGGUUCGAGGCCAGGCCGGUACGGAGGCCCCGAGUAGGUCAGCGUGCCACACCCCUAUCGACCCCUACUCUGUCGCCUAUGCAUGUAACCUAAGUCUCCCCUUCGAACUAUAAAAGGGGAAGCUCAGGAGCAGAUACGGGACACAAGACACACGUAGUAGAGCAACCAUACUCCAUCUCCAUCCAUACCACGCCUGUAUUCACCCCUGUACAAGCACUUAGGUGCAAGAUAAUAGAAACUCCCCCCUCCCGCUGGACGUAGGGCCUUCUCUUGCUUGAACCAGGAUAAAUCUCUGUGUUUUUUCUUGCAUCACCAUCUGGAAAGGGGAGCACGCACUAGUUUUACUCGUUGGUGUGACCCCUAGGGGAAAAACACCGACACCUUCUCUCUGCUCUUAGAAUAUAUGGUAUUUGUAGGACUAAGACAUAGUUGCCUUCUCUAUCUCUCACCCUACUUCUAAUUGGCUUAUGUGGAGCUCAUAGAUAGGAAAAACAAUUCAAACCUACUUAAAUGUAUUGCAUAGUUAAACCGUGGAUCCAGAGAAACUAAUUAUACAAUCAAGUCAUAUGUGCAUGUUAGUGAAUGAAGUGAUAAGAAUGAAAGGGGUUAUGAGGGGUGAUAACUGAUGGUGAAUACCUAAUUCUACAUUUGCUCCAUGGGGAAACAUACCUCCCUAAUCUAAGAAUAAGGACUUGGCUAUCUUUCUUUUCUUUUGCAUUGGGACUUUUGUCCUUUUUCUUUCUUUUCUCAUUUUUUAAGAUCAACCAUCCCUUCUAAUGUACUGAUAACAACACGGAGUAUCAACUGAAAUAACUGGAGCUUUAUUGAAUAAGUAGAAUAAGAUAUAAUGGUAAUAGAUAUUUUUGGGUAUUCCCUCCUAGUGUAGAGUAGAAUAUUUUCUAAGUGGAUGUGGAAUGUAUAUGGGUGGAUGAAGGAAUGCGUACUCCUAGUGUAGGAGCAGCAUCGGUGCGUGUCUCUAGGAUAGAAACAACACAAAGUGUAGUGUGUAUAUGUGGGUGGUACUUCCAAGAAUAGAAGUAGCACAUAGUGAAUGUGGUGGAUGAAAGUGGUUGCGUACUUCUGAGGACAGAAGUAGCUAAGAUCAAUGAAUGGAGAGCACAUAAUAUUGACUUUAUGAUGCGACACAUUGUCCUGAUCUUCACGAUGUAGGAAGAACACCGAUAACUAGCUGAAGAACAGUCGGAUAACUUGCUGCAAGCAGCGAUAACUAGUGCAACCUGGCAAAAAAAACUCGAAACCAACCACCGUCUUUAACCGACAACCUGAAUCGAGGAUUCAACCAACCACACUCUCAAAGAACCAACCAACACAACCUACAAUCAAUCAAGGAAUAACUUGAAGGGAGUAGGAGCCCCAAUUGGGAGCGGAUGAAGCCGCCGCCUAUGUAAUCUCGCGAGGAAAUAAUAAGAGCAAGGGGUAGAGAUCACUCUCUGAAUAUUUGUUAGCACACAGCUAAACAAAAGGGGUUCUGUAUUUCAAUUAUCAAAGUCUGAGAUUACAAAGAGUCUUAGGAGGUAUUUAUACUAGCAACAGCCCUGCUAGAUAGGUAUGAAAACAAAAUAGAGUGUGUGAGGGAAGGCAAUGUGAAAGGUCCCCACGAAAUGGAUUCCCGAAGUGGCUUCGCGUGACUGUUGGCCUCCAGUGCAGUUUCCAAUAAACUAACCAUAACAUUUUAUUAUGAAGUCCAAAUGAUGAACUGUUUCUUGGGUGUGAAACUAGACUCAAAGGGCUUUUCAGCAAUGUAUGCCAACCAGCACGAUACAUUAUAGAUUGGUACAGUUUUACUUGGCAAGUUGUACCAACAUUCUGUCACGACAGACUGUUGACCUUCUGAGCAGCCUGUACUAAUUCUGGUCUGCAGGCAAUAUGGUAUAUCCAAACUGGUCACCACUAGAUUCUUUGGAAAGUAGACUCGACAAGCUUUCCAUCAAGUCCUCAUGGACCUUCAUAGCUUAAUAAAAAGUUAUGAAGAUUUCUUUGCACUAGUCCAUUUUUGACUUCCACUGGUCCGUUUUUGACUUCUUCUGGAACUUGCACUGGUCCGUUCUUCAGGUACGAUUCAUCCUUCUCUUCUUCUAUAUACCUGAGUACAAUUAAGGUACAACACUUAGGUAGUAUAUAAUUCUUAUUAAUGUUAAAAUGAAUCUCACAAAGUAGCGCGUGAACCUCUUGUUGUAGCUUCUUUGCACGAUUACGUAUAAUCGGUCCAUCGAUGACUUGGGCUGGUGUCGGUGUAGGUGAAACUUGAGUGGUUAUAGCUUGACUUGGAGCUUGUGACAUCUUGCUUGGUGGCGUGGUCAUAUCAUCCUCCCCCCUUGAAAAGGAGUUGUCCUCGACUCUGAACUGUCUAGCAGUUUAAAUGUUUUCUCUUGUACAAAAUGACCUGUUAGCUCACCUCCAUCUGAUUCCUGUAACCAAAGCAAUCUAACUGAAGAAUUUGGAACACACAGUUUGCUAGCUCUAAACAUAAAACUGUCAUGUAUGUAAUAAUUUUCCCAACCAUUUCCAUCUUUGCAAUGAUUAUAUGGUUCUAAAAGUUUAGCAUCAUUGUUAUACAGAUCUUUUAGACUUUCCAAACCCAAAACUUUUACCUCAAGUUGGUUCAACAACACACUCUUUUGAGACAAAGCAUCAACAACAACAUUGUCCUUACCUUUCUUAUAUUUCAGAAUGUAUGGAAAUGUUUCGAUGAACUCAACCCAUUUGGCAUGACGACGAUUCAGUUUUGCUUGUCCUUUCAAGUACUUCAAAGCUUCAUGAUUAGAAUGAAUAACAAACUCUUUUGGCCAUAAGUAAUGCUGCCAUGUUUCAAGCACACACACCAAAGCAUAUAAUUCUUUAUCAUACACAAAAUAAUUCAGUUGAGCACCUCCUAGUUUUUCACUAAAAUAUGCUAUAGCUUUUCCUUGUUGCAUAAAAACUUCUCCUAUGACAAUUCUACUAGCAUCACAUUCAACUUCAAAAGUUUUAGUGAAAUUAGGAAGAACAAGUACAGGUGCUUCAGUCAAACGUUUCUUUAUUUCUUGAAAUGCAUUUUGUUGUGAUUUUUCCCAUUUAAAGUCAACACCUUUCUUUGUCAAUUCAUUCAAAGGAGCAGCGAUGGUACUGAAAUCUCUCACAAACCUCCUAUAAAAACUAGCAAGACCAUAAAAACUUCUUACUUGACUUACAUUCGUUGGAGUUGGCCAACCCUUGAUGGCUUUCAUCUUGCUUUCAUCCAUGUUGACGGUCCUUAAUGCUCACAUUUAAUCGUCAACUAAUCAUGGAAAAGGACCUAUAUGCAACCAACAUCCAAAAUUAGGGUUUCAUCUGACAGAAUUCCAUGAGUUUUGGUGUUUGUCUAUUUCUGUAGGGGGUUAUCAGGAAAUAUGGAGGAAAGGUCCACACGUCAGGUUUACAUAGAGAUAUUCACGUGCACCGCAAUUAUCCAACAUCUAGAAGAGUCCAGAAGCCACGGGAACGAGCGGAAUGCCGAGCGGGCCCGGGGGCUGGGCGCUCGCCCUCUCCACUUGGGCGCCCGCCCAAGGCUCUCAGCCAAUUAGGCUCCAUCUCGCGGAUAAUGCUCCACCGACCUAAAGGAUUAAGGAAAACUGUGCGAUUAAGGUCGGUUGGAUCCGACGGCUCAUACUGAUUUGGAGGGGCUAUAUAAGCAGGCCCCCACCAGCCCCUCGAGGCAUAUCUCUUCUACAGAAUCAAAGCUAGGGUUUCAAUUAUUCAUCCAAGUAGAGAGGAUCCCUCUAGUUCAUCUAGUUCUAGUUCUAGUUCAUCUAGUUCUUGUUCUAGUUAGUUCUAGUUGUAAUCUAGAAAAUAGGGAGAGAGAAGAGGAGAGCGGAGGAGGAGCCGGAUCUGUCGGAUCUUCCUCAACAUUGUACUUUUGCAGCAACUGGUUCAUUCUUCAUCGUUCUCCAAGUUCUUCAAUUCAUAAUUCUUGAGUUCUUUAAUUACUUUUAUUUACAUUCAAGUUAUUUAUUGGAUUCCCUCUUGCAUCAAGUGCUCUAGUCUUUGCAACGCUAGAGUAGUAAUUAAUAGAUUAGAUGUGGUGUUUAGUCUUGCAAUUACCUAGAGUUACACCCAAUCCUACGGAUUGUUGUGGUAGCCCUAGGGUAGUGACGACCCUAACGGUCGAUGUAUUCCACCUCAUUCGGAUCGGUGUUUGUAGGACCAUAGUCAGAGCUUCCUAACCCCCAUCUCAUCUCUUUCUGUGGUUAAGGUUCUGAUGUCCCGAAAUAAAUAAUCUUUGAAGUAAUUCUUGAUUCUUAGAUCAACUAGAGAACUCUCAGGAAACUUCCUCUCUUCCCACCAAAAAUAAUUAUACAGUUAUCUUUGGGCGAUCUUGAAUCUUAGUUAGUACACUCACGUUCCCUGUGGAAAAUCGAUACUCUGGAAUACUCCUAGGUGAAAGCUACAUCUGUAUCCGUGCGCUUGCGGAAUUUUCUGUUUGCGUUUAAAAUACCCAACAAGCUUUCUGGCACCGUUGCCAUGGAACGGUAGCUAUGCUAGUUUCGAACCAAGUCGUCCGUGUAUCCUUUUUCUUUUCCUUUUUUACCACACUCACCUUACCAUUUUCACCAUACCACAUGGAUUUCACUCCUAUCUGUAAAUUCUUUGCUCCAAAGGGCGAGUUAUUAGAGCCACCACCAUCAUCACAUCCAAUUCUUACAGAUAGCUAUGACCUCGGCCCUGAUCUAAUAGCCAUGAUUCAGGAGCAACCCUUCUUUGGGCAAGUAGAUGAAGAUCCAUACACCCACCUUAGAGAAUUCCAGCAGUUGUGCUCUUGCCGAUCUAUUUCCGGCAUGACACAAGAAACCCUUAAAUGGAAAUUAUUUCCAUUCUCCCUUUUGGGAAGAGCAAGGAAAUUAGGAUGAACUUCGAGGCAACUUUUGUCUCGCAUUCUUCCCACUUUUUUGAAUCGCUGGCCUUAGAAUCAAAAUUCUUACAUUCAAACAAAGAGAGAAGAAAACUUUAGGAGCAGCUUGGGCUAGGUUCACAAGCCUGACCAAUUCUGGUCCAAACCUUUCCCUGCCUGACCAUGUACUGUACUACCACUUUUAUCGUGGUCUAAACAAGGAAGCUCCUCUUCACCUCGACAUUGCUUCAGGAGGCUCAUUCGCACACAAACUCAUAGAUGAGGGGAGAGCUAUCCUAGAGAGAAUAAUUGAAAAUACCCCUUACACACGCAUUUAUGAUGAGUUUCCUGAAGAAGAAAAAGAAGUCGAGCCUGAUCCUAAACCAAAAGAUGAGGAACUUGCAACCGAGUUAGAAAUUUCACCUGACCCAUCUAUUAAUUUGGUUGUAGAGAAACCUCCUGAUAAGGGAAUGCAAAACCAACUAAGGGAUGAUGAACCACCACCUUUAGAGUAUCCCUUUGAAUUUGAGGAAGAUCUUUUUGAAGAUUAUGGAAACACCUCGAAUUUUCCUAUCCAAACAUGACCUCUACCAGGGACCACUCAAUCCGUUCUAAGAGUAGAAUCUGUUGACAUAGAACACAUCAAAAGCCUUUCGGCUAUUCUGAGUUAUGAAUGGCUAACAGAAGCAGAGCUGUCUCCUGAGGUAUCUCAGAUCAUCACUCCUUCAACCAUUCUUCUGUGCCAAAUUAGAGGGUCAGCUAGGAAGGUCCACUACAAUCCAUAUGUUGGGAUAAAUGUUAUUUCCAUGGAGUUAGCUGACACUCUUUAUCCCAACGAGUCCAUAACCCCAUCUCAAAAACUUUUACAAAGUCCAUCUGGAUUAAUUCUAGAAAGCCAUGGGGUAUUAAGGGCAGUUCUUGUUAGAAUCAAGGACUCUGGAAUAUGUCUAGAUUUUCACAUUUUUGACAUACCAGAGAUUCCUUUCUUGAUUGGCAGACCAAUCAUGAAACUUCUACAAGAACAACCACACCGAGGUCAUUUAGACUUCAAGGUUGGGAAUUCCACUAUUGUUGUUCGUCUUGCUAGAUCAAUUAACACAAUAGUGGAACCCAAACUUGAACCAGAUCCUAUUGAGGAGAUCUUAAUGCUGACUCAAGAGGAGAUGGCCCAACCAUUCUUUAAUCAUGAACACUUUGUUCAAGAAGAAGAAGAGUUGGUAGAACCCGUUGAGCUAGACAAAAAUGAACAACCUUCACCUCCUUCGAUAGAGUUAAAACCUCUUCCUUCUGGCCUUAGAUAUGUCUUUUUGCACAACAACCCAAAAACUCCAGUAAUUAUCAGUGACAAGCUUUCCAAUUAUGAAACACAACAACUUGUCACUGUUCUUGAAAGGCAUAGAUCAGCAUUUGGCUACUCUCUUGAAGAUCUCACGGGCAUUAGUCCCAUUCUCUGCACUCAUCAUAUCCCUAUUGAUCCCAAUUUUACACCUUCAAGGGAACCACAAUGGAGACUUAACAAUGCUAUGCGAGAGGUUGUUAAGAAAGAGGUCCUCAAACUCUAUCGUGCUGGGAUUAUUUAUCCUGUGCCUCUUGACACUGUUUUUGGACACGUAUCUUUGGACACGUAUCUGGGAGUUAAUGAGGUAUAGAUCGGCAGGCGAAUGAAGUGGUGACUGGUUGAUAGAAGAGUUGCCGAUGAGAGUUGAUACCGAUGAUGAAACAACAGAAUGUGGCCAAGUCCAGGAGUGGUAGUGGAUCUAUGCCAAUGACUAAUGCUCAUAGUUGCCGAUGGCUAUGAAAGGUGAUUUGCCGAUGGACACAAAAGGAGACACAGGAAUUGUCGGUCGGAUGGUGAUGGUGUGCCAAUCAGUUGUGGUGGAUAAAUUAAUGUUUUCCAUAGUUGUUAGAGUUUGUUUUACAUACGGAUUCGAGUUCUAUUCAUGUCUGAUUGUAACUCUUUUAAACAGGGUAUAAAUGUAGACCCUGUAGACAUGUAAGAACACACGAUCAAUCAAACACAAGUUUUUACAUCUAUUCCAGCAUCUACUUUUUCGACGACUUUGUCAACUUGCAUAUUUUCCUUUUACUUAUGAGUUCUUAGGAAUUCAUCGAGUCAAUCUCGACGAGUUCUCAAGUUCCGCGUGAAUACCUCUUGGCCGUGACAUCCGGGCGCAUUGCUGUUGUCGGGACCAAAGUAUUCGAGUUAUCACCUUUGUCGAUUGGAAGGUCAAAUCGGUUGGCACACCUUAACGUUGAAUCGGGUAUUAGCCCUUUGUGUUUGUAGAUCUACUUUUGCACCAACACAUCUUUUGGCACGCUCAGUGGGACAUAGAUUCAUCAUCAAGAUCAACAUGUCGAACACUGAUUUCGAUUUGGAGAACGUCAUCCCCGUAAAGGAAGCCAAUCUCAGAGAUGAGCAGAAGCAAGUUAUGGAAAAAGCUAUGGAGGAUUACAAGAAGUUAUGUUUGAAGUCAUUCAGUAUCAACAGGAGUGGCGAGGUGAUCCAAAAGUAAGCAUUGCCGAUGUCUCGGCAAAUCACUUUUGAAGAGAUGGUUGACAGUGCUAUUAAUCGUGCUCUAAUCAAUCAAUCCAGUGUGUUGUCCAACACAGUUUUUAAUGCUGUUGCUAGAACUUUCAAAGAAGGACAAGUACCACCAGCCUAUGUGGGCCCGGCCUAUCAUCAACUAGGAUCAUCAUCGGUUACGGCUCCAUCGGCUACUAUAGCCGUUGCGAGUAUGGAAGUUACCUCUCCUCCAAGAACAUUAGGGAUGAAUAAUGGGCAAUCUACACCGAUGACGACUAAUCCAACAAUAUCAGAGGGACAAGUUGAACUCGCUAUAGAUCUAUUGGCAUCGGCAAUAUCAGGGUCUGUCUUUAAAAGCUCUCAAGUUCCUCCCAAUCGGUGGGGAUAUGGUAUGCCCCUAGAAUUUAGGGCAAAUGGUCUUGGGUCAUCUCAAGUGGCUGACACGACAAGCAAGGCUCCUAUGGCAUCGGCACCCCCAGUGUCACCGAUGACUCAGAAUCCCCAGUAUUCUAUAACUACCACUGCAAGACCCUUUACUGGGAAUUCUCAAAUACCAACAUUCCAGAUGCCUAACGCAUCGGCACCUCCAAUGCCGACACAUCAAAGGUUUAUGACACAACCAGGGUAUGUCAAUCCAAUGAUGAUGCCCAAUUAUCAACCAUCGGCAGGGCCUACACCGAUGAAUGUUAACAAUGGAUGGACAUGCCAGUUUGUCUUUCCACAAGUGCCUCAGCAAGAUCAUCAGGCUAGGGGAUUUCAACAGGGAUUAGUGCAACCUGGUUUUCAGAAUCAAGGAUUGAUCAAUCAACCGAUGAACCUUGCUCAGCAAGUUGGUGGUCAACAGGCGAUGGCUAAUCCCAUGUUCCCUGGAAAUCGAACACCGCAAAGACACGUGGAAGCUUACCAACAGGUGCCAGAUCCACAACCUGCUCAUUGGCAAGAUGCCGAUGCCUAUUGGGCCGAUAAGAUAGCUGAGGUCAUGAGAGACCAAUUUGGAAUAAAACUGAAGGUUAAUACUUACUCUUAUCGGACACCAUAUCCUGCUACGUAUGAUUUGAUCCCGCUCCCAAAUCGGUACAAGGUGCCGGAUUUUUCUAAAUUCUCUGGACAAGAUGACACGUCAACUAUGGAGCACGUCAACAGAUUCAUCAUCCAAUGUGGAGAAGCUGCUAAUAGAGAUGUGUUAAGAGUUCGUUUGUUCUCAUCAUCUUUAUCUAGAUCGGCCUUUACUUGGUUUAUUUCAUUACCUCCAAACUCAGUGAUUACUUAGGCCAAUCUAGAAAAGCAAUUUCAUAAAUACUUCUUUUGUGGAGUUCAUGAGAAGAAGAUUACCAAUUUAGUCAGGUUAAGGCAGCGCAAUGAUGAAUCGAUUGAAAGCUUUGUGCAGAGGUUGCGAGAUGUUAAGAAUAAAUGCUAUAGUCUGGUUCUAGAUGAUCGGCAACUAGCUGAUUUAGCUUUCCAAGGAUUGUUGCCACACAUUAAAGACAAGUAUGCUUCUCAAGAAUUUGAAAGUCUGAGUCAUCUAGUGCAGAGGAUUUCUAAUCAAGACAUCAAAGGUUUUGAACCUAAGAGAGCAUGGAACAGAAAGGUAUCAUUUGUCGAUGAGGCAACAAGCUCAGAUUCUGAUGAAGAACCAGUCAUCGUCUUGACAGAGUGGGUGAAAAAUAAGAAGUCAAUGUCUUGCCCUUUUGGGCAUAAGGAGCUAGAAAAGUUUGCAUUCGACAUCACCAAAGCCGAUAGGAUAUUUGACUUUCUGCUUCAUGAAGGGCAGAUUAAAUUGUCGCCGAACCAUGUGAUUCCAUCGGCAGAAGAGUUAAAGAAGAUCAAGUAUUGCAAGUGGCAUAAUGCAACAUCUCACAGCAUAAAUGAAUGCAAGGUGUUCAGGCAACAACUACAAUUGGCCAUAGAGUCUGGGAGGAUUAAAUUUGUUAGCUCCAAAGCCCAGAAGCCGAUGAAGAUUGAUCAACAUCCUUUCCCUACAAAUAUGUUGGAUGCUAAGGGAAAGACCAAGGUCUUAACAUCAGAAGCAGCUGAAAGAAGCGCAUCGGUAGAUCCUCAGCAUCAGAUUACUGCCGAUGACGCCAAAGGUAAGGGCUUGAUCUAGGAAGGAACCAGCUCAGGAAGGCCUCCUCGAUCUGGCAUUGUAAUCACUCAUAGGAGAAAUCGGGAAACCUGGCAGCAGCGUGAAGAUCGGUAUCGUCGCCAACAGGAAGAUCGUCGCAGGGAAGAAGAAAGACACCGACAUGAGUGGAAUCGGCAUAAAGAUCACUGGAACUACCCAUUCUUCAUCCACUGUUGGGAGCAAAACAUCAAGCUACCAACUGUUAGAGACUGCCCUAAGUGCAAUGGCUUUAAUCGGUACGAUAGACCAAAUCAGCAGUAUCAGAACAAUGAUCGACGUUUUGGUGGGCCGAUUAGAGGAAGGACAUCAGUUCAUGAUCGGCUGGGUGCAGACUCAGUGUGCAUGACAGGCUUGGUGAGCGUGUCGGUUAUUUUCCUAGGAACCAAGAGGAGCUUGAAGAGAUGGCGGAUGCGCGAGUUCCCGAUGAGUUCAUAUUUUGCAGAGAUGCUAACACUUAUCGGGUGGAAUCAAGGGAAAAUCGUCGUCAAUCGGUAAGGCAACCACAACUUCCUCCAUGGUGUCCAGAAGGGUUGACAAGGACACAGAAGAGGAGGUUGCCGCGGGAGCGACAAGAAGAACUGAGUAGAGGAGAGAAUUCUGCUAAGUCUGGAGAUCGGCAGCAGUCAGAUCUUAAAGGAAAAGGUCCAUCGGCAGACGUUAAUAUGGUGUUUAUGUUGCCGAUGGAAUUCCUUGCACCCUUCAGUGAUGAUGAGGGGGUAGAUUUUCCCGAUUAGAUAGCUCAGUUAGCUCUGGAUCCGAUGACGGCUAUUGUUGAAAAGUCCGCCAAUAAUGAAAGACAACAUCUUAAAGCUCUAUUCGUCAAUGGCACGGUUGAUGGACAGCCGAUGACCAAGAUACUUGUUGAUGGUGGGGCUACUAUUAAUAUCAUGCCGUAUGCAGUCUAUCGGAAGCUUGGCAAAGGAGAUCAGGAUUUGACCAAGACCGAUAUGAUGUUAAAGGAUUUCGAAGGAAAUGUGUCUCCAGUCAAGGGAGCCAUAUGCGUUGAGUUGACCAUCGGCAGCAAGACCCUGCCGACAACUUUCUUUGUCAUCAGUGGAAAGGGUGCUUAUAAUUUAUUAUUAGGGAGAGAUUGGAUUCAUGCCAAUUGUUGCAUCCCAUCUACAAUGCACCAAUGCCUGGUUCAGUGGGUAGGUGACAAGAUCGAGAUUGUCCCAGGAGAUUCUUCAUAUGUCAUUGCAUCGGCAGAAGCAGAUACUUAUGAAAGAACCAGAUGCAUUUCAGGAGAAGUUUGGGAAAAAGAUUUUCUCAAAGUUGCCAAUUAAGAAAUUCCACUGAUCCAAGCAGUCGGUUCUGAUGAGGAGUUUUAAUGGAUAGGUUCGCCGAUGAUGGAAAGUUAGGCCAGGGGUUUGCAUCUGCCGAUGAAUUAGUAGAAGUAGAUAUAGGUAAUGGUGAUAGGCCAAGGCCUAAUUUUAUUAGUGCUAAGUUAGAUUCUGAGUGUAAGCAACAAUUAACCGAUUUGUUAAAGGAAUAUAAAGAUUGCUUUGCUUGGGAUUAUUUCGAGAUGCCUGGUUUAGACCGAUCGAUUGUUGAACAUCAGUUGCCUAUCAAGUCUGGGUUUCAGCCGCAUCAUCAGCCACCACGCCGAUGUAAUCCUAAUAUCCUUCCUGAUAUUAAGGCCGAAAUAACUAAACUUAUUGAAGCUAAAAUUAUUCGGCAAUGUCAGUAUGCCGAGUGGAUUUCCAAUGUCCUUCCAGUUUACAAGAAGAAUGGGAAGCUUCGUGUCUGCAUUGAUUUCAGGAAUCUUAACAAGGCUACACCGAUGGAUGGUUAUCCGAUGCCAGUUGCCGAUUUGCUAGUUGAUGCUGCAGCUGGACAUCGGAUCAUUAGCUUUAUGGAUGGCAAUGCAGGAUAUAAUCAAAUAUUCAUGGCUGAAGAAGAUAUUCCAAAGACUGCAUUUAGAUCUGGUCAUGUUGGGUUGUUUGAAUGGAUAGUCAUGACCUUUGGCUUGAAAAAUGCUGGUGCUACUUAUCAGAGGGCUAUGAAUUUUAUCUUUCAUGAGUUCAUCGGCAAGUUGGUGGAAAUCUAUAUUGAUGAUGUGGUGGUUAAGUCUGGGGAUUUCACAAAACAUCUUGCUGAUUUGCGAAAAGUACUGGAGUGCACAAGGAAGCAUGGUUUGAAGAUGAAUCCUAAUAAGUGCGCAUUUGGUGUAUCAGCAGGACAAUUUUUUGGUUUCAUGGUGCAUCAGAGGGGAAUUGAAAUUAGUAGGAGAUCUAUUGAUGCUAUCAACAAAAUAGUUGCUCCCACCAACAAGACUGAACUCCAAUCUCUGAUCGGCAAGAUAAAUUUUAUCAGGCGAUUUAUAUCUAACUUGUCUUGUAAGAUUCAUGCUUUUAGUCCUUUACUUAAGUUGAAAGCCGAUCAAGAGUUUGUAUGGGGAAGAGAGCAACAAUCAGCAUUGGACGAAAUCAAGAAUUAUUUAACAAAUCCUCCAGUUUUGAUUCCACCUCAGCAAGGAAAACCUUUCAAAUUGUAUUUGUCUACCGAUGGAAUGGUCUUCGGUUCGGCUUUAGUUCAAAAAUUUGAAGGGAAGGAACGUGUGAUUUAUUAUUUAAGUAGAAGGCUGGUGGAUGAUGAGACAAGGUAUUCGGCAAUUGAAAAAUUAUGUUUAUGCUUAUACUUUUUAUGUAUGAAAUUGAGACACUAUUUGUGAUCGGCCGAGUGCACUGUUAUAUGCAAAGAUGAUGUAGUCCGAUACAUGCUAUCUAUGCCAAUUAUGAGUGGUAGAAUCGGCAAAUGGAUUUUGGCGCUAUCAGAAUUUGAUCUGCACAAUGAAUCGGCUAAGGCAAUUAAAGGGCAGAUUAUGGCCGAUUUCGUGACUCAGCAUUGUGGUGUAGUAGGGGCUUUGGAGAUCGUUCCUUGGAUGCUCUUCUUUGAUAGAUCCACGUGUGACCGGGGGUAGGAAUCGGCAUAGUGCUAAUUUCUCCUCGAGGAAGGAAGUAUGAGUUCUCUUUGCCGAUUGUUUCCACGUCGACCAAUAAUCAAGCCGAAUACCAAGCUCUAAUCAAGGGGUUCGGAUUGUUCAAAGAGGUUCGUGCUGAUGCUGUUGAGAUCUUCGGUGAUUCUAUGCUUGUUAUAAAUCAAUUAACUAGAAUUUACGAAUGCCGAAGUGAAGUUUUGAUAACUUAUUAUGAAAAGAGUGUAAAAUUAUUAAGGGAAUUCACGGAUUUCCCGAUUGAAGCAUGUUCCUCGAUUACAUAAUGAAGAGGCUAAUCGGUUGGCUCAGCAUACCUCGGGGUAUCAACCUAUCUUAAAUAUGUUAUCGGCAAUCAAUGCUGAUGAUUGGAGAAAAGAAAUCAUUGAUUACUUAAAAGAUCCAUCUAAAAAGGUUGAGAGACGUUUCAGGUUUCAAGCUACCAAGUAUGUACUCCUUGGAGAAGAGUUAUAUUAUUGAACGAUAGAUGGAGUUUUACUCAAAUUCUUGGGUGAUGAUGAGGCUAAAAGCUUGAUGGGUGAGAUCCAUGAAGGAGUGUGUGGAGCACAUCAGUCGGCAUUUAAGAUGAAGUGGAUGAUUAGAAGAAAUGGGUAUUAUUGGCCGACUAUACUUGAGGAUUGCUUUAAAUAUUUCAAAGGGUGUCAAGGAUGUCAGAGGUUUGGAAAUAUUCAAAGGGAACCCACAUUGGCCAUGAAUCCUAUUAUUAAGCCUUGGCUGUUCCGGGGAUGGGCUAUUGAUUUAAUCGGCCAGAUUUAUCCGUCAUCAAGCAAGGGGCAUAAGUUCAUUUUAGUUGCCACUGAUUAUUUUACUAAAUGGGUUGAAGCUAUUCCUUUGAAUAAAGUAACAUCGGCUAACAUGAUUGAUUUUGUGAAAGAGUACAUCGUUUACCGAUUUGGUAUUCCUCAGACAAUCACUACCGAUCAGGGUACUAUGUUCACAUCGGGAGAGUUUGAUGAAUUUGCAAUCAUUAUGGGGAUUAAAGUAUUGAAUUCUUCUCCUUAUUAUGCUCAAGCUAAUGGACAAGCUGAAGCGUCUAACAAAAGGAUUAUUAAGCUCAUCAAGUGAAAGAUUGAAGAAAAUCCUAGAAGAUGGCACAUAUUGUUGAAUGAAGCUUUGUGGUCAUAUCGGAUGGCGUGUCAUGGAUCGACCAAAGUUUCACCCUAACAACGUGUAUAUGGGCACGAUGUAGUGUUGCCAUGGGAGAUUAAGACUGGAUCUAGGCGGGUCUCUUUUCAAGAUCAGUUGGCUGCCGAUGACUAUGCUACUUUGAUGAAAGAUGAGUUGGAUGAUUCAGUAGAGCAUCGGUUGAGAGCUUUGAUGAGUAUAGAAGAGAAUAAAAAGAGAGUUGCUAGAUGGUAUGAUAAAAAAGUAAAAACUAAGGAGUUUGCCGACGGAGAAUUGGUAUGGAAACUAAUUUUGCCGAUUGGAACUAAAAGUUCAAAGUUUGGAAAAUGGUCUCCCAAUUAGGAAGGACCUUAUCAGAUAAAUCGGUCAGCUCCUGGUAACGCUUAUAUUUUAGAAUCUCUCGAAGGAGUUGAGUUUUCUAGAGCAUUAAAUGGAAAAUAUUUAAAGAAGUAUUACCCAAGUAUUUGGGUCGAUGCAUAGAAGUUUAAGUGCCGAUAACACUCCUGUCGGCUGGAAGAAAUGUAUCUAGAAUCGUGCAUAAUGUUUUAAAAGUGCCGAUAACAGUCCUAUCGGCUAGACUGGAAUGGUCAGAAGUUUCUAAGGGUAGAACAAAACAAGCUACCAAUAAAGAGCUUAUAGAUUCAGCAAGGCUUGAAUGGUCGAUAUGGCGCGCAGGUGAAUCUGGUCAGCUUCUUCUAUCUCCCGGAUGUCCUCAUCGGCAGAACCCUCUACUGGCUUCAGCUUCUUUUUCAUCUGCAAUGCCUUACGAGCCUGGAUGUUUCGUUCUUGCUGAAGAGUCUUGAGCGUCUUAGGUAGCUGGCUUUCUUCUUACUGUGCUUGGGUCAGGGCUUCUUCUACUUGUUUGAGCUCAGCUAGCAGAGCUUCCCUUCUUGCCGAUAGAUCAAAAAUCUUUUGUUUCAUUGUCUCCUCUGAGGACUGCAGAAUGCCGAUGCUCUUAUGUUUCUCAUCAGCAAGGCACUUUACUUGCAUUACUUCCUCUGUGAGUUGGACGUGAGCAGCUCAAUUGGCAAGACGUUGGGUAGCUUUCUGAUAUUGGAGCUGGCGACUCUCCAAGUGUGCAGCCUAAAAUAGAGCUUCUUCUGCAUCGGCUGGGAUCUGACCCCUAAGGGUCUUAAAUAGAGCUUUGGCUAGGUCAGAGUCAUCGGCCAGUUGAGCGGUAUCUUGAUGCAGUAGAGCCAAUAGGUCCUCCAGUUUAGCUUUGAUUUCUACCGAUGAGAUCCCCACUGCUUGAGAGGAGCUUGCUUCUUCACCCUCGUCAUCGAAGAUGUUGAUAGCAAAGGAGAAUAAGCUGUCUAGAGAGUCUUGUUCCUGAAAAAGGGAUAAAGAUGAGUUAUCUAAUAAUCAAAUGUUGAUAAUAAAGAACAAAGAUCAGAAACUUACUUGUUUCAGAGCGAUUUCACGCCUUUGACGAGGGGAUGCGGCCGAUACUAUAGGUUGAUCGGCUGGAGUUGCCGAUGGAAUGAUGUCAACUGAGAAAUAACAAGGAUAAUUAUAAUUUGAAAAAAGUAAAUCCAUCGAUGAUAAUUUUGUAGUUAGUACUUUACCUUGAGGGGGUACAGUGCUUGUUUGAUCUAGAGGAAUAACCGAUGAUAUGAUCCGAUCUGCUGGAUCGGCAGUCUGCUCAAGCACAUCGGCUGGUGCUUCUUGUGGCUGACGUGCUAGUUGAGGAGGGGACGAUACUUGCUAUGUCUGGAUUUCUGGUGAAGAAGGUGAUGAUUCUACAUGGAUCGGUGACGCUGGUUGAGGAGGAGGAGAUGGUGCUAUCUUCUAGCGCUUUGGCUGUGAUUUGGUGCUCUUAGGGCCUUUUCUCUUGACUUGGCUAGGCUGGGGGGCAUCGGCACUUAUUUGAGCACUUCUGGUCUUCGCCGAUUUGCCAGUUUGCUGUUACAACAACCAAGAUUUCAUGAGUACAAAUACGAAAGAAUGUUGAUGAAAUCUUGUUAAAAAGAUAAAGGUUACCGAUGAGGUACCCAUAGCAGCCGAUGUAUCCUGAAAAGAUCAUGUGAGUAUGGAAUAGAAUCGGUAUAAGCAAUGGAAAUUAAAAGUCUACCUUGAAAGCCUGUGCCAAGGUAGCAGCGGCAACCAAUGGGGACAUCUUUGACCGCUUGGUGGUUAUCUUCUUAAAACGCACAUUUCGAUGCAUUAAAGCUGCCAGACUUGGUGCGUUGUGAUCGAUCAGAGAGAUUGGACCUGACGGGAGGAGUUCAAUCGGUCUUCCACUUCUACUGACUGUCGGUGGCGGGUUGUCGACCUGUUUAGAAAGGAGGGAGUAAGUUACCGAUAAGGUUAGAAGUAACAAAAGAACUGAGGUAUCGGUUGAAGACUUACAGUGUUAUCGGGGACCUUAUAGUUGGGGUCGAUCAUGCCGCGUUAUGUCAGAGCCAAUGUGCAGAACAGGUGUUCUUUCCACUCUUCCCACCACUGUUUGUAUGCCUGAGUGAUGUAGAGGGCCGGGAUCCAAGCCGAUAGAUCGAUAUCUAACGUAUCGACAUUUAGUUGAAGCUGGGCUAUCCUUAUCCAUUCGAGUCCGCUGGUUAUAGUUUCCCUUGGUUUCACCACAUCGGCAUAACAGAGUCCAAUCGACAGCUGCCCAAAAGCCAGUUGAUGAGCCAGUGCCGAUGGGUUUUAGAAUUCAUAAGUGGGGUUGGAAUUCUACCCACUACCGACGGUAUUCACUGGAAUGGCUCUUGGCGUGAUGAUUGCCAUCAUCAAAUUGGUAUCUUUAUUGAGAGCGUCAUCAAAAGGGUGGAAGAUUAGUGGGAAUCUGUUUUCUAGAUCUUCAUAAGGCAUCCAUGCCCGCUGAUCAUUGGGAAGACCCUCAUAUAGAGUUUGGAAGAAUCAACUGACUUGGUCUUCAUUGCCGCCAGUGCUAGGUAGAACUAUAGCGGCCUCACCAUAGUUCAAAGGUGGGUGAGUUGUCGAUUUUUCAUCGGCUAGUUCAUGAUCUUCUCCGAUAUCUCUGGGGAAUCACUGCGCGAAGAGGUCAAACCGGAGGCGUUUGUGCAUGUGGACAUUAAGCCACAUGUUGAUGAACCACCAAGGGCCUCCUAGAUUGCCGAUGGGUUGGCCUAACAGGAGCUUCUCAGCUACUUGGUGGAGGAGGUGAUAUGCAGAACCAAGCAAGUAUCGACCUAGAGGAUAUCAGCCACCAUCGGCCAGUCUUUCUGCUGCCGAUAAGUAAACAGAGGUUGGUCCUACCGAUCGGCCACAAAAAACGAACUUGUCUAACCACAUGUUCAGGAAAACAGCAUGCUCCCUUUGACCGACUGGCCCUGUCCUUUGGUACUUCUGAAUGUGUAACACCCCAGGUGUUUGUCACUUGCUAAGUACUAGGUUUGAGCUGAAACAUGAUAAGUUCAAUGGUAAUAAAGAGGUCAAAGUCAAUCUAUGAAAGUAAACCCCAACUUGGGCAUGGUGGAUGCAACCUUGCUUGCAUAUAUGCCUUUUUAAAAGGUAUGCUUUGAUGAUGCUAAUGGAACCUUUUUUAUGUGUCUUAUAUCCAUCCCAAUCUAUGUUGGUCUCUGGAAAGGUUUGGUUAAGUUUGGAAUCAAGAAGUCACAUGAAAUGAUAAGUUAUAUCAUUGUUGGAAUGGCUCUAUUAAAGAAAUAGAAUCAUGGGUCAUGAACCAACCCUUCCAAAAUUGCUCAUAGGACUCUACAUGAAUUAUACAACAAAAGUCAUGAAGGGUUCAUGUUGAGCUUAUGUCAAGAAAAUGCUUCAAUUGGCCUAAAAUCCUAUUUAGAGCUUUAUCGGGUUACUACAUUGACCAAAGUGAAAGAUUGACUUCUGUUGCAGUUAUGAGGUUUGACCCUAAAUGAAAGUUGUAGUAUUGCUUCUGUAGAACAAACUUUGUUUAAUAAUCAAGAGCUAGUUUGGUUCUUAUACUAAUCAAAUUGAGCUCUCAAGAAUCAAUUCAGUGCUGAUUUGCUACCUCUAUAUUUUUGGCUAAGUCCCUGAAAGUGACAGCAGUGCAUUAGAUAAUUCGUGACGUUUUACUAUCCAAAUUCAUAUGGUAACUCAAUUAGAUUCCUUAAUAUGAGUUGGAGUACUCUUCUUGAUGAAAGCAAUGGAUUAAGUAUCAUCAAAUUUGGAGUUCGUUUGGAUAUCUAAAAGUAGCUCCCAAAACAGCAAAAAGUUAUUUUAUCGCUAAACGGACGUAUACCCGUUGGCAUGCCGCGUUCUCGUGUUUUUGUUAAGAAACUAAAGUUGGUCCAAGAAUAAAAGUGGUGGACAAAUACUUGGAGAAGGUCAUGUAAAAAGUUGCAUCAAGUUUGACAUGGUUUGGAUCAUCAAUUCUUGGUUUUGCUAAUCACCGUUAAUACGUUGACACUCGUGACUUAACAUCUAAUUAUCUCCUAAUCUGUUGGCCUAAUGACUGACUGCCCUUAAUCAAAGUUGGAGAGCAGGCCGAGUUGAGCAAACUUUGUUUUUAGCCCAUCUUCAAAAUCGGCCCGGAAGAAGCCCAAAAUCGCCUCCCACCUUGCCUACUCCGACGCGCGCCACGUGCUCGGCGAAAUGUGUCAAAGGGAAACGCGUGUCCUGGGCGUGUCCACCAUGCACAGCGCCCCCACCUCCAUUUGAUGAACCCCUGCUGCCCUCUUGCGGUCUGUGAAGCCAGAGAGCGCUCCCCACCUUUCUGUUGUGGACGCCCAGCUCCCUCAUCCGCUCCCUUGCCUCUCUCCUCGCUCUGGUGCCGCUGUCCGCCAUGGACAGCAAGCGGAGCUUCAUGGCCUUCAUGGCCAGGCCGUCUGAGAGUGGCUCGGGCCGAGCUGAGUGGUGUGGAGGAUGCGGGCCCUCUUGGUGCUUCCCCACCCUUCCAUCGUCGCCGGCGAAGCCUCAGCUGGCCGGAGCAGAAAGCUCCGGCGUUUUUGGGCGACUAGGGACCUCGGGUUAGAAUAAGAAACAACUCAGGGAUCCAGAUGCGAACCACAGACUCAGAUGAAUAGUGCGUUUGGACGGCGGUUGAUUCGUUGAAAACUCAGGGUUCCCGGUGCAAAGUCGUUUUCCUUUAUCUUUUGUUUUUCAGAUUUCUUGUAUGAACUUUGUUAAUGCAUAGCAAUUCAUAGAAAAGUCGUAAAAUAGCAAAUAUGGACUUUUUGGAAUCCUUCUGAAAUUCUAUAUGCAGUAGAUCUAUAAUAUGGCAUGAUUUAGUUUGAAGUUUUAGUCGUAAAAAUAGAUUUAUGCAAUUAGGUUUUAAUUGCUUGUUAUAUUUGUCUUUUUCAUAACUGCUGUUUUAUUGCCCAAAUAAAUGAGAAAAUAUUAUGACAUGCUUUUCGCGAUUUAUUUGAUGUCUGGAAUUUGUUCGAUGAAUUUAGGAAUGAUAGAUUAAGAGUUAUAAAAAUAACAAAUGCCCUGUGUUGCUUUGCUCAUAUUCUGAGUGGGUCUGCAUGUUUGUAUUGUUUGGCUCAGUUAAGUUGUGAAUCUUGCCUGGAUAAAAAUAUAUAAGUUUUAGUACUUUUCAUAAGCUUUCCAAAACGAUAAAUAUUAUAAUUUUUGGUUAAGCACAUAUUUAGUUAUAGUGGUUUAAAUUACUGUUCCAGUUUCUGUCUAAACCCAUACAGGGUUGCAUUGUUUGUAAUGUACGACCCUGUUAGUGGUAGAUUUAGCUCUAGAUGUUUAUAACAAAGUUGUUCACAAUUUCGUAAGAUUUCUAGAAAGUACAUAACCAUAAAUUAUGGACAUGUGAACCUCAAGUUAGAGCUGUUUAAUGUAGCAUAACAGAUUCUGUCUAUGUUUUAGACAGAGAUGUCUUUAUGGGAUUAAUUGACCUUGUUAACUCUAGAUUCAUAUUUAGAUGAUAAUAAUAAAGUUGUAGGUAACUUUAUAAGCUUUCCAAUAAUAUAAGAAUCAUUUUGGCUGGAGGUCUACAACUCCAGUUAUGCUGCUUUGAAUUGUCUAUCAGUUUUCUGUUUGUAAUUGUACUUCUACUGUUUGGCAGCAUGAGCAGUUUUAUUUGUGCAAUUAAUACCAUGAUAUAAAUUAUGUUUGCUGUGAAACUUGUAUAUAGAAAAGAUGUAGAUAAUUCACUAAUAUAUAUUGUGGUAAAGUUUCAUUUCAUUUGGCUAGGUGGUUUGUGAGUUACAGUAGUAUGAAUUUCAUCCUUUAAAAUGCUUGUUCUCUGGAAAUACCUGGACCAGAUUAUAUGGUCAUGCAUGUUUGACUUGGUUAACUUGUUAAUCAUGCUAAUAUGAUUAAAGAUGAAUUGUAGAUAAUUUGAUAAUCUUUCCAGAAUGUCCUAUUGCAUAGUUUUUGGAGUUGUGUAACUCCAGUUAUGAUUUAUUUACUGAGUUGUUGCAUGUAUGUCCAGAAUUGCUGAAAUACAUGAAUGCUUGAUUGCUUUACUUUGUGUGCUAACUAUGAUACAUGUCUUUAGCGGUGAUUAAGUAAUACACUUGUAAACUUGUUAAACUUGUGUUGUGAUUAAUAUGUUUUCUAAAUAUUUGGUUGUGUGAUGUUAGUUAAAUAACUUAGAGGCAUGUGUCUUGCAUACUUUUAUGUAAUGCAUGUUGUGUCACUAUUCCGCAUAUUCAUGCACUUGCAUCUUGCAUCUCAUCUAGGUGCGAUAGAUGUAUCACGUGAAGGUCUUGGUGUGGGAACAAACUCGAAGACGGUGUUGGGUGGACCCAUCCCGAAGGUGGAAGGACUAAGCAAGUGUUGCGACCUAAGAUGUCAUCAAGAUGGAGCAACUAACAGAACUGACUCAGUGUUGAUCCCAGGCAAGCCCCGGAGCAUUAUAAGUCUCCUACUACUUUUGAAUGCAAUUGAGAAUAUAUGUUAUAUAUGUAUUGUUGCAUUAAGUAUAGGAGUUGGAUGAAACCCUUGCUGCAUAUAUCACUCCUUGUCUAGCAAAUAUACCUAUAACCCUAUGUAGAUUCAGGAUCGAAUCUAAAUGCUUAGAUAUGCUUAGACCGGUAGAAGCUAGGUGAUGUCCUGUCACCUGAGCAAGAUAGGUGGACACCUAAAAAGGUUGGCUAUAUAUGCUAUCAUGGAAAUAACCAAGUGAUGAGGAUGAGUAAUUGGAGACCGGGCGGGACGAUGAUAGAGAAGCAACAAGGCAUGGAGGUCUUGGGUGCCUACCUAUCCCCGCCUGUGUCGAUUAAGGACCGAUCGUUGACGGCCCUCUUGUCAUGUUGAACGCAUGCCCCACACUUAGCUGGAAGGAUAAGUCGUUCCGACCGCGAAGCCUGAACACUAUCCGGGCCGGGAGUCGAGCCGCCAUGCGCUGUAUUGGUGAUGGUUGAGGAGAACGACGAGGGCGCGGCGCGCAACCUUGGUAUACCUUGGAUACCUUGGUUGCCGGAACGGUCCUCGGGUACUGGCGGUGCCUGCCGAACCCGUGAAUUGGUCCUGGAUAGUGUAAUAUGGUGACCUGUAGCUCACUUUGGCCGGUGGGUGUGGUUUGUGUGGGGAAUAACUCGCCAGCUGGUUAGAAAUCGAUUCGAAUCGCCAUCGCUCCUGGACAGUGAGCAUUUGACUUGAGCUUCGUCAUCGUAGUAAUGUUUAUGGAACACUUGGAUGGUUAUGGUAUGAUGAUGUUGGUAAUGCCACAUCAAAUAUGGGUACUAUGAUUGUAUCUUAAUCAAGUGAUUGCUUUAGUACAGGUGCUAAUCUAGAUGACAGGUUAAUGAUUAUUAACUUGAGCUAAAUACCUGAAAGGUUACUUAGUUGCAACUUAAGCUUUUUAUGCAAAAAGUGUUGUCAAGCUAGCUCCACCAAUAAAGCCUUGCAUACUCCUUGGUGUCAUAUUAUUUCUGGUUUAUGACGGGUAAGUCUAGCUGAGUACCUUCUCGUACUCAGGGUUUAUUCCCACUUGUUGCAGGUUGUGAUGUAUCAUGGGUACUGCAAGAGUUCGAUGACUCCUACCAUAUUAGAGGAGUAAGAUCAUGGGCAUGAUCCUUCUUAGUUACCUCAUCUAUGUUGCUUUUGUUGGAGUUGACCUGAAUACUAGCAUGUAUUUGAAAUGAGGGCAAUAUUAGUUUCAAAUUACUUUUCUUCCGCUACUUUUCAACUCAAGUUGUAACAAAUAUAUUAAACUCUGAUGUAUGUCAAACUACUUGCGAAAUGGAUGUAACAUGUGACUUGUUAUGUUGAAUCAUUACGAUCUUGGCUUGUAUGAUGGUUGGUUUGAAAUCCCUCGUGAUUUCACGGACUACCGGGUUUAUGAGAGUUCGAUUAUGAUAAAGCAACUGCUUUGGCGGAAGUUUUUCAUAAUUGAUCUCUUGUAAAUUGGGCGGUUCUGUUACAGAAUGUAUCCUGACCAACCGCUGAUGUUGUGGGUUUCUACUUUGCGCUCGGGUUUGCGAUCAUAUAGAUGGUUAUCAUGGGCAGUUGAUAUGUCUAAGACAGUGAGCAUGAGCACAUCGGCAAGAGUGGGGGAAGUAGGGCCGUGACCAAACAAAAAGGCAUUGUAGGUAUCUGACCAGAAGUAUGAAGCAACUAUCAAUAGCAAUUCAUUUCUUUCCAUAUCGGCAAUGGAUAGCCUAAUGCACUGGUCUAGUUUGCGCUCGCCCCAUUGGACUUCAUUUGAGUUGCCGAUUCUUAGGAACCAAUCUCUCCACCCCUUGGUAGAACUGGGCCAGGAUCGAAAGGUGUCUUUCCACAGAUCUAAUGAGAAGUUCUCAGCUCUAAAGGGGAUCCUAUUUGCUUCUGCAUUUAUCAAAUCGGUAGGAUCUGGAUUUCCUAAUGGACUAAGGCAUUGAAAGUGGGGUUGAUCGGUGGAAAUCACAAUUUUAUCAGCCAAUUCCUAAAGAUUUAAAGGUUGGAAGAAAAAAAAGGGGGAAAAGAGAGAAAGAACGUACUCAAUAAAUAGGUUUGCAGAAGAUAAAAGUACGACAAGAAAAAGAAGAUGAAGAAGGUUGACCUCAGGGACAGUGAAGUUGAUGGCCAUUUUUCUUCCCGAGGGGGAAGAGGAUCGAUGAUUGGAACAACUGUUGGGGCUCGCUAGAGUUCUUGGGCUCCUCAAAUAGUGUCGCCGCGAGGAGGAUGGGUUUGGUGAAUGUAGAAUGAUAAGGUGGAGGAAGAGUACCGAAUGUUGAUAUUUGGUAACGCCAUCAGGAAAUGAUCCGCAAGCGCACGGAUAUCGGUGAGCAUUUCACCCGGGAGGUUAUCUAGAGUAUCAUAUUUAUACUUCUACCACUGGGAGAAAGCGUGCAUCUGAACUAACCAAAUCUAUUGCUACUACCCUUUAGGCUACAAAGAAUGUGAUUCGAUGUGAGCGAUGUAUAGAGAAGAACUGCACUCUCGUUCUAACCUUGGUAAGGAUGAUCUACUGUUCUGUUGGGGAGGCUCACAGAAUCUAGACACCACAGAGGAUGUUCGACCCGCACCUAUAAACCCUAUCGAUCUUGCUAACUGGAUGUGGGCUACAAAGGUAACUCGGAAAUGUCACGUUCCUCGCUACAACCACGGUCCAGCUAGUCAGGGGAUAUCUAUGAGUACCCAAGCCCAAUCACCAUGUUUACGCUAGCAAUGAUUACUCUAAACUCAACUGGAAGAUAUUAAAGUAAACUCAUAAACCAAAGAACAAUAAGAACAAAGAACUUACUAGAAUUUAGAAGUCGAAAUACUGAAGAAUCCUAGGAGCAAGCCUCGGGUUAGGAGACUUGAUCCCGCAGGUACAACCUCGGAGUAGACACCGACAGGCCGGGCUUCCUCCGAUCUACACCUCCACUCUAUCUCUCUCAAUCUAGUAGAACUAGUUCUACUCUUACAUUGGAUGCUACGCCCUAUGAGGUGGGAACCCUAAGGAACCUCUCUCUCUGAAUCCUCUCUAGAAAAUAUGCUAAUGAAUAAUGAGGAUUGCCUCCUCCAGGGGCCAGGGGGUCUGCUUAUAUAGUCCCCUCAAGUGAAUCUGGGCUGUCGGAUCAAACCGACAUUAAUCACAUGUUUUUCCUUGAUCCUUUAGGUCGGUGGAGCAUAAUCCACAAGACAGGACCUAAUUGGUCUCUGUAGCAGGGCGGGCACCAAGGGGGGAGGGCGGGCACCCUGCCCCCGAGCCCGCUCGGUCUCUCGUUCGUUCCUGUGGCUUCUGGAGUCUUCUAGAUGAUAGAAAAUUGCGCGGCAUGUUAAUAUCUCUAUGUAAACCUGACAUGUGGGCCUUUCUUCCAUAUUUCCUGAUAACCCCCUGCAGAAAUAGACAAACACCAAAACUCAUGGAAUUCUGUUAGAUAAAACCCUAAGUCUGGGUGUUGGUUGCAUUUGGAUCAUUUUCUUUAUUUAUUUGAUGAUUAAAUUUGGUACUUAAGGACCGUCAAAAACUCCCCCAAGCUUACCUCUUGCUCGUCCUUGAGCAAGGAUGAACUCAAGAGUUUCUGCAGUGGUUUCAUGCCUUUAAAAGCACAGAUGUGUUCAAGCAAGAUCUCAUCUCUGUGUUAGAGUAAACUAUUAAGACUUAAAACUUACUCAUUUUACCUUUCACCACGGGGCUUGCAACCGUCACUUGUGUCUUGAGCAGUUAAAAGAUAGAACGGUCAAGUCAAGCGCCAUGUCUCUUGUUCUUUGAUCAGCUAUAGCUCUGGAGUUUUUUUUGCAGAUUUUCAAAUAAAUCUCACAGAUUCCUUGUAUUACUCUCUCAAAUCUCUCUUUUGUGGUAUUUCUAGAUCCUUUCCAAGGCAGUAAUGGUAUAUGCCUUCCCUCAAAGUAUGUGGUAUUUUUGGUAUGAGGCAUAGUGAUAUUGCUUUCUCUCUCACCCUACUAUAAUAAGGCUUUGAUAUCUAGAGCUCAUAGGUGGGAGACAGAUAAUAAAUACUUACAAGACAUUUAUUGCAUAGUUAAACCAUGGAUACAGAAGAACAAGUCAAUAAGUCAAAUCAAGAUUUGCAUGUGUGGCGAGUGAAUGGUGUAUGGUGAUGAUGGUGAUAACAAUGGUGAAAGUCUAAUUCUGCUUUUGCUUUUUUUAGGGGAUACAUACCUUUCUUGCACUUUGAAGCUUUUUGAGGAGAAUGAGAUGCUCUAUAUUUUCUUUUUCUUCUCUCAGGUGGGUAUCUUGUACCCCUAAUUCUACUAUCGGACACUUGUCUAUUUUUACCUCUCGUCUCACUUUUUCUUUUCUUCGAGGUUCCGGGCACUUGCCCCUUUUUAUUUCCUCGUAUCCUUUCUCUUUUUUUUUUCUUUUUUUAGAACACUCGUCUCCUUAAAUAUAGCAAGUGGUAGUAACCAAGAUAAUUCGAGCAUUUAUUUCACAGGGAAAAAACAGAAUUAGGAGAAUGUUUUUGGCUAUUCUCUUCUGGAUAGGAGUAGAAUAAUUUUAGGUGAAUGUGGAGAUGGAAUUGAGUGGAUGUAUGUGGAUGCGUACUUCUGGAGUAGAAGUAGCAUGUAUGAGUGAACGUGCAAGUGAAUCUUAAUUUUAGUCGCAUGACAAGCUCCUAAGGGUCUACACAGCUUGACCACACUCAAUGCUCAUAAGCAGUAAAAGUAAAUAUGUGGCUCAAAGUCUAAUAAGCAUGUAUGUAUGGUUGUGGUAGGAAUUUAAACUCUCAUCAUACAGGAACUCAUCAUGUGUUAUUUUAAAGAUUUUCAAAGAUAAAAUUCUCCAGAAUUCUAGCAUCUCUAGGAACAGAUAAACAGCAGCUCAACCUUCCCAUAUCAUAUCCGUUAACGACUUAGACUUCAGAUCAAGUACUCUUCCCACAAGUUCAGGUUUAGAGCAGGUUUAAAUUAUAACAGUUAUGUCUAAACUUGAGAGAGAGAGCUGAAACUUGAAAACUAGGUACAUUGCAAAGCAACUAUUUAUCAUAUCCAUAUAAGAGUUUAUCAUUGAAGUUCAGUUUGACCUAGACACUUUAUUUAUUUAUUUAGCAAGCUAAGCAAAGAUAUAUAUAAGCACAAAAACCUUUAUUUGGGUUUUCAUGAUUAUGCAUCUUUUUAUUAUUUGAGUAAAGUAUAAAUGCGAGUAGAAAUACUUAGCUGGAUAAAUGGGGGUGCUCUCCCCCAAGCUGGAUUUUGACGUAAUUUCUUCUGAUGUAGCUGGCAGGUGGUGGAGGUGUAUUUGAAUGUUGGCAGCACCCUGACAGCGAUUACUAUGUCCUCCGCUGGCUAGUCUUCUUUGAUCCUUGAAUUCUGUGGAGCUCAAAUAGACAACAAAGCUUUGUGGAACUCUUGGCAAGGCAUUCGGUGUUUUUAAGUCCUCUGAACGGGACUCUCCGUUUUUUUGGUCGUCCUGGGAUUCACUGGAUGGCGUAGUCGGUGGUUCUGGUGGUGCCUCCUCUUCGUGUGUAACUAUUUUCUCUUUCUGACUCGGUGCUACGGUCUCCUCAGGACAGUUCUGUUCAAGCUGUAUGUCUUCAGACCUUACCACUUCUACUUCGUUGCCUGCCCAUCCGUCCUUGAUGAUUUGCUUCCUCUGGUUGCAUCGUCUUCUUUUUGUCCUGACCUGCUUAGAGUAUUCAACUAUAUAGUUAGGGUCAGUAAAAUAGUGGCGUACCUUCUCAAAGGGGAAGUGCAUGUAGACUUCUCCGGUUCCAAUGUAGAUGAUUGCUUUAACGGUGCUGAGGAACGGUCUCUCAAGGAUGAUGGGUGGAUCAUACUCGUCUUCUCCCAUGUCAAUAACCUUCAACCUUUCGAAAUGUCUGAUCUGCCAUCCGGAGCUGGGUCAUCCUUUUUGGUCAGAAAUGGUGACUUAAGUCGACGAUCUUGACCUCCUUGAACUGCAGUGACCAUCUUAGCUAACUCGGUCCACAUUUUCUUGUUCCUGUUCCUCCUAUUGGUCCUCUUCCUUGGUUCAUGUCGGGAUUGCUCUAAGAUUUAUGUAGUCUUGUUCUUGAAGGUAAACGUUUCCUUCCUCCCCUUGAUGUAGAGACUAAUCUUGGCAGCACUGGGGCAUACAAGGUACCAACUCGGAUGUAGAGGUUCUUCAAUAUUCCCUUUGGGAAACUUAGUGUCUGAUCUGCAAGCCAAGGCAUAAUGUUGAUGCUGGAGCCAAAGUCACAGAGUGCUUCUGGGAAGUCGACCAUGUCAAUGGAGAUCGGGAUGACGGGGCGUCCUGGAUCACCUCUCUGAGUAGUUAGGCCUGUGUUGAUUCCAACUUUGAUUUUGUUGAGGAUGGUUGUAGUAGUAGUAGUAGUUGUUGUUGUUGUUGAUGUAGUUUACGUCCUCAAGCAUCUCAGGGCAGUGAUUGCCUGAGUGUCUAGUAUCUCCAGUGUGUUUGUGCUCGUAGAUCCAAGCCCUUCACUUGGUGGAGUCUGGGAGUUGUAAAAAUCCUUCAGGUUUUGCUUGAAGUGUACCUGCUCAUAGAGACAAGGCAGAGAUCAAGUGCAUGGGCCCUGUUGGUGAAAAACACCAACAGAACCAAAAGUGUAUUUGUUCUUCUCUAACCUUAAGCAUAGUGAGCAAUACAAAGUUAAUAGAUAAUAAGAUAAAGUGUAGCAUCUAAAACAUUUGUCAGAUCAGAUCGCUCAACCUUAUGGAAAGAUAAUCGAUCUAUGUAUAAGUCUUUUUCUUUAUAUCUUCUCAAAGAUUGAAUGUGCAACAUUUUAACUCAUAUGAUUGUUGGGUAUUUUAAACGCAAACAGAAAAAUCCGCAAGCGCACGGAUACUGAUGUAGCCUUCACCCGGGAGUAUUCCAGAGUAUCGAUUUUCCACAGGGAACGUGAGUGUACUAAUUAAGAUUCAAGAUCGCCCAAGGAUAACUAUAUUAUUAUUUUUGGUGGGAAGAGAGGAAGUUUCCUGACAGUUCUCUAGUUGAUCUAAGAAUCAAGAAUUACUUCAAGAUUAUCUAUUUCGGGACAUCAGAACACUAACCACAGAAAGAGAUGAGAAGGGGGCUAGGAAGCUCUGACUACAGUCCUACAAACACCGAUCCGAACGAGGUGGAAUACGUCGACCGUUAGGGCUGUCACUACCCUAGGUCUACCACAACAAUCCGCAGGAUUGGGUGCAAUUCUAGGUAAUUGCAAGACUAAACACCACAUCUAAUCUAUUAAUUACUACUCUAAUGUUGCAAAGAUUAGAGCACUUGAUGCAAGCGGGAAUCCAAUAAAUAACUUGAAUGUAAAUAAAAGUAAUAACAGAACUCAGGAAUUAUGAGUUGAAGAACCUUGAGAACGAUGAAGAACGACACAGUUGCUGCAAAAGUACAAUGUUGAGGAAGAUCCGACAGAUCCGGCUCCUCCUCCGCUCUCCUCUUCUCUCUCCCUAUUUUCUAGAUUACAACUAGAGCGAACUAGAACUAGAACUAGAGGAACUAGAGCUAGAUGAACUAGAACUAGAUGAACUAGAGCUAGAACUAGAUGAACUAGAGGGAUCCUCUCUACUUGGAUGAAGAAUUGAAACCCUAACUUUGAUUCUGUAGAAGAGGUAUGAUCUCCAGGGGCCAAGGGCCUUGCUUAUAUAGUCUUUUCAGAUGAAUCUGGGCCGUCGGAUCAAACCGACAUUAAUCGCACGGUUUUCCUUGAUCCUUUAGGUCAGUGGAGCGUAAUCCACGAAACGGGUCCGAAUUGGACACUGUAGCUAGGCGGGCGCCCAAGGAACUAGGGCGGGCGCCCUGUCCCUGAGCCCUCUCGGCCUCUGCUUCGUUCCCGUGGCUUCUGGAGUCUUCUAGAUGGUAGAAAAUUGUGCAGGACUUUAAUACCUCUAUGUAAACCCGAUGUGUGGGCCUUUCUUCCUUAUUUCCUGAUAACCCCCUACAGAAACAGACAAACACCAAAACUCGUGGAAUUCUGUCAGAUAAAACCCUAAGUCUAGGUGUUGGUUGCAUAUAAGUCCUUUUCUAUGAUUAGUUGAUUUUUAAAUGUGAGCAUUGAGGACCGUCAACAAGCUCCCCCAAGCUUUACCUUUGCUUGUCCCUGAGCAAAGCUAAAAUCAGCAAGAAAACAGGGCUUACUUUUAUGCCUCUUACUAUAGGGUUUUUAAGUUAUCACUAAGGUCUUAAGUGAUUGAAAAACAGAACGAUCAAGUCAAGCACUAUGUCUCAAGUUCUUCUGUCUUACCUUUGUUCUGGAGUAUUUUUGUAAGUUUCCAAAAUAAAACUGGGGUAUUUGCCUUCUUCUUGAAGGAUAGAGUUUUAAAAGUUUUAGCUUACUUACUUUGCAUUUUGCUAUGUCAAUGCUCGGAGCAAGGGAGACAAAUGUCAUACUCCUAGAUCAAGACCUUUGACCUUUUUGAAAAGUUUGUCAUCUCUUACUGGCAUAUUGCUUAUUAGAGGGACCAUGGGCUAUCAUUUUUUUCUUUUUUUCUCUUUUUUUUAAGUGGGCACCAAGUACCCCUAAUUCUACUAUCGGACAUGUGUCCAUUUUUUCCACUUAGGUGGUUAUCUUUGUACCCCUAAUUAUACUUCGGACACUUGUCCAUUUUUACCUCUCGUCUCACUCUCUUUUUUUUCGAAUCAAAUUUUUGCAUAGUCCCAUGCCUCUAACGCAAUAAUACUUCGAAAGAGUGAAUCUUUUGUAUUUUAAAAAAAGAUCUUGAUCUUUGGAGCAUGAUAAUUCUCUCAACCAAAACUACAAGAAUUAACAAUGGCUUGAACAAAGCAAGUGCCCACAGUUUUAAUAUUUAUAUCUUAUAAGACUCUAGGUAUUAUGUCAAACAGGAUCUUAAUUUUUUUAGAUUUUCAAAAGAUAAAAUCUCCAGAACUCUAGCGAAACUUGGAACAAGUUAAAUAGUAGCUCAAACCUUCUCAUAUCAUGUUUGUCAAUUACCUAGACUUGGAUCAAACUUUCUUUUUAUUUUAUUUAAAACUUAGGAUUACACAAAACUAUUGUAUAUUACUUAAAAGAAAAACUUUGUUUUGUUUCAUGGUUAUGCAUUUUUUUUAUUUAUUUAUUUCCGAAUACUAGUAAAUAAAACCAAGAAAGAAAAUAAAUACUUAUCUAGAUACACGUGGGGGUGCCUUCCCCAAGCUGGAUGUUGACAUAGUCGUUCACUCUUGUGGCCUGCAUGUUCGGUCUCACUCCUCUUAAGCUUCAAAAUCCUGCACAACCCCAAUAGACAACAAAACUUGUGGAGCAUAUUAAGGGUUAGGAAAUUGUCUAGAGCUUAUGAGAGCUUAAUGUGAGAAUUCUAUGAAUUCAAUCACAUCAAGUUCCUCUACCAGGUUGUUUUGUGGCUCGAGAUAGAUUUUCAAGCGUUGACCAUUUACCUUAAAAGUGUUACCUAUGUCGUCUUGGAUGGUAAUGGCUCCAUGUGUUGAAGUGUCAAUAACCUUGUAUGGUCCAUCCCACUUACUUCGUAGCUUACCAUGCCCAAAGAGCUUAACUCUUGAAUUGAAUAGUAGAACCUUAUCUCCAGGCUUAAACUCCUUGUGCUUGAUUCUCUUAUCAUGCCAUCGUUUUGUUCUCUCUUUAUAGAUCCUUGAAUUGUGGUAGGCUUUCUCUCUCCAUUCUUCUAGCUCAGAUAGUUGCAUCAGACGAUUCUCGCUAGCAAGGUGGUGAUCCAUGUUCCAUUUCUUGAGUGCCCAAUGAGCCUUAAACUCUACUUCCACAGGCAAAUGACAAGUUUUUCCAUAUACAAGUUGAUAAGGUGACAUGCCUAUGGGUGUUUUGAAUGCAGUUCUAUAUGCCCAAAGCGCAUCAGGAAGUUUGUCCUUCCACCCCUUACCCAUCUCAUCUACGGUCUUUUGUAAAAUAUUUUUGUUUUGUUUGUUAGAUGUUUCGGCUUGACCGCUAGUCUGAGGAUGGUAUGGUGUUGCGACGUUGUGUCGAACUCCAUGAUCGGCUAGAUACUUCCAGAAGAUUUUGUCGAUGAAGUGGGAACCUCCAUCGCUUAUAACUAUCCAGGGUAUACCAAAGCGAGGAAAGAUUACUUCAUGGAACAUUCUCUUGGCAUGUUUUGAAUCAGCUAGGUAGGGCUUCUACCCAUUUGGACACAUAGUCCACAGCUACUAAGAUAUACACACAAUUCUCGGACAUAGGGAAUGGCCCCAUGAAAUCAAUGCCCCAUACAUCGAAAAGUUCUACUUGAAGAUUAUUUGUGAGAGGCAUUUCAUUUCGUGAGUUGAUAUUCCCAUGUUUUUGACAUCGGUGGCAUCUCCUAACAAAGUCCUUUGUAUCUUCAUACAUCGUUGGCCAGAAAAAACCACUUUGCCAAAUUUUAGCAUGUGUCCGGAAAGCUCCAUAGUGUCCUUCAUAUGGCGAGGCAUGGCAUCUUUCCAUAAUUUGAGUAGCCUCAGCCAUAGGAACACACCUUCUCAAGAGUCCAUCAACGCAGACUUGGAAAAGAUAUGGCUCAUCCCAAAGGUGGAAACGACUAUCGUGAAGCAACUUCCUUUUGUUUGCACCAGGUGGGACAUAGCCUUUUACUAUAAAGUUUACGAUGUCUGCGUACCAUGGAUCUGCAUGUGUUAUCUUAAGCAGGGUGUCAUCCCUUAGGUAGUCAUUUAUGGGAAGCUCAUCAUGUGUUUCCUUAUAUUGAAGCCUAGACAAGUGGUCGGCUACGGAAUUAUCUACUCCCUUACUAUCUCGGAUUUCUAUGUCAAAGUCUUGGAGUAGAAGAAUCCAUCGAAUUAGACGAGGCUUAACAUCUUUCUUAGUGAGGAGGUACUUCAGAGCAGCAUGGUCUGAAUAGAUGAUUAUCUUUGCCCCCACUAAGAAAGAUCUAAACUUGUCUAUAGCAAAGACAACAGCCAAAAGCUCUAUUUCAGUUGUAGUGUAAUUGAGCUGUGGUCCAGACAAGGUUUUGCUAGCGUAGGAUAUGGCAUAAUGCUUUUUAUCCUUGGUUUGUCCUAAAACGGCACCAACCACAAAAUCGCUAGCAUCACACAUGAUCUCCAAAGGAAGAUUCCAAUCAGAUGGUUGGAUAAUCGGGGCUAAGAUGAGUGCUUUCCUAAGAGUUUGAAAAGAUUCAUGACACUCAUCACUAAAGAUGAAAGGUGCAUCCUUAGCUAGGAGACUAGUUAGGGGUCUAGCAAUUUGAGAGAAGUUCUUGAUAAAGCGUCUAUAGAACCCUGCAUGUCCCAAAAAGCUAUGGAUUCCUUUCACAUUUAUGGGAGGUGGAAGUUUUUCAAUAACUUCAAUCUUUUCUUUGUCCACCUCUAUACCAUGUUCGGACACUUUAUGUCCUAGCACUAUUCCUUCCUGAACCAUAAAAUGGCAUUUCUCCCAGUUCAGGAUUAAGUGUUUUUCUUGACAUCACUGCAAGACUCUAUCUAAAUUCUCCAAACAAUGAUUGAAGGUUUUGCCAUAGACCAUAAAAUCAUCCAUGAAAACCUCCAUGAUCUUCUCAAUCGUGUCCGAGAAAAUAGACAUCAUGCACCGUUGGAAAGAAGCUGGAGCAUUGCACAAUCCGAACGAUAUUCGUCGGUAUGCAUUAGUUCCAUACGGGCAUGUAAAGGUAGUCUUUUCUUGGUCAUCUGGGUGGAUUGGGAUUUGGUGAUAUCCAGAAUAACCAUCAAGGAAACAAAAGAAAGUGUGGUUUGCAAGCCAUUCCAAUAUUUCAUCAAUGAAGGGUAACAGAAAGUGAUCUUUCUUUGUAGCCUUAUUGAGUUUUCGAUAGUCAAUACACAUACGCCACCCAGUGACAAUUCGUUGAGGGAUGAGUUCAUUCUUCUCAUUCCUAAUGACUGUAUUUCCUCCUUUCUUUGGCACUACUUGGACAGGGCUAACCCACUCACUAUGUGACACAGGAUAAAUAAUCCCAGCAUGAUAGAGUUUGAGGACCUCUUUCUUAACAACCUAUCGCAUAGCAUUGUUAAGUCUCCGCUGUGGUUCCCUUGAAGGUGUAAAAUUGGGAUCAACAGGGAUACGAUGAGUGCAGAGAAUGGGACUAAUGCCCGUGAGAUCUUCGAGAGAGUAGCCAAAUGCUUAUCUAUGCCUUUCAAGAACAGUGACAAGUUGUUGUGUUUCAUAAUCGGAAAGCUUGUCACUGAUAAUUACUGGAGUUUUUGGGUUAUUGUGCAAGAAGACAUAUCUAAGGCCAGAAGGAAGAGGUUUUAAUUCUAUCAAAGGAGGUGAAGGUUGUUCAUUUUUGUCUAGCUCAAUGGGUUCUACCAACUCUUCUUCUUCUUGAACAAAGUGUUCAUGAUUAAAGAAUGGUUGGGCCAUCUCCUCUUGAGUCAGCAUUAAGAUCUCCUUGAUAGGAUCUGGUUCAAGUUUGGGUUCCACUAUCGUGUUAAUUGAUCUAGCAAGAGGUACAACAAUAGUGGAAUUCCCAACCUUGAAGUCUAAAUGACCUCGUUGUGGUUGUUCAUGUAGAAGUUUUAUGAUUGGUUUACCAAUCAAGAGAGGAAUCUCCGGUAUGUCAAAAAUGUGAAAAUCUAGACAUAUUCUAGAGUCCUUGAUUCUAACAGGAACUGCCCUUAAUACCCCAUGGCUUUCUAGAAUUAAUCCAGAUGGACUUUAUAAAAGUUUUUGAGAUGGGGUUAUGGACUCGUUGGGAUAAAGAGUGUCAGCUAACUCCUUGGAAAUAACAUUUAUCCCAACAUAUGGAUUGUAGUGGACCUUCCUAGCAGACCUUCUAAUUUGGCACAGAAGAAUGGUUGAAGGAGUGAUGAAUUGAGCUACCUCAGGAGACAGCUCUGCUUCUGCUAGCCAUUCAUAGCUCAGAAUAGCCGAAAGGCUUUUGAUGUGUUCUAUGUCAACAGAUUAUACUCUUAGAAUGGACUGAGUGGUCCUUGCUAGAGGUCGUGUUUGGAUAGGAAAAUUCGAGGUGUUUCCAAAAUCUUUAAAAAGAUCUUCCUCGAAUUCAAAGGGAUGCUCUAAAGGUGGUGGUUCAUCAUCCCUUAGUUGGUUUUCCAUUCCCUUAUCAGGAGGUUUCUCUACAACCAAAUUAAUAGAUGGGUUAGGUGGAAUUUCUAACUCGGUUGCAAGUUCCUCAUCUUUUGGUUUAGGAUCAGGCUCAACUUCUUUUUCUUCUUCAGGAAACUCAUCAUAAAUGCCUGUGUAAGGGGUAUUUUCAAGGAUUCUUUCUAGGAUAGCUCUCCCCUCAUCUAUGAGUUUGUGUGUGAAUGAGCCUCCUGAAGCAAUGUCGAGGUGAAGAGCAGCUUCCUUGUUUAGACCACGAUAAAAGUGGUAGUACAGUACAUGGUCAGGCAGGGAAAGGUUUGGACCAGAAUUGGUAAGGCUUGUGAACCUAGCCCAAGCUGCUCCUAAAGUUUCCUUCUCUCGUUGAUUGAAUGUAAGAAUUUCAAUUCUAAGGUCAGCGAUUCGAAAAAGUGGGAAGAAAGCGAGACAAAAGUUGUCCCAAAGUUCAUCCCAAUUUCCAUUAACGCCUCCUACAGAAUGAGCAUACCACUUUUUUGCUCUUCCCAAAAGGGAGAACGGAAAUAAUUUCCAUUUAAGGGUUUCUUGUGUCAUGCCAGAAAUAGAUCGGCACGAGCACAACCGCUCGAAUUCUCUAAGGUGGGUGUAUGGAUCUUCAUCUACUUGCCCAGAGAAGGGUUGCUCCUGAAUCAUGGCUAUUAGAUUAGGGCCGAGGUCGUAGCCAUCUGUAAGAAUUGGAUGUGAUGAUGGUGGUGGCUCUAAUAACUCGCCCUUUGGAGCAAAGAAUUUAUAGAUAGGAGUGAAAUCCAUGUGGUGUGGUGAAAAUGGUAAGGUGAAUGUGGUAAAAAAGGAAAAGAAAAAGGAUACACGGACGACUUGGUUCGAAACUAGCACAGCUACCGUUCCCCGGCAACGGCGCCAGAAAGCUUGUUGGGUAUUUUAAACGCAAACAGAAAAAUCCACAAGCGCACGGAUACCGAUGUAGCCUUCACCCGGGAGUAUUCCAGAGUAUCGAUUUUCCACAGGGAACGUGAGUGUACUAAUUAAGAUUCAAGAUCGCCCAAGGAUAACUAUAUUAUUAUUUUUGGUGGGAAGAGAGGAAGUUUCCUGAGAGUUCUCUAGUUGAUCUAAGAAUCAAGAAUUACUUCAAGAUUAUCUAUUUCGGGACAUCAGAACACUAACCACAGAAAGAGAUGAGAAGGGGGCUAGGAAGCUCUGACUACGGUCCUACAAACACCGAUCCGAACGAGGUGGAAUACGUCGACCGUUAGGGCUGUCACUACCCUAGGGCUACCACAACAAUCCGCAGGAUUGGGUGCAAUUCCAGGCAAUUGCAAGACUAAACACCACGUCUAAUCUAUUAAUUACUACUCUAAUGUUGCAAAGAUUAGAGCACUUGAUGCAAGCGGGAAUCCAAUAAUUAACUUGAAUGUAAAUAAAAGUAAUUAAAGAACUCAGGAAUUAUGAGUUGAAGAACCUGGAGAACGAUGAAGAACGAACCAAUUGCUGCAAAAGUACAAUGUUGAGGAAGAUCCGACAGAUUUGGCUCCUCCUCCGCUCUCCUCUUCUCUCUCCCUAUUUUCUAGAUUACAACUAGAGCGAAUAGAACUAGAACUAGAGGAACUAGAGCUAGAUGAACUAGAACUAGAUGAACUAGAGCUAGAACUAGAUGAACUAGAGGGAUCCUCUCUACUUGGAUGAAGAAUUGAAACCCUAACUUUGAUUAUGUAGAAGAGGUAUGAUCUCCAGGGGAGCAUAAUCCUUGAUCCUUUAGGUCGGUGGAGCAUAAUCCGCGAAACGGGUCCGAAUUGGACACGUAGGUGGGCGGGCGCCCAAGGAACUAGGGCGGGCGCCCUGUCCCUGAGCCCUCUUGGCCUCUGCUUCGUUCCCGUGGCUUCUGGAGUCUUCUAGAUGGUAGAAAAUUGCGCAGCACGUUAAUACCUCUAUGUAAACCCGACGUGUGGGCCUUUCUUCCUUAUUUCUUGAUAACCCCCUACAGAAACAGACAAACACCAAAACUCAUGGAAUUCUGUCAGAUAAAACCCUAAGUCUAGGUGUUGGUUGGAUAUAAGUCCUUUUCUAUGAUUUGUUGAUGGUUAAAUGUGAGUAUUAAGGACCGUCAACAAUGAUUAGGAGUGUGGGAUCAUGGAGGUAGUACUAGGAAAAAAGAUUAAAGGACUAAACAUGUUGAAUUAAUUGGGUUAGUUAAUUUAUGUUUGUCUCUUUAUUCAUGUGAACUCUAGAACCAAGGAGAAGCUUAUAAAAGUGAUAGUCAAGUACCUUAAGAUGUUACCUUACUUGAAGAGUGGUGGUAUAGUAUCACCUUGUGGAAGCUUUCCUUUCUUAGCGAUUGUGCACCGUGUUUGUGGCGCUCUUUAUCUCGUUCCAUGGAUCAUCUCUCUAUGAUGAAUGAGCUAUGUCUUCCUUGUGCAAAUCGUUAAACUUCAUGUGUCUCCUUUGUCUCCAAUGUGAGUUUGUAUCUCAGGACUUCCAAGGUUGAUAUUGAAAGUUUUCCUGCAGGGGUUAGUCCGACAAAAUAUACCAAUGUCUACUCAAGUAGUUUUUAGUUCAGUAACCAAACUAGACUCCAUGUCUAAUCAGAUUAAGGAAGGAUAUUUAACCUAAGCACCACGCUUAAUUUAAAUGCCAAUGGGAGUAUGUCGAGUACUUCCAAACCAACACUUGCUUGUGAAUAGACAAAGGUAGCAUGACUGUUGACACUUGCUAACACCACUUGAAUACUAGGUUGUCAUCCCCAGCAUGGCACUAGAGUGUACUAUGGUAUUUAUACGCACACAGAUAAUCCGCAAGCGCACGGAUACCGUUGAAGCUUUUACCCGGUUAAAGGUUUAUCGUAUCCACAGGGAAACGGGAGAACCAACUACGCUCUAACUUAACCAAGAUAGAUGGAUAGGUGUAAAUAGGAAAGAUGGUAGAAUUGAAUAAGAACAAUAUUAAAGGUAAGAUAACAAUAGGUGAUAAUAUGGGAAUAGAGAGUAGAGCAAUUCAAGUAUAUGGGCGAUGGUAGCAGAAUAGAGAGAAUAACUAUGGUUUCUCUACUUCAAAGGGGUAUGUCUAUGUCUGGGACAAACCACGUGAUAAGAGUACACCACAAAGGAUGCUUAUCCUUAGGCCGAUAAACCCUACCCGUCCUGCUAACGAGAGGUGGACUACAGAGGACCAACGUAGCUGUCAGCUACGCGGCCUACCACACGAUCCAGCUAGACAGAGGAUAUCCACAAGUAAUCUAGGUCUAAGCACCACACUUACACCUAUACUACAACUCUAACCUAUAGCGUCCUAUAGAUUAGAAGUACUCAAAAGAGUUGUAAACUAGAACAUACAUGAUUAGUAAUUGCAUAAUGAAUUAUAAGUAGAUCACCAGAGUCAUCCCAUGAGCAAGCUUGAUUAGUGCUUGAUCAUGACGAAGUACAACCGGAGGAAGAACCGACAGGCCGGCCUCUCCUCUAAUCCUCCUUCACUCUCCAUCUCGCUACUAUCUAGAUCUACUCUAGUUUAGAGAAGAGAGGAGAACUCUCAUCUCUAAACCCUAGCUUUUGCUCUGUCUAUGAAUAAUGAAUAAUGAUCAAGGGGUGCCUCCUCCAGGGGCGAGGGGUCUGGUUUUAUAGUCCCCUCAAGUGAACCUGGGCCGUCAGAUCAAACCGACAUAGAUUGAACGGUUAUCCUUGAUCCUUUAGGUCGGUAGAGAUCUCCCACGAAGCAGAGUCCUGAUUGGACUCUUAGAGGGGGCGGGCGCCCAGGGCAGGAGGGCGGGCACCCUGCCUCUGGCCCCGUUUCGCCUCCGCUUCGGUCUCGUGGCUUCUGGAGUCUUCUAGAUGUAAGAUAAUUGCACGACACGUUAAUAUCUCUAUGUAAUCCCGACGUGUGGGCCUUUCUUCCGUAUUUCCUGAUAACCCUGUGCAGAAAUACACAAACACCAAAACUCGUGGAAUUCUGUCAGAUAAAACCCUAAGUCUAGAUGUUGAUUUCAUUUGGAUCCUUUUCUUUGUUUAUUUGAUAAUUAAAUUUGAUACUUAAGGACCGUCAACAAACUCCCCCAAGCUUACCUCUUGCUCGUCCCUGAGCAAGGAUAGACUUAGCAAUGGAUCAGAAGUUGUUGCAAUAUCUUAAAAAUUUGACGGUACACAUGCUUUUAAAUAAGAUCUCAUCUCUGAGUUAGAGUAAACUGUCAAGAACUAAAACUUACUUACUUUACCUUUCACCAUGGGACUUGUAACCAUCACUUUUGUCUUGAGUAGCUAAAAGAUAGAACAGUUUAGCCAAGUGCCAUGUCUCUUAUUCUUGAUCAGCUAAAGCUCUGGAGUUUUUGCAGAUAUUCAAAUAAAACUCAGAGAUUCCUUGUAUGACUUUCUAAAUCUCUCUUUUGUGGUAUUUUUGGAUCCUUACCAAGGCAGUGAUGGUAUAUGCCUUCUCUCAAGAUAUGUGGUAUUUGUGGUAUAAGGCAUAGUGACAUUGCCUUCUCUCUCACCCUACUCUAAUAAGGCUUUAAUAUCUGGAGCUCAUAGGUGAGAGAUAAAGUAUACAUACUUACAAGACAUUUAUUGUAUAGUCAAACCAUGGAUCCAAAGAAACAAAUCAAUAAGCCAAAUCAAGAUGUGCAUGUGUGGCGAAUGAAUGGUGUAUGGUGAUGAUGGUGAUAACAAUGGUGAAAGUCUAAUUCUACUUUUGCUCUUUUGACGGGAUACAUACCUUCCUUGCUUUUUGAAACUUUAUGAGGAGAAUGAGAUGCUCUUCUUUUUCUUUCCUCUCUGGUGGGUAUCUUGUACCCCUAAUUCUACUGUCGGACACUUGUCCAUUUUUACCUCUCGUCUCACUUUUUCUUUCUUUCGAGGUUCUGGGCACUUGCCCCUUUUUAUUUCCUCGUUUAUUUUUUUUCUUUUCUUCUCUUUUCUUUUUUUUUCAGAGCACUCAUCUCUUGAGAUAAUAUAGCAAGUGGUAGUAGCAGGAUAACUUAAGCAUUUAUUUCACAAGGGAAAACAAAAAUAUUUUUUGCUAUUCUCUCCCGGAUUAGGAGUAGAAUAUUUUUGGGUGAUUCUGGAGAUGGACAUGGAUGGAUAUAUGUGGAUGGUACUUCCAGAGUAGAAGUAGCAUAUAUGAGUGAACGUGCAAGUGAAUCUUGAUUUAACCACAUGACAAGCUCCUAAGGGUCUACACAGCUUGACCACACUCAAUGCUCAUAAGCAGUAAAUAGUAAAUGUGUGGCUCAAAGUCUAGCAAGCAUGUAUAUAUGGCUGUGGUAGGAAUUUAAACUCUCAUCAUACAGAAACUCAUCAUGGAAUAUUUUAAAGAUUUUUCAAAGAUGAAAUUCUCCAGAAUUCUAGCAUCUCUAGGAACAGAUAAACAGCAGCUCAACCUUCCCAUAUCAUAUCCGUUAACAACUUAGACUUCAGAUCAAGUUUUCAUCCCACAAGUUUAGGUCUAGAGCAAGCUUUAAAUUAUAACAGUUAUGUCUAAACUUGAGAGAGAACUUCAAAUUUUAAAAAUUAAGCAGACCAACUAUUCAUCAUAUCCAUGCUAGAGUUUUAUUAUUAAGAUUCAGAUUAGCAUAGCCACUUUAUUUAUUUAUUCAACACACUAAGCAAAAGAUAUAUCUAUAAGCACAAAAUCUUUAUUUGAUUUUUCAUAGUUUAUGUAUUUUAAUAUUCUAACAUAAUAUAAGUGAAGGGUCGAGAUGGCGGACUAGAGGGGGGUGAAUAGUCCUUUCUAAAACUUAUUACGCCGGCUAACCGAAACAAGUGCGGAAUUAAAACUAUCGGUCUAGCCAAGACUACACCCCUCUAUCUAAGUUCUCUAGCACCUUGUAAAAGAUCCUAAACAAGCAAACAAGGUGCUACCUUAGCAAGAGCUCACCUAACCAAUUCUAGGAGCAAGGUCACACAAACCUAUGCAACUAGUACUUUGCAAACCGAGGGAGCUCCUAUACAAACUAGUGAGGCAAAGUGCACAAAGCCUAAUCUCACUAGCAAGCUCAAUAACAAGGCAACUAAUGCCAAAUUAGAGAGCGCAACUUACUUAGCUACACAAACUAAGCAAUGUGACUAACAAGGUUACACAAACCAAAUUAGUCAGGCAAGGGAACUACUUCUAGCUACACAAGCAAGAAGGUAACUAGCAAGCUACACAAGCUAACUAAUUACAAGAACAACUGCACAAGCACAAGUAUAUGAAUGUAAGAAUAAGCUUGUGUUAGGGACUUGCAAACCAACGGGAAGAACAAAUGUUGACACGAUGAUUUUCUCCCGAGGUUCACUUGGUUGCCACCAAGCUACGUCCCCGUUGAGACAUGCUCCAAGGUUGCCGCCGGUCCUCUUGCUAGUGGUGACCCGCAAGUCACUCUCUCCCACGUGGAGUGCUUACCACAAGCUCUAGCACUUGACCCGGCCGGACCACUUGUCGCUCUUCACGUCUCGCUCAACUAGAGUUGCUCUUCGCGAUCCCCGCGGGGUGAGCACCGUACCCCUCACAAUCUCUUCUCCGGAGCACCGCACAAUCUCCUUGCGUGCUUCGACGGAGUCACAAGCCACCAAGCCGUCUAGGAGGUGGCAACUUCCAAGAGUAACAAGCACCACCGGCUUGCAACACGAACACCUAGUGCCACUCGAUGCAAUCUCUCAAUGCAACGCACUAGAAUCACUCACUCGCUAUUGAUUCGCGCUCUUGCAAGCACAAGUGAGUUAGAGGCUUUCCUAGCACUCCCCAAGCANNNNNNNNNNNNNNNNNNNNNNNNNNNNNNNNNNNNNNNNNNNNNNNNNNNNNNNNNNNNNNNNNNNNNNNNNNNNNNNNNNNNNNNNNNNNNNNNNNNNNNNNNNNNNNNNNNNNNNNNNNNNNNNNNNNNNNNNNNNNNNNNNNNNNNNNNNNNNNNNNNNNNNNNNNNNNNNNNNNNNNNNNNNNNNNNNNNNNNNNNNNNNNNNNNNNNNNNNNNNNNNNNNNNNNNNNNNNNNNNNNNNNNNNNNNNNNNNNNNNNNNNNNNNNNNNNNNNNNNNNNNNNNNNNNNNNNNNNNNNNNNNNNNNNNNNNNNNNNNNNNNNNNNNNNNNNNNNNNNNNNNNNNNNNNNNNNNNNNNNNNNNNNNNNNNNNNNNNNNNNNNNNNNNNNNNNNNNNNNNNNNNNNNNNNNNNNNNNNNNNNNNNNNNNNNNNNNNNNNNNNNNNNNNNNNNNNNNNNNNNNNNNNNNNNNNNNNNNNNNNNNNNNNNNNNNNNNNNNNNNNNNNNNNNNNNNNNNNNNNNNNNNNNNNNNNNNNNNNNNNNNNNNNNNNNNNGUCCACACCGGACGCGUCGGUGCCACCGGACUCGUGCGCAGAGAGCUCCGCAAAGUCGCACGGUCAUCGGACGCAAGGCACCGGACGCACCCUGAGCGUCCGGUGCUCACCGGACUCAUGCGCAGUGAGGGUCGCCAAACCGCUCGCACACCGGACGCUGAGCACCGGACUCUCUCCGGUGCGUCCGGUGCACUCUGCUGCACCCGACAGCACACCAGACGCUAAAGGCCAGCGUCCGGUGCCUCCACGCAGAGCGUCCGGUGAGUGUUUCCUACUGAGAAACACUCCCGCAACUUCUCCAAAUUUUCCACCGGCGCAAUAGAAAAUAUACACUUAUUUUUCUCAAAAGCGCCGAAUCCCGCCUCGCAAGCUCGGCGGGAGGGAGAGAGGAACCCACACGCCUCUCAACCCUAGGAACUCCACCUCCUUUGUAGAUGUGCCAACACCACCAAGUGUACACCACCAUGUGCAAGUGUGUUAGCAUUUUCACAAACAUUUUUCCAAGGGAGUUAGCCUUGCCACGCCACUCGAUCCUAACACGUAUGCAAAGUUAGAUCGCUCAAGUGGCACUAGAUGACCGAUAUGCAAACAAGUUUGCCCCUCUUGAUAGUACGGCCAUCUAUCCUAAAUCCGGUCAUAAACUUCUCUACCCACCUAUGACCGGUGAAAUAGAAAUGCCCUAGGUUAUACCUUUGCCUUGCGCAUUCCAUUCCAUCUCCUCCAAUGUUGAUGCAACACAUUCACCAACCAAUCACCAAAUGAUAUGAUCCACUUCAUAUCAUCACGUGACCGUAUUGGUUCAUCGAUCUUGACCUCACUUGCUCUUCACCGUUGCCUCGGUCCAUCGGCGCCAAGUCUUGCUCAAGCUUCACCGUCACACGCGGUCCCUCGCGUCAAAGCCUCCGACUUGCCCUUCACUCUUGCAACCGGUACAUCAAGCCAAGCCUCAUCUUGAUCUUCUCCACCUUGGUCACAUGACUCCAUGUCAUGUCUCAUAUGCAAUGAGCUCCUCCAUCAUCACAUCAUCACCUGUGGACUAAUCUCCUGUAUAUCUCAUAUAAACACUAUUAGUCCACCUAAGUUGUCACUCAAUUACCAAAACCAAACAAGGACCUUUCAAUAAGUAUAAAGAUAGGUAGAAAUACUUAGCGAGAUAAAUGGGGGUGCUCUCCCCCAAGCUGAAUUUUGACGUAAUUUCUCUUGAUGUAGCUAGCAGGUGGCAGAGGUGUAUUUGAAAGUCAGCAGCAUUCUGACAGCGAUUAAAAUGUCCUCCGUCUCCUAGUCUUCUUGAUUCUUAAAUUCUGUGGAGCUUAAAUAGACAACAAAGCUUGUGAAACUAAUUAAGUGUUAGCAUAAAUAUCUAGCCUUCAUCAUGUUGAGCUUCCUCAAUAAAUAUUACUCCGAGUUUCUAUAUUUUUAUUUUAUAAAGCAAAAAAGAAAUAUUUAUUUUAUUUUUAUGCCACCACAGUGAAGGUACUUAUGGGUUUUAUGCCACUCGUAUACUCACAUGGGGCUUAGUAUUUUUUAACAUUUUUAUUUUCUUUUCAAGAUAGCAUGAUUAACUAAUAAUCUAUUUAAGGAAAGUAAAUAAUUAAAGGGAAAAGGGAAUGCAGAAAGGAUAAAUAUGGAUAACUACUGAUCUUACCUUUCGGCGAGGGUUCAAUGUUUUAAGUCUUCUUAACAAGACUUCUCACCGUGUUCAUUCUUCAGGUGCGUCAUUUGAUUCAGGUGCGGACCUUGACGUCUGCACCUCUUCGUUUGCCCAGCAGUUCAAAGUGUGGCGUUGGCAGUGUCCUGCUCAGUGUGUUUGUGCUCGUAGAUCCAGAUCCUUCACUUGGUAGAGUCUAAGAGUUAUAAAACUCCUCCGUGUUUUGCUCAAAGUGCACCUGCUUAUAGAGACAAGGCAGAGAUCAAGUGCAUGGGUCCUGUUGGUGGAAAACACCAACAGAACCUAAAGUGUAUUUGUUCUUCUCUAUCCCUAAGCAUAGUGAGCAAGACAAAGUUGAUGGAUGAAAGUUCAUGAGUGUAGCACUUAUAACAUUAGUCAGAUCAGAUUACUCAACCUUAUGGAAAGACAAUCUAUCUAUGUAUAUGUCUUUUUCUUUAUAUCUCUCAAAGAUUGAAUGUGUAGCAUUUUAGCUCAUAUGAUUAGGAGUGUGGGUUCAUGGAGGUAGUACUAAGAACAAGGAUAAAAGGACUAAACAUGUUGAAUCAGUUGGGUUGGUUAAUCUAGAGUUGUAAAUCAUACAUGUUUGUCUCUUUUGUUUAUAUGAACGCUAGAACCAAGAGAAGCUUAUAAAAGUGAUAGUCAAGUAUCUUAAGAUGUUACCUUGCUUGAAGAGUGAUGGUACAGUAUCACCUUGUGGAAGCUUUUCUUUCUUAGCGGUUGUGCAUCGUGUUUGUGGCACCCUCCAUGGAUCAUCUCUCUAUGAUGAAUGAGCUAUGUCCUUCUUGUGCAAAUUGUUAAACUCAUCUGUCACUCUCUUCGUCUCUGAUGUGAGUUUAUCUCAGGACUUCCCAAAUCAAUAUUGAAAGUUUUUCUGCAGGGGUUAGUCUGACAAAAAUAUACCAAUGUCUACACAAGAAGUUUUUAGUUCAAUAACCGAACUAGACUCCAUGUCUAAUCAGAUUAAGGAAGGCUAUUUAACCUAAGCACCAUGCUUAAUUUAAAAGCCAAUAGAAGUAUGUGCAGUACUGCCAAACUAACACUUACUAGUAAAUAGACAAAGGUAACAUGACAGCAUUUAUAGAGAUCUACUCAAGUGGAGAUGAAGUAGUGUGAUUAGUAUUUAACAAAUUGAGCAUGUCUUAAAGGUAGGGACAACCAACAUAGCAACAUGGAAAAUGAUGUUUUUAUGUAAAGUACUCCCCCAAGCAUGAAUUUUGCAGAAUUCAAGUUUGGAUGAAUUUAAUUCAGUGUUCCAUGAUGAUUGGUUGGACAUACCUUGUACUUGCUUGUCAUUCAUCUGUUCUUCUUGUUCCAAUCCUAGAAAGGUUAGUGACAAGAAUACCCGAAGGAAUAUUUUUACAAUUAUCCUUAUAUGCUCAAUACACAAGGUAAUGUUGCAAAUAAUUAAAAACUCAUGUUAUGAUCUGAUCAGUGCUUAUUUUAGGACACCAAGCUUGUCCUUGGGAAACCAUCAAUUUAUGUCGGCGAAGUGGUUUCCCUUCCAACACUGACCUAAAUCAAGAUCUACUCAACGAGAUCUGCAAUAUUUAUUAUAGACAUAUGCAUCGACAACCGCCCUUUUAAAGUUUUUAUAAAUAGAAAGGAAGAGGGGGGUUGGAGAUCUCAAAUGUGGUGAUGUUGGAGAGACCAAUAGAUUGGGAAGAUGUUGCAUAUGAGCAUGGAGUAGACAAAGUGGCUAUGAAAUAAAUUCCAUGCUCAUUAAUGUUAUCUUCGUCUCUAAUCUGAAUGUUUAGAGUUUCUCUUGGAUUGGUCUCACUUAUGUCCUCUUCUAUAGUUGGAUGAAUCCCAUCUUCAAAGGGAGUCAAGAACUCACCAUUUGAAAUUGAACCAAAGUCAGAAUUCAUUAAGGCUUCUUCCUUAUCCAUCCAUUCUACACAUUCUAGCCAUUUAGAACUUGUGAUCAGGAAAGGGGAGGUGUUAGAAUAUUCAAUAUGGCUUAGCUCUCCUUCACUUGAUAUGUCAUCCUCAACUUCUUCAUAACAGGAACCAGGACAUUCUCUAAGAGAACCAUUAUUGCGAGGAUUUGAAUUAUCCCUGCUUGAAGGUCUCUUAUGGAACCAGAAGUCUAAACCAUCAGCAUCUGAAAGAUUUAAGGUCGGAAUUCCUUCCUCCCUUGGAGAAUUUUGGGGUAUUGAUGGUUUAGGAUCGAUAGCUAAAGUUUGGAAUUGAAAUGGUUGUGAUCUGGCUAUCAAAACUUCUUCUUCUUGUCUAGGACCUGGUUCUGUCUCUUUCUCAGGAAUAUAAAAGCUAGGAGACUUUCCGCUCAUUAAAUCAGUCAAAUUCCAAGCUUCACUAGCGGAUAGGUGGUGGAAAGAUCCUCCAGAGGCCGUAUUCAAGGUUUGCUUAUUUUCCCCACUAAGUCCCUCAAAAAAGUGAAUUAGAAGAACUUCUUCUGGAAUAGAGAGCUUUGGGCCAGUGAGAGUAAGGUUAAUAAAGCGGUCCCAUGAUUUCCUUAGAGAUUCUUCUUCCAGUUGUCUAAAAGAAAUAAUCUCACACCAAAGUUCCGCCACUUUGGAGAUUGGAAAAUAUUUAGAAAGAAAACUACUAUAUAACUCCUUCCAAUCUCUAUGAACACUCCCUAUUUUGAGUUUGUACCAAUGUCUAGCUUUUCCCGUUAAAGAGAACGGAAAGAGCUUCCAUUUGAGGGUCUCAUCGGACAUUCCUUCUAUGCGAAGGAGGUCACAGACUCGAUAAAACUCUCUUAGGUGUGUGUAUGGGUUUUCCUCACCUUCUCCUGAGAAAGGUUGUUUUUGAACAAAUUCUAUGUAUUCGGGGUCUAUCUCAAAACUAGAUGCUAUGAUAGGCUUUGAAGAUUUUGGUGGUUCAAGAUGUGUGCCCGUAGGUCUAUGAAAUUCAUAAAUAGACAUGUUUGAAUUCAUGAUAGACCAGAGAUCAAGUAUUAGAUAAGAAGAAAGAUUAGCAGAGAUGAGGCAAAGGAUAAAACGAAAAUAUAUUUUUUUUAUUUUUUAGAAAAUGAUUAAGCUAGUUCGUAGUCAACUCAGCAACCGAUUCCCCAGCAACGGCGCCAAAAAUGCUUGUUGACACUUGCUAACACCACUUGAAUACUAGGUUGUCAUCCCCAGCAUGGCACUAGAGAGUACUAUGGUAUUUAUACGCACACAGAUAAUCCGCAAGCGCACGGAUACCGUUGAAGCUUUUGCCCGGUUAAAGGUUUUAUCGUAUCCACAGGGAAACGGGAGAACCAACUACGCUCUAACUUAACCAAGAUAGAUGGAUAGGUGUAAAUAGGAAAGAUGGUAGAAUUGAAUAAGAACAAUAUUAAAGGUAAGAUAACAAUAGGUGAUAAUAUGGGAAUAGAGAGUAGAGCAAUUCUAUUAUAUGGGCGAUGGUAGCAGAAUAGAGAGAAUAACUAUGGUUUCUCUACUUCAAAGGGGUAUGUCUAUGUCUGGGACGAACCACGUGAUAAGAGUACACCACAAAGGAUGCUUAUCCUUAGGCCGAUAAACCCUACCCGUCCUACUAACGAGAGGUGGACUACAGAGGACCAACGUAACUGUCACCUACGCGGCCUACCACACGAUCCAGCUAGACAAGGGAUAUCCACAAGUAAUCUAGGUCUAAGCACCACGCUUACACCUAUACUACAACUCUAACCUAUAGCGUCCUAUAGAUUAGAAGUACUCAAAAGAGUUGUGAACCAGAACAUACAUGAUUAGUAAUUGCAUAAUGAAUUAGAAGUAGAUUACCAGAGUCAUCCCAUGAGUAAGCUUGAUUAGUGCUUGAUCAUGACGAAGUACAACCGGAGGAAGAACCGACAGGCCGGCCUCUCCUCUAAUCCUCCUUCGCUCUCCAUCUCGCUACUAUCUAGAUCUACUCUAGUUUAGAGAAGAGAGGAGAGCUCUCAUCUCUAAACCCUAGCUUUUGCUCUGUCUAUGAAUAAUGAAUAAUGAUCAAGGGGUGCCUCCUCCAGGGGCCAGGGGGUCUGGUUUUAUAGUACCCUCAAGUGAACCGGCCGUUAGAUCAAACCGACAUAGAUUGAAUGGUUAUCCUUGAUCCUUUAGGUCGGUAGAGAUCUCCCACGAAGUAGAGUCCUGAUUGGACUCUCAGAGGGGGCGGGCGCCUUGCCUCUGGCCCCGUUUCGCCUCUGCUUCGGUCUCGUGGCUUCUGGAGUCUUCUAGAUGUAAGAUAAUUGCGCGGCACGUUAAUAUCUCUAUGUAAUCCCGACGUGUGGGCCUUUCUUCCGUAUUUCCUGAUAACCCCCUGCAGAAAUAGACAAACACCAAAACUCGUGGAAUUCUGUCAGAUAAAACCCUAAGUCUAGAUGUUGAUUUCAUUUGGAUCCUUUUCUUUGUUUAUUUGAUAAUUAAAUUUGAUACUUAAAGGACCGUCAAAUUCGGACCCGCCCAACUCUUCUGGGCGCCCGCCCAGCUACAGUGUCCAAUUCGGACCCGUUUCGCGGAUUAUGCUCCACCGUCCUAAAGGAUCAAGGAAAACCGUGCGAUCAAUGUCGGUUUGAUCCGACGGCCCAGAUUCACUUGAAGGGACUAUAAAACCAGACCCCCUGGCCCCUGGAGAGCAUACCUCUUCUACAGAAUCAAAGUUAGGGUUUCAAUUCUUCAUCCAAGUAGAGAGGAUCCCUCUAGUUCAUCUAGUUCUACCUCUAGUAAAUCUAGUUCUAGUUCUAGUUCAUCUAGUUCUAGUUCUAGUUCAUCUAGUUCUAGUUCUAGUUAGUUCUAGUUGUAAUCUAGAAAAUAGGGAGAGAGAAGAGGAGAGCGGAGGAGGAGCCGGAUCUGUCGGAUCUUCCUCAACAUUAUACUUUUGCAGCAUCUGGUUCGUUCUUCAUUGUUCUCCAGGUUCUUCAAUUCAUAAUUCCUGAGUUCUUUAAUUACUUUUAUUUACAUUCAAGUUAUUUAUUGGAUUCCCGCUUGCAUCAAGUUCUCUAGUCUUUAUAACGCUAGAGUAGUAAUUAAUAGAUUGGACGUGGUGUUUAGUCUUGCGAUUACCUGGAAUUGCACCCAAUCCUGCGGAUUGUUGUGGUAGCCUUAGGGUAGUGACAGCCCUAACGGUCGACGUAUUCCACCACGUUCGGAUCGGUGUUUGUAGGACCGUAGUCAGACCUUCCUAGCCCCCUUCUCAUCUCUUUCUGUGGUUAGUGCUCUGAUGUCCCAAUAUAGAUAAUCUUGAAGUAAUUCUUGAUUCUUAGAUCAACUAGAGAACUCUCAGGAAACUUCCUCUCUUCCCACCAAAAAUAUUCAUAUAGUUAUCCUUGGGCGAUCUUGGAUCUUAAUUAGUACACUCACGUUCCCUGUGGAAAAUCGAUACUCUGGAAUACUCCCGGGUGAAGGCUACAUCGGUAUCCGUGCGCUUGCGGAUUUUUCUGUUUGCGUUUAAAAUACCUAACAAGCUUUCUGGCGCCGUAGCCGGGGAACGAUAGCUGUGCUAGUUUUGAACCAAGUUGUCCGUGUAUCCUUUUUCUUUUCCUUUCUUACCACACUCACCUUUCAUUUUUACCAUACCACAUGGAUUUCACUCUAAGCAUUAGUGAGCAUGGAAUUUAUUUCAUAGCCACUUCAUUUACUCCAUGCUCAUAUGCAACAUCUUCACAAUCCAUUGGUCUCUCCAACAUCACCACAUUCGAGAUCUCCAACCCCCUCUUCCUUUCUAUUUAUAAAAACUUUAAAAGGGUGGUUGUCGAUGCAUAUGUCUAUAUUAAAUAUUGCAGAUCUCGUUGAGUUGAUCUUGAUAUAGGUCAGCGUUGGAGGGUAAACCACUUCACUGACAUAAAUCAAUGGUUUCCCAAGGACAAGCUUAGUGUCCUAAAACAAGCACUGAUCAGAUCAUAACAUGAGCUUUUAAUUAUUUGCAACAUUACCUUGUGUAUUGAGCAUAUAAGGAUAAUUGUAAAAAUAUUCCUUCGGGUAUUCUUGUCACUAACCUUUCCAGGAUUGGAGCAAGAAGAUCGGAUGAAUGACAAGCACAAGGUAUGUUCAACCAAUCAUCAUACAACAUUGAAUUAAAUUCAUCCAAACUUGAAUUUUGCAAAAUUCAAGCUUGGGGGAGUACUUUACAUAAAAACAUCCUUUGCCAUGUUGCUAUGUUGGUUAUCCCUACCUUUGAGACAUGCUCAAUUUGUUAAAUACUAAUCACACUACUUCAUCUCCGCUUGAGUAGAUCUCUAUAAAUGCUCUCAUGCUACCUUUAUUUGCUUUAGUAUAUGUCUAGGUUGGAGUAGUUUCAUUUAUCUCUUAAUUAAGCUUGGUGCUUAGUUCAGGAAUGAUGAUCUUACUUCCAAGGGGUUUUAAAUUAAGCAUGGUGCUUAGGUUAAAAUAGCCCUCCUGAAUCAAAUUAGACAUGGUGUCUAGGUUGAUUUUUGAGCUGAUAGUAUGCUAUAGUAGAUAUUGGAUAUUUUGUUGGACUAACCCCUGCAGGAAAACUUUCACUAUCAACCUGGGAAGUCCUGAGAUACACUCACAUUGGAGACAAAGAGAGAGACACAUGAAGUUUAACAAUUUACAUGAGGAAGGCAUAGCUCACAAGAGAUGAUCCAUGGAGGGUGCCACAAACACGAUGCACAACUGCUAAGAAAGGAAAGCUUCCACAAGGAGAUACUGUACCAUCACUCUUCAAGUAAGGUAACAUCUUAAGGUACUUGACUAUCACUCUAUAAGCUUCUCCUUGGUUCUGGCGUUCACAUGAAUAAAAGAGACAAACAUGUAUGAUUUACAACUCUAGAUUAACCAACCCAUUCGAUUCAAUAUGUUUAGUCCUUCCACCUUUGUGAUCCUACACUCCUAAUCAUAUGAACUAAAGUGUUGCACACUCAAUGUUUGGAAGAUAUAUAUAAAAAACAUAAGUAUCGAUAGAUUAUCUUUCCAUUAGGUUGAGUGAUCUGAUCUGACAAAUGUUUUAAAUGCUACACUCAUGAUCUUAUUAUCCAUCAACUUUGUCUUGCUCACUAUGCUUAAGGUUAGAGAAGAACAAAUACACUUUUGGUUUUGUUGGUGUUUUCCACCAACAGGGCCCAUGCACUUGAUCUCUGCCCUGUCUCUACGAGCAGGUACACUUCGAGCAAAAUAUGAAGGAGUUUUACAACUCCCAGACUCCACCAAGUGAAGAACCUAGAUCUACGAGCACAUACACAAUGGAGAUACUGGACACUCAGUCAAAAGAGGCGAUCCAGGACGCCCCGUCAUCCCGAUCUCCAUCGGCAUGGUGGACUUCCUAGAAGCACUCUGCGACUUUGGCUCCAACGUCAACAUUAUGCCCAAGGUACUCUAUGAAAAAAAUUCUUUACACAUCCUUUACUAGAAACAACCAUGUGCUUGUAGCCUGCAGAUCAGACACUAAGUUUCCCAAAGAGAAUAUUGAAGAACCUCUGCGUCCGAGUUGGUACCUUGUACGCCCCAGCAAACUUCGUGGUGAUAGAGACUAGUACUGAUGAGAGGGCACCCAUCUUAGGGAGGCCAUUCCUGAACACCUCGGGAGCUGUCAUCUACGUUAGUGCUGCCAAGAUCAGUUUCUACAUCAAGGGGAGGAAGGAGACGUUUUCCUUCAAGAACAAGACUACACAAAUCUCAGAGCAAUCCCGACAUGAACCAACAGGAGGAACAGAAACAAGCAAAUGUAGACCGAGUCAGCUAAGAUGGUCACUGCAGUUCAAGGAUGUCAAGAUCGUUGACUUAAGUCACCGUUCCUGACCAAAAAGGACGACCCAGUCACCUGUCAGCUCCUAUUCAGAACCAUGCCCCUAAAACCGACAUACAUUCAGCUCCAGAUGGCAGAUCAGACAUUCUGAAAGGUUGAAGAUUUUUAGGUUAUUGACAUGGGAGAAGACGAGUACGAUCCACCCAUCAUCCUUGAGAGGCCGCUCCUCAGCACCGAUAAAGCAAUCAUCAACAUUGGAACCGGAGAAGUCCACAUGCACUUCCCCUCUGAGAAGGUACGCCGCUAUUUUACUGACCCUAACUAUAUCGUUGAAGACUCUAAGCAGGUCAGGACAAGAAGAAGACGACGCAACCACAACCAGAGGAGGCAAAUCAUCAAGGACGGAUGGGUAGACAAUGAAGGAGAAGUAGUAAGGUCUGAAGACAUACAGCUUGAUCAGAACUGUCCUGAGGAGACCGUAGCACCGAGUCAAGUGUGUAGAGAGAAGAUAGUUAUACAUGAAGAGCAGGCGCCGCCGGAACCACCGACUACGCCAUCCAGCGAAUCCCAGGACGACUGAGAAAACGGAGAGUCCCGUUCGGAGGACUUAAAAACACCGAACGCCUUGCCAAGAGGUAAACUUGGUAGUUAUCUUUUUCCUUUCAAUUAUUUAAAAUAGUUUGCUUAGUUAAUCAGGUUCAUAUCAUCUUGAAAAGAAAAUAAAAAUGUUAAAAAUAGUAAGCCCCAUAUGAGUAUGCUCAUGGCAUAAAACCCAUAAGUACAUUCAUUGUGGUGGCGUAAAAAUAAAAUAAAUAUAUAUUCCUGUCCUAUAAAAAGAUUUAUGAUCCUACUAAAAAGAGUAACAUCUAUUGAGGAGGCUCAACAUGAUAAAGGCUAGAUAUUUAUGCUAACACUUAACUAGUUCCACAAAGCUUUGUUGUCUAUUUGAGCUUCACUGAAUUCAAGGAUCAAAGAAGACUAGCAGACGGAGGACAUCCUAAUCGCUGUCAGGGUGCUGCUGACAUUCAAAUACACCUCCACCAACUGCUAGCUACAUCAGAAGAAAUUACGUCAAAACCCAGCUUGGGGGAGAGCAACCCCAUUUAUCCAGCUAAGUGCUCUACUCAUGUUUAUACUUUACUCUAAUAAUAAAAUUAUGCAUAAUCAUAGAAACCCAAAUAAAGAUUUUGUGCAUAUAUAUAUCUUUGCUUAGUUUGCUAAAUAAAUAAAUAAAUAAAGUCUGCUAUAAACCAUCAUGAUAAGCUCUCACAUGGAAAUGAUGAAUAGUUGCUCUGCCAUGACUAGUUCUCAAAAUUGAAAUCUCUCUUUUAAGUUUAGGCCUGGCUGUUAUUAAUUUGCUCUAAACCUGAACUUGUGGGAAGAGUACUUGAUCUGAAGUCUAAGUCGUUAACGGAUAUGAUAUGGGAAGGUUGAGCUACUGUCUAUCUGUUCCUAGAGAUGCUAGAAUUCUGGAGAAUUUUAUCUUUGAAAAUCAUUAAAAUAACACAUGAUGAGUUCCUGUAUGAUGAGAGUUUAAAUUCCUACCACAGCCAUAUAUACAUGCUUGCUAGACUUUGAGCCACACAUUUACUUUUUACUGCUUAUGAGCAUUGAGUGUGGUCAAGCUGUGUAGACCCUUAGGAGCUUGUCAUGUGGUUAAAUCAAGAUUCACUUGCACGUUCAGUCAUACAUGCUACUUCUACUUCGGAAGUAUGCAUCCACAUAUAUCCAUCCAUUUCCAUCUCCACAACGACCCAAAAAUAUUCUACUCCUAAUCCGGGAGAGAAUAGCCAAAAACAUUCUCUUAUUUCUGUUUUUCCCUGUGAAAUAAAUGCUCAAGUUAUCUUGGUUACUACCACUUGCUAUAUUAUUUCAGGAGAUGAGUGCUCUAAAAAAAGAAAAAAAAAGAAAAAAAAAUACGAGGAAAUAAAAAGGGGCAAGUGCCCGGAACCUCGAAAGAAAAAAAAAAGUGAGACGAGAGGUAAAAAUGGACAAGUGGCCGACAGUAGAAUUAGGGGUAUAAGAUACCCACCUGAGAGAAAAGAAAAAAAAAGAGAAAAUAUAGAGCAUCUCAUUCUCCUCAAAAAAGUUUCAAAAGAGCAAGAAAGGUAUGUAUCCCCUCAAAAGAGCAUAAGCAGAAUUAGACUUUCACCAUUGUUAUCACCAUCAUCACCAUACACCAUUCAUUCGCCACACAUGCACAUCUUGAUUUGACUUAUUGACUUGUUCUUCUGGAUCCAUGGUUUGACUAUGCAAUAAAUGUCUUGUAAGUAUGUAUUAGUUGUCUCCCACCUAUGAGCUCCAGAUAUCAAAAGCCUUAUUAGAGUAGGGUGAGAGAGAAGGCAAUGUCACUUUGCCUCAUACCAAAAAUACCACAUACUUUGAGAGAAGGCAUAUACCAUUACUGCCUUGGUAAGGAUCCAGAAAUACCACAAAAGAGAGACUAGAGAGAGUCAUACAAGGAAUCUCUCAGUUUUAUUUGAAAAUCUGCAAAAACUCCAGAGCUAUAGUUAAUCGAAGAACAAGAGACAUGGCGCUUGACUAGACCGUUCUAUCUUUUAACUACUCAAGACAGAAGUGACGGUUACAAGUCCCAUGGUUAAAGGUAAAUGAGUAAGUUUUAAGUCUUAACAGUUUACUCUAACCAGAGAUGAGAUCUUGUUUAAACGCAUGUGUAUCUUUAAGUUAUGAAACCACUGUAGAAACUCUUGAGUUCAUCUUUGCUCAGGGACGAGCAAAGGUUAAGCUUGGGGGAGCUUGUUGACGGUCCUUAAUGCUCACAUUUAACCAUCAACUAAUCAUGGAAAAGGAUCUAAAUGCAACCAACACCUAGACUUAGGGUUUUAUCUGACAAAAUUCCACGAGUUUUGGUGUUUGUCUAUUUCUGCAGGGGGUUAUCAGGAAAUAUGAAAGAAAGGCCCACACGUCGGGUUUACAUAGAGAUAUUAACGUCCCGCGUAAUUUUCUACCAUCUAGAAGACUCCAGAAGCCACGGGAACGAACGGGAGGCCGAUCGGGCUCGGAGGCAGGGCGCCCGCCCAACUCUUCUGGGCGCCCGCACAGCUAAAGUGUCCAAUUCGAACCCGUUUCGCGGAUUAUGCUCCACCGACCUAAAGGAUCAAGGAAAACCGUGCGAUCAAUGUCGGUUUGAUCCGACGGCCCAGAUUCACUUGAAGGGACUAUAAAACCACCUGGCCCCUGGAGAGCAUACCUCUUCUACAGAAUCAAAGUUAGGGUUUCAAUUCUUCAUCCAAGUAGAGAGGAUCCCUCUAGUUCAUCUAGUUCUACCUCUAGUUCAUCUAGUUCUAGUUCUAGUUCUAGUUCAUCUAGUUCUAGUUCUAGUUAGUUCUAGUUGUAAUCUAGAAAAUAGGGAGAGAGAAGAGGAGAGCGGAGGAGGAGCCGGAUCUGUCGGAUCUUCCUCAACAUUAUACUUUUGCAGCAUCUGGUUCGUUCUUCAUCGUUCUCCAGGUUCUUCAAUUCAUAAUUCCUGAGUUCUUUAAUUACUUUUAUUUACAUUCAAGUUAUUUAUUGGAUUCCCGCUUGCAUCAAGUGCUCGAGUCUUUGUAACGCUAGAGUAGUAAUUACUAGAUUAGACGUGGUGUUUAGUCUUGCGAUUACGUGGAAUUGCACCCAAUCCUGCGGAUUGUUGUGGUAGCCUUAGGGUAGUGACAGCCCUAACGGUCGACGUAUUCCACCACGUUCGGAUCGGUGUUUGUAGGACCGUAGUCAAACCUUCCUAGCCCCCUUCUCAUCUCUUUCUGUGGUUAGUGCUCUGAUGUCCCGAUAUAGAUAAUCUUGAAGUAAUUCUUGAUUCUUAGAUCAACUAGAGAACUCUCAGGAAACUUCCUCUCUUCCCACCAAAAAUAUCCAUAUAGUUAUCCUUGGGCGAUCUUGGAUCUUAAUUAGUACACACACGUUCCCUGUGGAAAAUCGAUACUCUGGAAUACUCCCGGGUGAAGGCAACAUCGCUAUCCGUGCGCUUGCGGAUUUUUCUGUUUGCGUUUAAAAUACCCAACAGCGCCCAGGUCAACUGGGCGGGCGCCCAGUGCCUGGCCCCGUUCGGCCUCCGCUUCCUUUCCAUGGCUUCUGGAGUCUUCUAGAUGUAAGAUAAUUGUGCGGCACGUUGAUAUCUCUAUGUAGUCCUGACGUGUGGGCCUUUCUUCCGUAUUUCCUGAUAACCCCCUGCAGAAAUAGACAAACACCAAAACUCGUGGAAUUCUGUCAGAUAAAACCCUAAGUCUAGAUAUUGUUUUCUUUUGGAUCAUUUUCUUUGUUUCUUUGAUAAUUAAAUUUGAUACUUAUGGACUGUCAACAAACUCCCUCAAGCUUACCUCUUGCUCGUCCCUGAGCAAGGAUAAUCUCAGCGAUGGAUUGGAAGUUGUUGUAAUGCCUUUAAAAAUUGACGGUACACAUGCUUUUAAUUGAGGUCUCAUCUCUGAGUUAGAGUAAACUGUCAAGACUUAAAACUUAUUCAUUUUACCUUUCAACAUGGGACUUGUAACCGUCACUUCUGUCUUGAGUAGUUAAAAUAUAGAACAGUCUAGUCAAGUGCCAUGUCUCUUAUUCUUGAUCAGCUAUAACUCUAGAGAUUUUUGCAGAUUUUCAAAAAAAAACUCAGAGUUUCCUUGUAUGACUCUCUCAAAUCUCUCUUUUGUGGUAUUUCUGGAUCCUUACCAAGGCAGUUAUGGUAUAUGCCUUCUCUCAAUAUAUAUGGUAUUUGUGGUAUAAAGCAUAGUGACAUUGCCUUCUCUCUCAUCCUACUCUAAUAAGGCUUUAAUAUCUAGAGCUUAUAGGUGGGAGAUAAAGUAUACAUACUUACAAGACAUUUAUUGUAUAGUCAAACCAUGGAUCCAAAGAAACAAAUCAAUAAGUCAAAUCAAGAUGUGCAUGUGUGGCGAAUGAAUGUCGUAUGGUGAUGAUGGUGAUAACAAUGCUGAAAGUCUAAUUCUACUUUUGCUCUUUUGAGGGGAUACAUACCAUUCUUGCUUUUUUGAAAAUUUGUGAAGAGAAUGAGAUACUCUAUAUUUUUAUUUUUUCUUUUCUCUUAGGUGGGUAUCUUGUACCCCUAAUUCUACUGUCAGACACUUGUCCAUUUUUACCUCUCGUCUCACUUUUUCUUUUCUUUCGAGUUUGUAACACCCAAAAUUAGCUUUCCAAUUAAUAGGGUUUAAUUUGAGUUAUUUAAGUAUUUUGGGAGCAUUUAAUUUAGUAAAUGGAUAAUUUUGUUGAAACUAAAAUUUAUUAUAAGGAUAGAAACUUGUAUAUGCAUUCAUGCUGGGGCACAUUUUGUUUUGUGUUGACUCCUUUUGGUUUGAUUUUAGUUGUACUCGAAUUUCUAUUUGGAAAUGACUUUAAAAAAAAAAAAAAAAAAAGAAAAAGAAAACAAUGCUUCACCCUCUCUCGGUUUCGGCCUGGCGACCCUCAGCCUGGCGCGGCCCAUCUCCCACUCCCUCCCGCACUCGGCCCACUCUCUCCCCCCGGCCCAACGCGCGCGCCUCCUUCUCCCCUUCGGCUGACGACCGGGCCCCGCCCCGCUUCUCUCACUGGCAGCGCGGGCCCGCAUGGCAGCGGGCGCCUUCUCCUCCUUCCUUCUUCACGAGACGGAGCCGAACCAGACUCGACCGGCGCCAACCAAAAUCCCGAUUCUCCCGGGAUUUGGCAUGUUGAGAUCAAACCGAGCCCUAUAAAGCUCCUAGUGAUGCCCCGCGUCUCGGUUUUCCAUCUACGCCGCAAGAACUCUGACCUAGGACCCGCUGUCGCGCUAAAACGAAUCUCACCGAGUUUGGGAGCACCCCCUGUCGCCGCGAGCCUUCCCUGUUCUCCCCUGGUGCGAGCAAGGCGUCUAGGUGAGUUCCUGGUGAGUUUCUCCACCGCCUGGUGGUUUCGUUUUCUUUUUCGUGCUCUGAAUCGAAGAAACGGCGAGCUCCAGGGACCAUGCCCAUGGCGCCGCCGUGUCGGGUGCCCAUCCGGCCGGCCGGCCGCCGCUGGCCCCCUGGUGGGAUUUCCACCGUUGGAUCCAAGAUCCACGGCCACAAACAGAAGAUACCCCUUCGGGGUGAAAUUUGUUAAAGAGCCCCUGGAAAAGUUGAGAUUAAACCCGCAGUCCAAAGCGCCUCCUCAGUUUUACGCCUUUCGUUUUCAAAAACGUAUUCUCUGCGGGCUGAGUAAAUUACGCUUUCCAGAAAUUACAGAAAUGCCACUGAUUUUAUAAUGCUCAUAAAAUAUUCAUUUUAACUCCGUUUUUGCCCAUUCAAAUUGCGUUAGGUUCGUAAUCACAUGCUCUACAUGUUAGAAACAUUAGUUUACUGUUUUUGAAACUUUUAAUUCUGCAGUAGCAUUUAAUUAAUUAUUUCUCUAUAGGAAAUCUUAGAAAAUUCAUAUCUUCCGCGUUUUAAUUCCGAUUUUCGUGAACUUUACGUUUAUGUGAUCGUAGCGCUGCGUAGAAUAUUUUGGUGAACCUUUAUAUUUAUUUUACCACUGUUUGGUGUAUUGUUCUAAUUAUAUCUUGUUUGCUUCGUGUAUGAUUUUCUACAUUGGAUUGCGUGUUGUUGAUUGAUGAUUGGGAUUAGACGGUGAGCCGUACGUUGGUGCUCAAGAUCAAGUAUUUGAAGACCAGCAGGCUCAGGAGAGCUUUGAUCAAGGCAAGUAUAACCUGGGAUUAUCCUUGUUACCUAUUCACUUAUAACUACACAUAUAUGUCAUAUGCAUGCUAUCACCUUGUCGACCUUAGCAAAAUCAUAGAUGAUUGUUACCUGGAUUCCUUGCUACCUACUUGAUAUGCAUUUGGAGUAGAUGUGCUAGUGCUUGAUAUAAUCCAUGAUCUUGUAAGAUGAUUAAUAGCUAUGCAAUGAACAUAAAAGAAUGACAAAUAACGACAUGAGAUCUUGUCUGUACGUGAUCACCCGGGAUAACAGUGCAACCAUGAGGGCUAUUAUGGCUCUGGCUUUAGCUCAGUAUGAAGACCUUUUCUAGCUUGUUAGCGGUUACCCGAAAGGGCGGAGGGGCUGAACCGACACGGGUAUAGUGCGAGCCCCUGUCCCUAUGUGUAUAGGCUGCGCGUCAUUGUGCCAUUCGGAAGGGGGGUAUCUAUAUCUGCUCGCAAAGGAAACCUUGCGGCCCUAACAUGUUAGACGAACUUUUGAAAGGCUUCAUAGUGAUCCCUGCCGACCUCCCUAGGAAGGGGGUUAAGAGAUUAGCUACCUCGGGCGAAAGGGUAAAUCAUGACUCAUGGGUAAAGAUGUACAAACUCUGCAGAGUGUAAAACUGGUAUACUAGCCGAGCUCACGGUCAGGAGCGGCCUUGGGGACAUCUACAUUAAGAUGAUGAACUUGUUAUGUUAUUAUGUUCAUUUGAUUAUUGUUUAUGCUAUGAGAUUAAUUAUGCUUACACUUGAUCAUGGGAUUAAUGAAUGAUUUAUGCUUCCUUGACAAUUGCUAUUUAAUUAUGAACAUGCUAUCCACUAUUAAAAGCUAAAUGCAGUUAAACCAGUGUCAGCUGUUUGAGCCUCAUGAACCCCUGGUUAUACUUGUUGAGUACGAUAUGUGCUCACUCUUGCAAUUUCCCAACACCUCAGGAUGUGAUAAUGAAGAUGACUGGAAUGAGGAUUAUCGGUAUGAGUACUAGGUUUGGAGUCAACCAGUCAACAGUGUCCCUGUGUGGAGCUCCCGUUGAGAGCGUGGUUUACUUUAUGUUAUCAUUUUUGUAUGAGACUAUGUGAUAUUUUAUAUUCCGCUAUGUAAUAAACACUGCGAUGGUACAUUUUGAGAUUUGUCUACUUAUGUGUGCGACUGUUUCUGGGGCACAUAUGAGUCUUUUAUGCAUCCUAUUUUGCUCUUAAAAUAUGGGUGUGACAAAUUGGUAUCAGAGCUUUGUUGACUGUAGGACGCAAACCUAGUUAGCAAAUGGUCGAAAACUUAGGUCCUUAUUUUACUUACUUCAUGCUUCCCACUAUGGCCUUGUUAUUCGCUAAAAGUUUUGUGCUUCUCUAUCUUGCUCUAUUGUGAAAUUAUUACAUCCAUCUGAUCUAUGUCUAAAAACUUUUUGUAGAUGCCGCCCCGCACCCGUAGUGCUGCACGCAUGGCUGCUGAGGAGUACCGUGCCAUGUUCAACCUAGGAGGACAGCAUGUGGAUGGAGUUCCUGAGCUGGAAGAUGAGGAAUCAAGGGUGGAAGCUCAGGAGGAAGUGCCUGCAGAUGAGGAGAUGCAAGAUCCACCUCCACCACAGUCUGCUAAUGCAAGGAUGGGAUGGACUACUGAGCUGUGGAUUCCAGAGGCAGAUCCCAAGGAUUUCUUCCAUGAGAACUUGGUGCUGACAUUGAAACACCAUUACCCAGAUUUGCAAGCCACACUGGAGUAUAACUGCACUGAGCACAAACACCCGCUGAGGAGAUCACUUUGGGUUGCGGAGCUGAUAGUCAAGACACUGGAUGCCAACAAGGGGAUUCGAAAGGUGGGAUCAAAACACAUCGCUCGAAUCAGCCGGGACACGAUGAAAGAGAGUAUGGCAGAUGCAGCUUACCAGGCCUUGGUCUUCUACCGUGGUAGACGCUUUGAGGAUGUUCAGUAUAAUGCCACAUACCACUAUCUUCGCUUUGUACCAGAGAAGAUGACUUGGGCCAUAGAAGUUGCAGAUGCUUCACAACCAAAGCUUCAAGCACAAGUGGAGUUGACCUAUGAGCUGACACUCAAGGUGAUAGAGUUGGAGAAUGAACUACACCGUGAGAGGAAGCUGCUGGAGAAAGAGCAAAGGGAAGCAGAUGACCUUCGAGCGGAGUUAGGCCGUCCCAAACUUCAUAAGAGGCUGCAUGUUGAACCCAUCUUGAAGGAUGCUGCACCCGAAGAGUAGAAAAGAACCCAUAUGUAAUAGUAACGUUAGUAGUUGCGAGUUAUUUCGAGUCUUUUGCUAGUGUGGUGUGAACUUGGUGUGCUUGCUGAAUUGUUAUUAUGAAUAUGUGUGAUUUGGAUUUUUGUAAUGAGUGCUGGGAAAUUGUGGGCAUGUCCACAAGUUCCCUAAUUAAGAACCUUAAGUAAGAACAUGAAUAAAUAGUAGUUUGGGGUCAUAUCCUGUUUCUGUCUUUUGCUGUUUUCUGGAGCAGUCUGCAAUGAUUCUGGAAUAAAUCAAAUUCUGUUCGUGCAAUGUUCAUCAAAUUUUUCUGGGAAUAAGUAGACUUUCAUAUCUUUCCAAUGCCACAAGAAUGAUCAUAUUAUCUAUUAUGUGCGGUGAGUUAUGACUGUUUAAAGUUGAGUUUUCUGCGCAGUCUGGAAUUCUGGAACAGUUUCGGUUGUACACAGUUUUUGAUUAAACUAACGUUGGAAUCUGGUAAUAUGAUAUAAAUGAAAGUUGUAGACAAUUUCUUUAUCUUUCCAACGGUGUACAGCAUGUGUCCUUUUGAAUUCUGGAACUCGAGAUACUACUGAUUUUCUGAUCUGCUGAUGUUGGAUGUUACCCAGAAAAUUUCAGAUUCGGUUAACUCUUGUAAUUGUCAUGUUGGGCAUUACUAAGAUGUGUUUAUAUACCUUGGAAUGCAGAUGGCAGCAAGAGGAAGAGGCAGAGGCAGAGGCCGUGGCAAUGGCAAUGACAAUGGCAAUGGUGGCAAUGCUCCAAUCACCGUGGAGGAACUCAUGCAAACCCAAAAUCAGAUGAUGCACGUUUUCAUGCAGCACCUGCAGCAACAACCUCCACCGACACCACCACCUAUUCAUGUGAGGGACAAGCGUGGAGAGUUUAUGAAGGGAAGACCUCCGGUAUUUACACACUCAGCUGAUCCCAUGGAGGCAGAUGAUUGGUUACGUGCUGUGGAGAGGCAACUGAACAUAGCACAGUGCAAUGACUUGGAGAAGGUGUUGUAUGCUUCUGGACAGCUUCAAGGUGCAGCUCAGACAUGGUGGGAGUCGUAUCAAGCUGCUCGUCCCAACACUGCUCCUCCUGUCACAUGGCUGGAAUUCUGUAGAGACUUCAGAGCUCGACAUAUAAAUGAAGGAGUGAUGGAGCUCAAACAAGAAGAAUUCAGAUCACUCAGGAUGGGCUCCAUGACUGUGGCAGAAUAUCAUGACACAUUUGAACAGUUGGCUCGCUAUGCUCCGAACGAUGUCAGGGAAGAUGCUGAUAAGCAGCGUUUAUUCAUGAAGGGCUUGUACUAUGAACUCAGGUUGCAGUUGGCAGGAAACACUUAUCCUACCUUCCAAGCUCUUGUGAACCGUGCCAUUGUGCUUGAUAAUAUGCGGAAGAGUCAGGAUAAGAAGAGAAGGAUGCUGGCACAAGGAUCUGGGAGCAACAACCGUCAGCGUUUCAGCUCUCAGCAAGGCCAUCAGCAGAGGUUCCAGGGACCAGUUAGUCAGUGGAACCGUAACCAGCAACCCCAGCGUUUCCAGAAUCAGUCACCGAGUGGGAACCAACGUCCUCCAUUCCAACAACGUAACCAUAAUCAGCAGCAGCAGGGUCAGCAGACACCUCGCUCAGGGAACUCAAAUGCCAACUCUACAAAAAGGAGUGCUUCUAACAAUCCUACCAGGUGUUUCCGUUGUGGGAAGGAAGGGCAUAUGUCCUAUGAUUGCCCAGAGAAGUUUAAUCCGCAGUACAACGAUCGUAGAUCCACUCCUAAUUCAGCAAAGGUGAACAACGUGGCAGCAGAAACUGUUCAGGAAGGACCAGAAAUCAUGAUGGGUACGUUCAGCAUCAACUCUAUCCCUGCUACAGUUUUAUUUGAUUCUGGAGCUUCACAUACUUUCAUAUCGCAAGCAUUUGUUAGAGUUCAUAGCCUUCCUCUUGUUGCAAUGAACACCCCUAUGUUAGUUAAUUCACCGGGUGGGACUAUACCAGUUUCUUUACGUUGCCCCUCAGCAAGUCUUUCUUUAAGGGGGGUAGAUUUUCCUAUCAGUCCCAUGGUUAUGAGAACUUCAGGCAUAGAUGUGAUCUUGGGUUUGGAUUGGAUGAAGCAACAUGCAACAAAUAUUAACUGCAAAGAGAGAGUAGUGGUUCUGACAACACCAAAGGGAGAAAGAAUCAGUGUUGAUGUAACAAUGCAAGCACCACUCACAGCUAAAGUGAACCAACUGACUGAUGAUGUUGAUCCUCAGAAUUUGGUAGUGGAUGAGUUUCCGGAUGUCUUUCCAGAUGAAUUGCCAGGUAUGCCACCUGACCGAGACAUUGAAUUUAUUAUUGAAUUACUACCUGGUACUGCACCCAUAGCUAAAAGACCAUAUAGGAUGGGGGUUAAGGAACUAGAAGAACUUAAGAAACAAAUUAAGGAAUUGCAAGAUAAAGGGUUCAUUCGUCCUAGCUCAUCACCAUGGGGUGCACCAGUUAUCUUUGUUGAUAAGAAGGAUGGUAGUCAGAGGAUGUGUGUUGAUUAUCGGUCACUUAAUGAGGUCACUAUCAAGAAUAAAUAUCCAUUGCCUAGGAUUGAUGACUUAUUUGAUCAGCUAAGAGGUGCUUGUGUGUUCUCUAAGAUUGAUUUGCGUUCUGGUUAUCAUCAACUGAAGAUUCGGAAUUCAGAUAUACCAAAGACAGCUUUCACAACAAGGUAUGGGUUAUAUGAGUAUACAGUUAUGUCUUUUGGUUUGACCAAUGCACCAGCUUACUUUAUGUACAUGAUGAAUAAAGUAUUCAUGGAGUAUCUUGAUAAGUUUGUGGUGGUCUUUAUUGAUGAUAUUCUGGUGUUCUCUAAAACCAAGGAAGAACAUGCUGAACAUCUGAGAUUGGUCUUACAAAAACUUAGAGAACAUAAGUUGUAUGCUAAGCGUAGUAAAUGUGAGUUUUGGUUGGAGGAAGUAUCUUUUCUUGGUCAUGUUGUCUCUAAUGGUGGUAUUGCAGUGGAUCCUAGUAAGGUGAAAGAUGUGUUGAAUUGGAAACCACCUACAGAUGUAAGUGAAAUUCGCAGUUUUCUUGGUUUAGCUGGUUACUAUCGUAGGUUCAUUGAAGGGUUCUCAAAACUUGCAAAGCCUAUGACUGCUCUAUUAGAGAAGAAUGCUAAGUUUGUGUGGUCUGAUAAGUGUCAAGCUAGUUUUGAGGAGUUCAAGAAGAGAUUGACCACUGCACCUGUGUUGGUAUUGCCGGAUCUGAGUAAGAGUUUCUCUAUCUAUUGUGAUGCUUCUCGUCUGGGUUUGGGUUGUGUUCUUAUGCAAGAAGGUAGAGUUGUUGCUUAUGCGUCUAGACAAUUGAGGAAACAUGAAUUGAAUUAUCCUACUCAUGAUUUGGAGUUAGCAGCUGUGGUUCAUGCGUUGAAGAUUUGGAGACACUAUUUGAUUGGGCAUAAGAGUGACAUAUACACUGAUCAUAAGAGUUUGAAGUAUAUCUUCACCCAGACAGAUCUGAAUUUGAGGCAACGAAGAUGGUUGGAACUGAUAAAGGAUUAUGAUUUGGAAGUACAUUAUCAUCCUGGGAAGGCGAACGUCGUAGCUGAUGCACUUAGCAGAAAGAAAUAUGCUAAUGAGCUUCAGGCGACCCCUGAAUCUGAGGAGUUGUGUGCUGAAUUUGCAUAUUUAAACUUGGGAAUGGUAGUAAAUGCUACGGAGAUUGAGAUUACUCCUACCCUAGAGGAAGAGAUAUUGAAAGGACAAUUGGAAGAUGAGAAACUAAAGGAGAUAGCACAGAAUGUGGCAUUAGGCAAAGCACCAGGAUUCAGAAUAGAUGACAAUGGUGUAUUGUGGUUUGGAAAAAGGAUAUGUGUUCCGGAAGUGAAGGCUAUUCGUGAUACGAUUCUGAGAGAGGCUCAUGAGUCAGCAUAUUCCAUUCACCCUGGGAGCACUAAGAUGUAUCUAGAUCUAAGACAGAAGUACUGGUGGUAUGGUUUAAAGAGAGAUGUAGCUGAGUAUGUUGCUGUGUGUGAUACUUGUCAGCGAGUGAAAGCUGAACAUCAGAGGCCAGCUGGACUGUUGCAACCAAUGAAGAUUCCGGAAUGGAAGUGGGAAGAAGUGGGUAUGGAUUUCAUAGUGGGUUUACCACGAACACAGAGAGGGUAUGACUCAAUAUGGGUGAUAGUAGAUCGUUUGACUAAAGUUGCUCACUUCAUACCUGUUAAAACUAAGUACACUGGAGAACGCCUAGCUGAGCUGUAUAUGGAGAGAAUUGUUUGUUUGCAUGGGGUACCUAAGAAGAUUGUGUCAGAUAGGGGUACUCAAUUCACAUCUCACUUUUGGAAAGCGGUGCAUGAUUCAUUGGGAACUAAGUUGAAUUUCAGCACAGCAUAUCAUCCACAGACAGAUGGACAGACUGAGAGGAUCAACCAGAUAUUGGAGGAUAUGUUGAGAGCUUGUGCUUUGCAGUAUGGGGCUAGUUGGGACAAGAGUUUGCCAUAUGCAGAAUUCUCCUACAACAACAGCUAUCAGCAAAGUCUUAAGAUGGCACCGUUCGAGGCCCUAUAUGGUCGGAAGUGCAGGACACCUUUGUUUUGGAAUCAGACGGGGGAGACUCAGGUGUUUGGGACAGAUGUGCUUAGACAUGCAGAACAACAAGUGCGGACUAUUCGGGAUAACUUGAGAGUUGCUCAAUCUCGUCAGAAAAGCUAUGCAGAUACGCGUAGGAGAGAGCUGGCUUUUGAAGUGGGUGAUUAUGUCUAUUUGAAAGUGUCACCUAUGCGGAGUGUGAAGAGGUUUAAUAUGAAGGGAAAGCUGGCUCCAAGGUAUGUUGGUCCGUUUAAAGUUUUAGAAAGGCGUGGAGAAGUAGCCUAUCGGUUAGAAUUGCCGGAAAGUUUAUCUGGUGUGCACGAUGUGUUCCAUGUGUCACAACUCAAGAAGUGUUUGCGUGUACCUGAGGAGCAAUUACCAUUGGAAGAACUUUCUGUUAAAGGUGAUCUCACUUAUGAGGAGCAUCCGGUCAAAAUAUUGGAGACAGCUGAGAGAGUCACCAGAAGUCGGGUCAUCAGAAUGUGCAAAGUACAGUGGAAUCGGCAUUCGGAAGCAGAGGCAACUUGGGAAAGGGAGGAUGACCUGAGGAAAUCAUACUCAUACUUGUUUGAGUAAGCACCUGUUUCAUCUCGAGGACGAGAUUCUUUUAAGGGGGGUAGAGUUUGUAACACCCAAAAUUAGCUUUCCAAUUAAUAGGGUUUAAUUUGAGUUAUUUAAGUAUUUUGGGAGCAUUUAAUUUAGUAAAUGGAUAAUUUUGUUGAAACUAAAAUUUAUUAUAAGGAUAGAAACUUGUAUAUGCAUUCAUGCUGGGGCACAUUUUGUUUUGUGUUGACUCCUUUUGGUUUGAUUUUAGUUGUACUCGAAUUUCUAUUUGGAAAUGACUUUAAAAAAAAAAAAAAAAAAAGAAAAAGAAAACAAUGCUUCACCCUCUCUCGGUUUCGGCCUGGCGACCCUCAGCCUGGCGCGGCCCAUCUCCCACUCCCUCCCGCACUCGGCCCACUCUCUCCCCCCGGCCCAACGCGCGCGCCUCCUUCUCCCCUUCGGCUGACGACCGGGCCCCGCCCCGCUUCUCUCACUGGCAGCGCGGGCCCGCAUGGCAGCGGGCGCCUUCUCCUCCUUCCUUCUUCACGAGACGGAGCCGAACCAGACUCGACCGGCGCCAACCAAAAUCCCGAUUCUCCCGGGAUUUGGCAUGUUGAGAUCAAACCGAGCCCUAUAAAGCUCCUAGUGAUGCCCCGCGUCUCGGUUUUCCAUCUACGCCGCAAGAACUCUGACCUAGGACCCGCUGUCGCGCUAAAACGAAUCUCACCGAGUUUGGGAGCACCCCCUGUCGCCGCGAGCCUUCCCUGUUCUCCCCUGGUGCGAGCAAGGCGUCUAGGUGAGUUCCUGGUGAGUUUCUCCACCGCCUGGUGGUUUCGUUUUCUUUUUCGUGCUCUGAAUCGAAGAAACGGCGAGCUCCAGGGACCAUGCCCAUGGCGCCGCCGUGUCGGGUGCCCAUCCGGCCGGCCGGCCGCCGCUGGCCCCCUGGUGGGAUUUCCACCGUUGGAUCCAAGAUCCACGGCCACAAACAGAAGAUACCCCUUCGGGGUGAAAUUUGUUAAAGAGCCCCUGGAAAAGUUGAGAUUAAACCCGCAGUCCAAAGCGCCUCCUCAGUUUUACGCCUUUCGUUUUCAAAAACGUAUUCUCUGCGGGCUGAGUAAAUUACGCUUUCCAGAAAUUACAGAAAUGCCACUGAUUUUAUAAUGCUCAUAAAAUAUUCAUUUUAACUCCGUUUUUGCCCAUUCAAAUUGCGUUAGGUUCGUAAUCACAUGCUCUACAUGUUAGAAACAUUAGUUUACUGUUUUUGAAACUUUUAAUUCUGCAGUAGCAUUUAAUUAAUUAUUUCUCUAUAGGAAAUCUUAGAAAAUUCAUAUCUUCCGCGUUUUAAUUCCGAUUUUCGUGAACUUUACGUUUAUGUGAUCGUAGCGCUGCGUAGAAUAUUUUGGUGAACCUUUAUAUUUAUUUUACCACUGUUUGGUGUAUUGUUCUAAUUAUAUCUUGUUUGCUUCGUGUAUGAUUUUCUACAUUGGAUUGCGUGUUGUUGAUUGAUGAUUGGGAUUAGACGGUGAGCCGUACGUUGGUGCUCAAGAUCAAGUAUUUGAAGACCAGCAGGCUCAGGAGAGCUUUGAUCAAGGCAAGUAUAACCUGGGAUUAUCCUUGUUACCUAUUCACUUAUAACUACACAUAUAUGUCAUAUGCAUGCUAUCACCUUGUCGACCUUAGCAAAAUCAUAGAUGAUUGUUACCUGGAUUCCUUGCUACCUACUUGAUAUGCAUUUGGAGUAGAUGUGCUAGUGCUUGAUAUAAUCCAUGAUCUUGUAAGAUGAUUAAUAGCUAUGCAAUGAACAUAAAAGAAUGACAAAUAACGACAUGAGAUCUUGUCUGUACGUGAUCACCCGGGAUAACAGUGCAACCAUGAGGGCUAUUAUGGCUCUGGCUUUAGCUCAGUAUGAAGACCUUUUCUAGCUUGUUAGCGGUUACCCGAAAGGGCGGAGGGGCUGAACCGACACGGGUAUAGUGCGAGCCCCUGUCCCUAUGUGUAUAGGCUGCGCGUCAUUGUGCCAUUCGGAAGGGGGGUAUCUAUAUCUGCUCGCAAAGGAAACCUUGCGGCCCUAACAUGUUAGACGAACUUUUGAAAGGCUUCAUAGUGAUCCCUGCCGACCUCCCUAGGAAGGGGGUUAAGAGAUUAGCUACCUCGGGCGAAAGGGUAAAUCAUGACUCAUGGGUAAAGAUGUACAAACUCUGCAGAGUGUAAAACUGGUAUACUAGCCGAGCUCACGGUCAGGAGCGGCCUUGGGGACAUCUACAUUAAGAUGAUGAACUUGUUAUGUUAUUAUGUUCAUUUGAUUAUUGUUUAUGCUAUGAGAUUAAUUAUGCUUACACUUGAUCAUGGGAUUAAUGAAUGAUUUAUGCUUCCUUGACAAUUGCUAUUUAAUUAUGAACAUGCUAUCCACUAUUAAAAGCUAAAUGCAGUUAAACCAGUGUCAGCUGUUUGAGCCUCAUGAACCCCUGGUUAUACUUGUUGAGUACGAUAUGUGCUCACUCUUGCAAUUUCCCAACACCUCAGGAUGUGAUAAUGAAGAUGACUGGAAUGAGGAUUAUCGGUAUGAGUACUAGGUUUGGAGUCAACCAGUCAACAGUGUCCCUGUGUGGAGCUCCCGUUGAGAGCGUGGUUUACUUUAUGUUAUCAUUUUUGUAUGAGACUAUGUGAUAUUUUAUAUUCCGCUAUGUAAUAAACACUGCGAUGGUACAUUUUGAGAUUUGUCUACUUAUGUGUGCGACUGUUUCUGGGGCACAUAUGAGUCUUUUAUGCAUCCUAUUUUGCUCUUAAAAUAUGGGUGUGACAGAGGUUCCGGGCACUUGCCCCUUUUUAUUUCCUUGUUUCUCUCUUUUUUUUAGGGCACUCAUCUCUUGAGAUAAUAUAGCAAGUGGUAGUAACAAGAUAACUUGAGCAUUUAUUUCACAAAGGAAAAACAAAAAUGUUUUUGGCCAUUCUCUCCCGGAUUAGGAGUAGAAUGUUUUUGGGUGGUUCUGGAGGUGGAAAUGAGUGGAUAUAUGUGGAUGGUACUUCCGGAGUAGAAGCAGCAUGUGUGACUGAACGUGCAAGUGAAUCUUGAUUUUAACCACAUGACAAGCUCCUAAGGGUCUACACAGCUUGACCACACUCAAUGCUCAUAAGCAGUAAAAAGUAAAUGUGUGGCUCAAAGUUUAGCAAGCAUGUAUAUAUGGCUGUGGUAGGAAUUUAAACUCUCAUCAUACAGGAACUCAUCAUGCAAUAUUUUAAAGAUUUUCAAAGAUAAAAUUCUCCAGAAUUCUAGCAUCUCUAGGAACAGAUGAACAACAGCUCAAUCUUCUCAUAUCAUAUCCGUUAACAACUUAGACUUUAGAUCAAGUUUUCUUCCCACAAGUUUAGGUUUAGAGCAAGCUUUAAAUUAUAACAAUUAUGCCUAAACUUGAGAGAACUUCAAAUUUGAAAAAUUAAGCAGAGCAACUAUUCAUCAUAUCCAUGCUAGAGUUUUAUUAUUAAGAUUCAGAUUAGCAUAGCCACUUUUUUAUUUAUUAAACGUACUAAGCAAAAGACAUAUAUAUAUAUAUAAGCACAAAAUCUUUAUUUGGUUUUCCAUAAUUAUGUAUAUUUAUAUUUUUAAUAUAAUAUAAGUAUAAAGAUAGAUAGAUAGAAAUACUUAUCGGGAUAAAUAGGGGUGCUUUCCCCCAAGCUGAAUUUUGACGUAAUUUCCCUUGAUGUAGCUAGCAGAUGGCAGAGGUGUAUUUGAAAGUCGGCAGCAUUCUGACAGCGAUUAGAAUGUCCUCCGUCUGCUAGUCUUCUUGAUUCUUAAAUUCUCUGGAGCUCAAAUAAACAACAAAGCUUUGUGGAACUAAUUAAGUGUUAGCAUAAACAUCUAGCCUUUAUCAUGUUGAAACUUCUUAAUAAAUAUUACUCCCUAUUUUUUAUAUUUUUCAUUUUAUAGAGUAGAAAAGAAAUAUUUAUUUUAUUUUUAUGCCACCACAGUGAAUGUACUUAUGGGUUUUAUGCCACUCGUAUACUCACAUGGGGCUUACUGUUUUUUAACAUUUUUUUAUUUUCUUUUUAGGAUAGUAUGAACAUGAUUAACUAAGUAAACUGUUUAAAUAAUUGAAAGGGAAAAGAUAACUACCAAGUUUACCUCUUGGCAAGGCGUUCGGUGUUUUUAAGUCCUCCGAACGGGACUCUCCAUUUUCUCAAUUGUUCUGGGAUUCGUUAGGUGGCGUAGUCGGUACUUCCGGCGGCGCCACCUCUUCAUGUAUAGUUAUCUUCUCUCUCCACACCUGACUUGGUGCUACGGUCUCCUUUGGAUAAUUCUGUUUAAACUGUAUGUCUUCUGACCUUGUCACUUCGCCUUCAUAGUCUGCCCAUCCAUCCUUGAUGAUCUGCCUCCUCUGGUUGCGGUUGCGUCGUUUUCUGACCUGCUUAGAUUCUUCAAUGAUAUAGUUAGGGUCAGUAAAAUAGCGGCAUACCUUCUCUGAGGGGAAGUGCAUAUGGACUUCUCCAGUACCAAUGUAGAUGAUUGCUUUAACGGUGCUAAGGAACGGUCUUCCAAGGAUGAUGGGUGGAUCGUAUUCGUCUUCUCCCAUGUCAAUAACCUAAAAGUCUAUGUAGACAAAAUGAUCGUCUAUUUUGACAGGGACAUCAGUUACUGUUCGUUUAACCUCUCGAAAUGUCUGAUCUGCCAUCUGGAGCUGAAUGUAUGUUGGUUUGAAGGGCAUGGUUACGAACAAGAGCCGAUAGGUGACUGCAGCCAUUAUGUUGACGCCCGAUCCAGUGUCGCAAGUCGUCUUGUAGAAGUUAUAUCCAUUUAUGGAGCAAUAGAUGCUUGGCAUUCCAGGGUCAUCCUUCUUAGUCAAAAAUGGUGACUUAAGUUGAUGCUCUUGGCCUCCAUGAACUGCAGUGACCAUCUUAGCUGACUCGGUCCACACUUGCUUGUUCCUCCUCCUGUUGGUCCUCUUCCUUGGUUCACGUCUGGAUUGAUCUGGGAUUUGUAUAGUCUUGUUCUUGAAGGAAAAUGCCUCCUUCUUCCCUUUGAUGUAGAAACUGAUCUUGGCAGCACUAGCGUAGAUGACAGCACCCGAGGUGUUCAAGAAUGGCCUCCCUAAGAUGAUGGGUGCCCUCUCAUCAUUACCGGUCUCUAUCACCACGAAGUCUGCUGGGGCAUAUAAGGUACCAACUCGGACACAAAGGUUCUUCAAUAUUCCUUUUGGAAAACUUAAUGCCUGAUCUGCAAACUGCAAACACAUGGUUGUUUCUAAUAAAGGAUAUGUACAGAAUUUUUCAUAGAGUACCCUAGGUAUAAUGUUGACGCUAGAGCCAAAGUCACAUAGUGCUUCUGGGACGUCCACCGUACCGAUGGAGAUCGGGAUGACGGGGCGUCCAGGAUCGCCUCUCUUGACCGGCAGAAGGUUAGUAGUAACUUCAAUGAUGGGGUUACUCCAAUUACCUGCAUCAAACAUGUCUACAAGAUUUGCAGAUUCUAAUCCUUCCGGUUGUGAUAGUAUACCGGGGUUAGUAGUAGGAACAACAGCACCUAUUUGAUUUAAUUCAGAUUCUAUCAUUUAAUUAAAGCUAAUUUGAUUCUUGAUGGCAGUAGAGAAAUUAUCCAUUCUAUUAUUUAUAUUUUCUAGCAUUUUAUCAUUUGAUGCCAAUUUCUUUGAUAGGUUAUCCAUUAGCUUUCCUUGAUUAGACACUAACUCUCUCAGAGGUGGAAAAUUAUUAUUAUUAUGAUUAUUGUAAGAAUUGUUACCUUGAUAAUUACUUGAGUAGUUAGGCCUCUGUUGAUUCCAACCUUGAUUUUGUUGAGGACGGUUGUAGUAGUAGUUGUUGUUAUUGUUGAUAUAGUUCACAUCCUCAAGCAUCUCAGGAUAGUGAUUGCCUGAGUGUCCAGUGUCUCCACACUCCUCGCAAGUCAUGUGAGAGUCGUAGAUGUGCACAACUUCUUUCUUAUCUCCAGCUCUAUCAUCGAGCUUUUUCUUGAGCAGGUCUAGCUUUGCAGACAGCAUGUCUACCUCCUUGAGCUGAUACAUACCUCUACCUCUCUUGCGUGUCUGGGUCCUCUCUUCAUUUCAGCCUUGGUUGGACGCCAUCUUCUCCACAAGAGCUGUGGCUUCUGAUAUGGUAAGUGAUAGGAAUGCUCCUCCAGCUGCAUCAUCCAUGGUUUCUCGAGCACUGUUGCCGAGCCCAUGAUAAAAUGUCUGCAUUAGUAGCCAACUCUCCAUUCCAUAAUGGGGACAUUCUAGGAUGUAGUCUUGGAAGCGCUCCCAUGCUUCUGGAACGGAUUCUUCAUGUUGUUGUUAAAAACUUGUAAUCUUCCCACGGAGAGCAUUGGUCUUGCCCAUGGGAAAGAACUUAGCCAGAAAGUUCGUUGAGCAGAGUGCCCACGUAGUAUUCUUCUCCUUUGUAGCGUAGAACCACUGCUUCGCUCUUCCUAACAGUGAGAAUGGGAAGAGGCGAAGUAGUAUAGCAUCUCUGGAAACGCCUGAUAUGGUAAAUGUGUUGCAAAUGUUGGAGAUGAGCACUAGCAUCUUCGUGUGCCUUCCCACAGAACUGGUUGGAUUGCACCAUGUUGAUAAGUCCAGGCUUGAGCUCAAAGUUGCCGUCGAUCUCUGCAGCAGGUCCAGUGCGGAUGUUGUCCGUAGUGGGAGCUGAGAACUCGCGGAUCGAUUUGUUCACCAUGGCUUCGAACUCUGAAGACAAGUUCCGGUGAUCUUCUUGAUUGGAUGAAGCUUCUUGCUGAAGUGUUGAUGAUCUCUUCUUGAGCUUGGCUCUUGUUUUUCUGAAUAAUGCUUCGGGAUUGUCAACAAAAUUUCCUAGAAGAUGUCUUCUAUUCAUACAUUAUCCUGCAUAAGAUAAAACAGAAAAAUACUGGGGUAAAACUGUAUGAGAGAAUUGAUAAGCUCAAUCAUAUUAGUGAUGCGAAUGAUAACUCCAAAUCCUAUAUUUAUUCCUGAUUAGUAAUCAACCUUCUCCGGCAAUGGCGCCAAAAAUGCUUGUUGGGUAUUCCUAACAUCAUUACCAAAAGUAGACUUAGUUUUCUAAUUCUGAUAACGGUGCCAAAAAUGCCAAAACUAUCUCUCAUACCACUUAAGCCAAGUUGUCAUCCCCAGCAUGACAUGAGAGACGCGGUAUUGAAAUAUGCAAUUGCUCAUCUAAAUAAAUAAUGAAUGGGAUCUGCAAGCGCACAGAUUAAUACCGAUGUAGCAUUUUAACCGGGAAGUAUUCCAGGUAUCGUUAUUUAUAUUUUUACCAUAGGGAAGGGAUUAGUAACCAUCAAUGUUGAUUAUAGAAUGGAAUAUGAGAUUGAGUAUCUAUCAUUGCAUGUAUAAUUGAGAACAUUUAUCUAACUCUUUCAUACAGGGAUAAGUACCACAUAAAAGAUAUAUGAAAUAAUGAAUAGUGACAAAGAUAAUUAAUCUGAUCAGCAUAACUUAGCCACAUAAUAAAUAUGAUAAGCACCUCAAUUAGAUACUCUAGAAAGUCAUUAGCAUGGAAUUAGAACGAACUACAAGAAUAUUUCCUAAGUUAUUCUCAACUAUAUAGUCUAGCAUUAUCAUAGUUAGUGCAAGCAUACUUAGCAAUCAUUGCAAGACAAGACUGCGCCCAUGCAUAGUGAUAUUAGCAAGGUAAAUGAGAAUCAUAGCAAUCACUCCCCUGUAAUAAUGUUGCUCUGCCAGCCCAAUACACGAGAGGGGGACUAUAUAGGAAUCAAUGAAGCUGUCGCUAUCACGAACUACCCCACGAUCUAGCAUAUUGGGUACAAUCGUAGAUAUAUACGGUAUAAGCACCACGCCUACACAAUAUCUAUCAUUUACCCAUGGAUCCGAUGGAUAAACGCUAUACGAUCCUAAGCAUGUAUAUAGAUCCAAUCUAACUAAGCCAAGUAUAUAACUAUGAUAAACUAAGAACAAUAUAAUCUUGAAUAUAAACAAGAAGAGCAAAGUCAUAAGCAAUAUAUGGAAGUAGAACAAAGUCAUAUCCAUAAUAUUGAAGAACAAAGAUAAUUAGAAAAACAAUUAGAAGCACAAUUAGAGAAUUACUAAGAAUCCUCUUGAUAGAUCCGGAAACCAAUCGAAGAUUGACUCCUAGUUCUAAUCCUAUGUAGCUAUGCUAAUCUAGAUAUCUAAUUGAUGUGGUGGCUCUAAUCUUGAUCAGAGGCUUCUUCUCCCUUGAGGAACAAUUAAUUAGGGUUGAGAGGCGCUCUCCUCCAGGGGCCAGGGGGUCUGGUUUUAUAGUCCCUUCAAGUGAAUAUGGGCCGUUGGAUCAAACCGACAUAGAUUGAACGGUUAUCCUUGAUCCUUUAGGUCGGUGGAGAUCUUUCCUGAAAGAGUGUCCUGAUUGGAGUCCAACAGGGGGCGGGCGCCCAUGUCAACUGGGCGGGCGCCCAGUGCCUGGCCCCGUUCGGCCUCCGCUUCCUUCCCGUGGCUUCUGGAGUCUUCUAGAUGUAAGAUAAUUGUGCGGCACGUUGAUAUCUCUAUGUAAUCCCGACGUGUGGGCCUUUCUUCCGUAUUUCCUGAUAACCCCCUGCAGAAAUAGACAAACACCAAAACUCGUGGAAUUCUGUUAGAUAAAACCCUAAGUCUAGAUAUUGAUUUCAUUUGGAUCCUUUUCUUUGUUUAUUUGAUAAUUAAAUUUGAUACUUAAGGACCGUCAACAUCAACAUCCAGCUUAGGGGAGGCACCCCCACGUGUAUCUAGAUAAGUAUUACUUUCCUUUCUUGGUUUUAUUUACUAGUAUUUGGAAAUAAAUAGAAAAAUGCAUAACCAUGAAACCAAACAAAGUUUUUCUUUUGAGUAAUAUACAAUAGUUUUGUGUAAUCCUAAGUUUUAAAUAAAAUAAAAAGAAAGUUUGAACCAAUUCUAGGUAAUUGACAAACAUGAUAUGAGAAGGUCUGAGCUACUAUUUAACUUGUUCCAAGUUUCGCUAGAGUUCUGGAGAUUUUAUCUUUUGAAAAUCUAAAAAUUCAAAAAAAAUGAUGACAUCCGGUUUCACAUAAUACCUAGAGUCUUAUAAGAUAUAAAUAUUAAAACUAUGGGCACUUGCUUUGUUCAAGCCAUUGUUAAUUCUUGUAGUUUUGGUUGAGAGAAUUAUCAUGCUCCAAAGAUCAAGAUCUUUUUGUUUUAAAAAUAUAAAAGAUUCACUCUUCCGAAGUAUUAUUGCGCUAGAGGCAUGGGACUAUGCAAAAAUUUGAUUCGAAAAAAGAGUGAGACGAGAGGUAAAAAUGGACAAGUGUCCAAAGUAGAAUUAGGGGUACAAAGAUACCCACCUGAGUGGAAAAAAUGGACACGUGUCCGACAGUAGAAUUAGGGGUACUUGGUGCCCACUUGAAAAAAGGGGAAAAAAGAGAGAGACUGAAAACAGAAAGAGAUGACAAACUUUUCAAAAAGGUCAAAGGUCUUGAUCUAGGAGUAUGACAUUCCUCUCCCUUGCUUCGAGCAUUGACAUAGCAAAAUGCAAAGUAAGUAUGCUAAAACUUUUAAAGGUCUACUCAUAUAUCUUUUGAGAAGAAGGCAAAUGCCUCAGUUUUAUUUUGGAAACUUACAAAAGGACUCCAGAACAAAGGUAAGACAGAAGAACUUGAGACAUAGUGCUUGACUUGAUCGUUUUGUUUUUCAAUCACUUAAGACCUUAGUGAUAACUUAAAAACCCUAUAGUAAGAGGCAUAAAACUAACCCCUUUUUUCUUACUGAUUUUAGCUUUGCUCAGGGACGAGCAAAGGUUAAGCUUGGGGGAGCUUGUUGACGGUCCUUAAUGCUCACAUUUAACCGUCAACUAAUCAUAAAAAAUGACCUAUAUGCAAUCAACAUCAAAGUUUAGGGUUUCAUCUCACAGAAUUCCAUGAGUUUUGGUGUUUGUCUAUUUCUGCAGGGGGUUAUCAGGAAAUAUGGAGGAAAGGUCCACACGUCGGGCUUACAUAGAGAUAUUCACGUGCACCGCAAUUAUCCGACAUCUACAAGAGUCUAUAAGCCACGGGAACGAGUGGGAGGCUGAGGGGGCCCUAGGGCUGGGCGCCCACCCUCCCCCCUUGGGCGCCCGCCCAAGGCUCUCAGCCAAUCAGGGUCCAUCUCGCGGAUAAUGCUCCACCGACCUAAAGGAUUAUGGAAAACCGUGGGAUUAAGGUCGGUUUGAUCCGACGGCUCAUAUUCAUUUGGAGGGCUAUAUAAGCAGACCCCCACCAGCCUCUGGAGGCAUAUCUCUUCUACGGAAUCAAAGCUAGGGUUUCAAUUAUUCAUCCAAGUAGAGAGGAUCCAUCUAGUUCAUAUAGUUCUAGUUCUAGUUCAUCUAGUUCUAGUUCUAGUUGUAAUCUAGAAAAUAGGGAGAGAGAAGACGAGAGCGGAGGAGGAGCCGGAUCUGUCGGAUCUUCCUCAACAUUGUACUUUUGCAGCAAAUGGUUCGUUCUUCAUCGUUCUCCAAGUUCUUCAAUUCAUAAUUUCUGAGUUCUUUAAUUACUUUUAUUUACAUUCAAGUUAUUUAUUGGAUUCCCGCUUGCAUCAAGUGCUCUAGUCUUUGCAACGCUAGAGUAGUAAUUAAUAGAUUAGACGUGGUGCUUAGUCUUGCAAUUACCUAGAAUUACACCCAAUCCUACGGAUUGUUGUGGUAGCCCUAGGGUAGUGACAGCCCUAACGGUCGACGUAGUUCACCUCGUUUGGAUCGGUGUUUGUAGGACCAUAGUCAGAGCUUCCUAGCCCCAUUCUCAUCUCUUUCAACGGUUAGUGUUCUGAUGUCCCGAAAUAAAUAAUCUGUGAAGUAAUUCUUGAUUCUUAGAUCAACUAGAGAACUCUCAGCAAACUUCCUCUCUUCCCACCAAAAAUAAUUAUAUAGUUAUCCUUGGGCGAUCUUGAAUCUUAAUUAGUACACUCACGUUCUCUGUGGAAAAUUGAUACUCUGGAAUACUCCCGGGUGAAAUCUACAACGGUAUCCGUGCACUUGCGGAUUUUUCUGUUUGCGUUUAAAACACCCAACAAUCCACUUCUAUGCCUUUUCCUGAAACAACAAAGCUAAGAAAUACAACAUGGUCUGUGCAAAAACUGCACUUCUCAAGAUUAGCAAAUAAUUUCUCCUUUCUAAGCUCUUCCAAGACAUACCGAAUAUGAUUCACAUGUUCCUCAAAAGACUUGCUGUAAAUUAGGAUAUAAUUGAAGUAGACAACAACAAAUUUUCCAAUGAAAUCUCUCAAGACAUGGUUCAUUAAUCUCAUGAAAGUACUAGGAGCAUUAGUCAAACCAAAAGACAUAACUAACCAUUCAUACAGCCCAAAUUUUGUUUUAAAUGCAGUUUUCCAUUCAUCCCCUAUUUUCAUUCUUAUCUGAUGGUAUCUACUUCUCAAAUCAAUUUUAGUGAGUAUGGUGGAACUACUUAAUUCAUCAAGCAUGUCAUCUAAACGUGGAAUAGGAUGGCGAUAGCGAACAGUAAUGUUAUUUAUAGCUCUACAAUCAACACACAUCCUCCAAGAACCAUCUUUCUUAGGCACUAAAAUUAUAGGUACAACACAAGGACUUAAACUUUCACGAACAAAACCUUUAUCAAGAAGUUCUUGCACUUGCCUUUGUAUCUCCUUUGUUUCUUCUGGAUUGGUUCGGUGUGGUGGUCGAUUAGGUAAUGCAGCUCCUGGAAUGAGAUCAAUUUGAUGUUCAAUCCCACGAAUUGGAGGUAGUCCCGCCGGUGUUUCUUCUGAAAGACAUCUCCAUAGUCCUGCAAAAGAUGAGACACAACACUAGGAAGAGAGGUCAUGUCGUUAGCUGAAAUUAAAAUGUCUUUGUACACAAGUACAAAGAGCACUUGUUCAGGGUUGUUCCUCACUUCUUGUUGGCAUUUCUUAACGUCAUCACUUAGAACAGGGUUUAAUCCGUCCUCAGCAACGAUGUCAGAAAUGUCGUGAUAACACUUACUAAUGCAAUAACCAAGAUUAGAGUAUAAAUCUAUCUUAAGCAACGGUGCCAGAAAUGCUUGUUAGCAUUUCUUAGUGUCGCUACCUAGAAUUGGGUUCUGCUCUACUCAUGAUAAUGACAUUGGCAGUGUUAUAUUGGCAGAUCCGUAGCAUCACCACCUUGAAUAGGAAGCUAGAUCUACCUUCCCGAUAAUGGCGCCUUAUUACCGUUAGGGUAGGGUUCCAGUUCUUAAUCAUGGUAGUGGCACUAGGAUUGCCAUGUUGGUAUUCCUUAACAAGUCACUAGCUCGGCGCAUGUCUAGCAAUAGUGUUAAGUAUAUACCGGGGUGAUAGUUCCUUAGGUUUGGAGUUUAAGUACCGCAAGCGGACGGGAAUUAUCGUGUAGCAUUUCAACCCUGGGAUUUACCGAGUGUCGUAUUUAUAAGUUCGCUCUAAGGAAGGCUUAAUAUGUUAAGGAUUCUAAGAUAAGCAUAGAUCAAAGUAAUUAUGAUAGAAAAAAUGGAAUCAAAGGUCAUAGCAGGUGAUAAACAUUUAUAUGUAGAAUAGUGAUCCAUCACAAUCUAGGCAUGGCAUAUGGGCUAAGGAAUAAAAAGAGACUAAAAGAAUGAAUUGAAUCAAAGAAUAAACAAACAACCUAUUGGAGCAGGUGUGGUCCUAGAUACAUAUCAUGUCAUAGAACAAGUUAAUCAUGUAAUUAUACUACUUAGAUCUAGUCCUGUGUUUAGAUGGUUUGCAAGGUUACGCGAGUACUGUUCUGCCAGCAACCUCCGCAACUAUUUAGACUCCUACACCCUAGCCGAACGUGGGGGAAUGCCAAGGACGGACAGGGCUGUGACCACCUGCCGCCAUCCCCUCAACCGUGGACUAGGACAAUGCAUUUACCCGGCCUUUACACCCAAGCACCAUGCUUACAUGCAAAGAACCUACUCGGACUCCCCCGGGUCCCCGAACCUACGGAUCAACAGGUAAGAAGCCCGAGCCUACUCAAAAGAGCAUGAUAAACCCCCAUCUUCACACAAAGCUAUUUCUAGGCAAUUAAUUAACAUGUGUUGACGGUCCUUAAUGCUCACAUUUAACCGUCAACUAAUCAUAGAAAAGGAUCCAAAUGCAACCAACACCUAGACUUAGGGUUUUAUCUGACAGAAUUCCACGAGUUUUGGUGUUUGUCUAUUUCUGCAGGUGGUUAUCAGGAAAUAAGGAAGAAAGGCCCACACGUCGGGUUUACAUAGAGAUAUUAACGUGUCGCGCAAUUUUCUAUCAUCUAGAAGACUCCAGAAGCCACGAGAACAAAGCGAAAGCUGAGAGGCCUUAGGGAUAGGGCGCCCGCCCUAGUCCUGAGGGCGCCCGCCCACCUUUUUCCACCAAACAGAGUCCAAUUUGGGGACAACACUCCACCGACCUAAAGGAUCAAGGAAAACCGUGCGAUUAAUGUCGGUUUGAUCCAAUGGCCCAUAUUCACUUGAAGGGACUUUAAAACCAGACCCCCUGGCCCCUGGAGAUUGUUGGGUAUUCUUAACAUCAUUACCAAAAGUAGACUAAGUUCUCUAAAUCUAGUAACGGUGCCAAAAAUGCUAAACCUAUCCCUCACACCACUUAAGCCAAGUUGUCAUCCCCAGCAUGAUAUAAGAGACGCGGUAUUGAAAUAUGCAAUUGCUCUUCUAAAUAAAUAAUGAAUUGGAUCUGCAAGCGCACAGAUUAAUACCGAUGUAGCAUUUUAACCGGGAAGUAUUCCAGGUAUCGUUAUUUAUAUUUUUACCACUGGGAAGGGAUUAGCAAUCAUCACUAAUGAUUACAGAAUAGAAUAUGAGAUUGAGCAUCUGUUGGGUAUUCUUAACAUCAUUACCAAAAGUAGACUAAGUUCUCUAAAUCUAGUAACGGUGCCAAAAAUGCCAAACCUAUCCCUCACACCACUUAAGCCAAGUUGUCAUCCCCAGCAUGAUAUAAGAGACGCGGUAUUGAAAUAUGCAAUUGCUCUUCUAAAUAAAUAAUGAAUUGGAUCUGCAAGCGCACAGAUUAAUACCGAUGUAGCAUUUUAACCGGGAAGUAUUCCAUGUAUCGUUAUUUAUAUUUUUACCACUGGGAAGGGAUUAGCAAUCAUCACUAAUGAUUACAGAAUAGAAUAUGAGAUUGAGCAUCUAUCAUUGCAUGUAUAAUUGAGAACAUUAUAUCUAACUCUUCAUACAGGGAUAAGUGUCACAUAAAAGAUAUAUGAAAUAAUAAUAGUGACAAGGAUAACUAAUCUGAUCUAGCCACAUAAUAAAUAUGAUAAGCACCUCAAUUAGAUACUCUAGAAAGUCAUUACAUUGGUAUUAGAACGAACUACAAGAAUAUUCCCUAAGUUAUUCUCAACUAUAUAGUCUAGCAUAUCAUAGUUAGUGCAAGCAUACUUAGCAAUCAUUGCGAGACAAGACUACGCCCAUGCAUAGUGAUAUUAGCAAGGAAUAUGAGAAACAUAGCAAUCACUCCCCUGUAAUAAUGUUGCUCUGCCAGCCCAAUACACGAGAGGGGAACUAUAUAAGAAUCAAUGAAGCUGUCACUAUCACGAACCACCCCACGAUCUGGCAUAUUGGGUACAAUCACAGAUAAAUACGGUAUAAGCACCACGCCUACACAAUAUCUAUCAUUUACCCAUGGAUCCGAUGGAUAAACGCUAUACGAUCCUAAGCAUGUAUAUAGAUCCAAUCUAACUAAGCCAAGUACAUAACUAUGAUAAACUAAGAACAAUAUAAUCUUGAAUAUAAGCAAGCAGAGCAAAGUCAUAAGCAAUAUAUUGAAGUAGAACAAAGUCAUAUUCAUAAUAUUGAAGAACAAAGAUAAUUAGAAAGCAAUUAGAAGCACAAUUAGAGAAUUACCAAGAAUCCUCUUGACAGAUCCGGAAACCAAUCGAAGAUUGACUCCUUCUAGUUCUAAUCCUAUGUAGCUAUGCUAAUCUAGAUAUCUAAUUGAUGUGGUGGCUCUAAUCUUGAUCAGAGGCUUCUUCUCCCUUGAUGGAACAAUGAAUUAGGGUUGAGAGGCUCCCUCCUCCAGGGGCCAGGGGGUCUGGUUUUAUAGUCCCUUCAAGUGAAUAUGGGCCCUUGGAUCAAACCGACAUUGAUUGUAUGGUUUAGAUUCAUCCUUUAGGUCGGUGGAGAUCUCCCGCAAAGCAGAGUCCUGAUUGGACUCAGGAGGUGGGCGGGCGCCCUGACCAACUGGGCGGCCGCCCAGGGUCUGGCCCCGUUUCGCCUCCGCUUCGGUCUCGUGGCUUCUGGAGUCUUCUAGAUGUAAGAUAAUUGCGCAGCACGUUAAUACCUUUACGUAAUCCUGACAUGUGGGCCUUUCUUCCAUAUUUCCUGAUAACCCCCUGCAGAAAUAGACAAACACCAAAACUCGUGGAAUUCUGUCAGAUAAAACCCUAAGUCUGGAUCUUGAUUUCAUUUGGAUCCUUUUCUUUAUUUAUUUGAUAAUUAAAUUUGAUACUUAAGGACCGUCAACAAACUCCCCCAAGCUUACCUCUUGCUCGUCCCUGAGCAAGGAUAGACUCAGCAAUGGAUCAUAAGUAGUUGCAAUAUCUUUAAAAAUUGACGGUACACAUGCUUUUUAAAUAAGAUCUCAUCUCUGAGUUAGAGUAAACUGUCAAGACUUAAAACUUACUUACUUUACCUUCACCAUGGGACUUGUAACUGUCACUUCCGUCUUGAGUGGUUAAAAGAUAGAACAGUCUAGCCAAGUGCCAUGUCUCUUAUUCUUGAUCAUCUAUAGCUCUGGGGUUUUUGCAGAUUUUCAAAUAAAACUCAGAGAUUCCUUGUAUGAUUCUCUCAGAUCUCUCUUUUGUGGUAUUUUUGGAUCCUUACCAAGGCAUUGAUGGUAUAUGCCUUCUCUCAAGAUAUGUAGUAUUUGUGGUAUAAGGCAUAGUGACAUUGCCUUCUCUCUCACCCUACUCUAAUAAGGCUUUAAUAUCUGGAGCUCAUAGGUGGGAGAUAAAGUAUACAUACUCACAGGACAUUUAUUGCAUAGUCAAACCAUGGAUCCAAAGAAACAAAUCAAUAAGCCAAAUCAAGAUGUGCAUGUGUGGCGAAUGAAUGGUGUAUGGUGAUGAUGGUGAUAACAAUGGUGAAAACAAUGGUGGUGGAAGUCUAAUUCUACUUUGCUCUUUUUAGGGGAUACAUACCUUCCUUGCUUUUGAAACUUUAUGAGGAGAAUGAGAUGCUCUUCUUUUUCUUGUCUCUGAGGUGGGUAUCUUGUACCCCUAAUUCUACUGUCGGACAGUUGUCCAUUUUUACCUCUCGUCUCACUCUUUCUUUUCUUUCGAGGUUCCGAGCACUUGCUCCUUUUUAUUUUCUCGUAUAUUUUUUUUAUUUUCUUCUUUUUUUUAGAGCACUCAUCUCUUGAGAUAAUAUAGCAAGUGGUAGUAACAAGAUAACUUGAGCAUUUAUUUCACAAGGGGAAACAGAAAUAUUUUUGGUUAUUCUCUCCCGGAUUAGGAGUAGAAUAUUUUUAGGUGGUUCUGGAGAUGGAAAUGGAUGGAUAUAUGUGGAUGGUACUUCCGGAGUAGAAGUAGCAUAUAUGAGUGAACGUGCAAGUGAAAUCUUGAUUUAACCACAUGACAAGCUCCUAAGGGUCUACACAGCUUGACCACACUCAAUGCUCAUAAGCAGUAAAUAAUAAAUGUGUGGCUCAAAGUCUAGCAAGCAUGUAUAUAUGGCGGUGGUAGGAAUUUAAGCUCUCAUCAUACAGGAACUCAUCAUGCAACAUUUUAAAGAUUUUCAAAGAUAAAAUUCUCCAGAAUUCUAGCAUCUCUAGGAACAGAUAAACAGCAGCUCAACCUUCCCAUAUCGUAUCCGUUAACAACUUAGACUUCAGAUCAAGUUUUCAUCCCACAAGUUUAGGUCUAGGGCAAGCUUUAAAUUAUAACAGUUAUAUCUAAACUUGAGAGAGAACUUAGAAUGUGCAAAUUAGGUAGAGCAACUAUUCAUCAUAUCCAUGCUUAAGUUUUUGUUUAGAUACAGAUUAGCAUAGCCACUUUAUUUAUUUAUUAAACACACUAAGCAAAAGACAUAUAUAAGCAUAAAAUCUUUAUUUGGUUUUCCCAUAGUUUAUGUGUAUUUUAAUAUUCUAAAAUAAUAUAAGUAUAAAAAUAGAUAGAAAUACUUAUCGAGGUAAAUGGGGGUUUUCCCAUAGUUUAUGUGUAUUUUUAUUUUCUUUUUAGGAUAGUGCGAACAUGAUUAACUAAGUAAACUAGUUGAAAUAAUUAAAAGGGAAAGGAUAACUACUAAGUUUACCUCUUGGCAGGGCGUUCGGUGUUUUUAAGUCCUCCGAACGGGACUCUCCAAUUUCUUAAUCGUCCUGAGGUUCGUUGGGUGGCGAAGUCGUUACUUCUGGCAGCGCCUCCUCUUCUUGUAUAGUUAUCUUCAUUUUCCAUACCUGACUCGAUGCUUCAAUCUCCUCUGGAUAAUUCUGUUUAAACUCCACGUCUUCUGACCUUACAACUUCUCCUUCAUAGUCUGCCCAUCCGUCCUUGAUGAUCUGCCUCCUCUGGUUGCGGUUGCGUCUCUUUCUGACCUGCUUAGAUUCUUCAAUGAUAUAGUUAGGGUCAGUAAAAUAACGGCGUACCUUCUCUGAGGGGAAGUGCAUAUGGACUUCUCCGGUUCCAAUGUAGAUAAUUGCUUUAACGGUGCUGAGGAACGGUCUUCCAAGGAUGAUGGGUGGAUCGUACUCGUCUUCUCCUAUGUCAAUAACUUGAAAGUCUGUGUAGACAAAGUGAUCGUCUAUUUUGACUCGGACAUCGGAUAUUAUUCCUUGAACUUCUCGAAAUGUCUGAUCUGCCAUCUGGAGCUGAAUGUAUGUUGGUCUUAGUGGCAUGGUCCCGAACAAGAGCCGAUAAGUGACUGCGGCCAUUAUGUUGACGCCCGAUCCGGUGUCGCAAAUCGUCUUGUAGAAGUUAUAUCCAUUUACGGAGCAGUAGAUGCUUGGCAUUCCUGGGUCGUCCUUCUUGGUCAAACACGGUGACUUAAGUUGGUGAUCUUGGCCUCCAUGGACUACAGUGACCAUCUUAGCUGACUCGGUCCAUACUUGCUUGUUCCUAUUUCUCCUGUUGGUCCUCUUCCUUGAUUCACGUCUGGAUUGAUCUGGAAUUCGUGUAGUCUUGUUCUUGAAGAAAAAUGUCUCCUUGUAAGGACCUUGAUGUCGCCUAGAGGGGGGUGAAUAGGCGUACCAAAAAAACCUGAAACUCAAAACUCAAGUUGCGGAAGUUAAAUGCCUGUCGGUACCACCGACAGUUUGGGCCGGUACUACUGGUGUAAGACAGCCAGUACUACCGACGCAACUGUUGGUACUACCGACGCCCUAAGAGGGCUACGAAAUCAGAGUAUUUUGAGUUUCUAUUCCAGAUGUGAGAGUUACCCCACUCUCCUAGAUGUAGUAGAGGAUGAUGUUGAAGUUCCCUUGGCUUGGUUCUUCUCCAAAACAUAGAUCGGCCCUUGUUCACCUAUGAACGGGGUAGAUAGGAAGAACACAAAAAACACAAGAACAAGGGUAGUCGAAGCUACCUCCACAGCAAGACAUGAUAUUUAUCCCGUGGUUCAGCUCGCCACCAAGGCUUGCCUAUGUCCACGUUGUUGAGGAAGCCACACAGGCUUUUCGGGUCUCUUUCAACCCUAUCCUCGUUCUCAAGUCAAGAGAGCAAUCCCUUGAGAUGAGGGGUGAUUUCACUAGGUGAUUUGAGUGACUACAAACCUCCCGAGGCUACCACAUGAGUAGGAAGCUCUACGGGCAAUGCCUAGCCGGCUAGGAGCCUUGCUCCAAGAGUAACAAACACAAAUCCAACCGGCUUGACGAAGAAAUCAAGUGCUCAAGCUUUGCUUUGAUGUUUCUCUCACCAAGAAUCCUUCUCUCACUCAAUCCCUUGCAAGAUUUGAAGUUAGGAGCAAAGGGGAUACACGAGAGGGGCUUUUGGGAGCUAGAGAGGUGCCUUGGCUGAAGGUUUGGUCGAGUGGAAGAGUGAGCCAACGGUUAGAAAGAGGGGAAAGCUAUUUAUACAGGUGUUCAGAACAACUGCCGGUACUACCGGGGCAACCACCGGUACCACCGGCUACCUCAGAUCUAACGGUAAGAAGUCUCUAUGAUUUGCGAGAAAUAAGCCUACCGGUACCACCGGGCUUUUGUCGGUACUACCGACCAUUGCCGGUACCACCGGUGGAAGGCCGGUACCACCGGCAGUUCAAAUCUCCGCAACCAAAGUCAGCGCGGAUUUGGCCUGCCGGUACUACCGACGUUUCACACCGGUACUACUGGUGCUGGCCGGUACCACCGGCCCGAGCCCGGUACUACCGGUAGUUCAUUUUCUUGCAAAACUCAGGAGAAAGGGCUGGCAUUGCCGGUACGACCGGCCCUGAGGGUUGGUACUACCGGGUCACCUUGGCAGAGAAGAAAUUUCGUGAGUGCCUAAGAGUGCAAGUGUUAGAGUGUCUCUCUUUUGAUUAGUUUUAAUACUUGAGCACUCUAUCUUCCUCAAACCAACUAAAUUUGCAUCCCUCUUUAUAGUGCGGCAAAUCCUAAACUCAAGGUCAAAAGUAUAUAACCAAUUUAACCACUUGAGUCUUCAAUGUCUUCAUAUGCCACUUCUUCUCAAUAUCACUUCAUCAAGGAUGCAAUUAACUUUGUCUCAUCUUCUUUGAGUAAAUAUAGCUUGAGCAUGUGACUUUAAUCAUUUCAACAUAUGUGAGUUCAAUCCAUGACUUCAAGUCACUUCCAUUAAAGAUUUUGAUCCUCAACACAAUAUGACUCAUCAUAGCUUAAUUAGUACCUCGACUCAAUGCAAGUACUCUCUUCUUCACCUUAGCCAUGGUACCUCGGUCUACAAGCCAUUGCUUGACCUUCACCUUCGCUUAGUCCCUCGAAGCCUUUUCCUUGCUAUCUUCACUCUAUCAAGCCAUACUCAAGUCACAUCAUGUUAAGCAUCCAUUGAAAAAUUGUUUCUUCAAUAUUGUGAUUCUUGCUUGAAUAUCUUCUUGAUAUGAGCGUUAACAUUAAACAAGCUUCAGUUUACACCAACACACAACUUUGGUCUUCAUUUGAACAAUGUGUGAAAUACCAUCAAGUUUGCUUUCUUGUUGACCCUUUGAUACACUUAGCAAACUUGUUAGACCCUUAAUUGUGUUGUCAUUCAAUUCACCAAAACCCACUAAAGGGCUAGAUGCACUUACACUCCUUCUUCCCUUUGACGUAUAAACUGAUCUUGGCAGCUCUGGCGUAGAUGAUAGCUCCUGUGGUGUUCAAAAAUGGCCUUCCUAGGAUGAUAGGUGCUCUCUCAUCAUUUCCGGUCUCUACCACUACGAAGUCUGCUGGGGCAUACAAGGUACCAACUCGGACACAAAGGUUCCUCACUAUUCCUUUUGGAAAAGUUAUCGUCUGAUCUGCAAACUGCAAACACAUGGUUGUCUCUAAUAAAGGAUAUGUAAAGAAUUUCUCAUAGAGUACCCUGGGUAUAAUGUUGACGCUAUAGCCAAAGUCAUAGAGUGCUUCUGGAACAUCCACCAUGCCGAUGGAGAUCGGGAUGACGGGGCGUCCUGGAUCGCCUCUCUUGACCGGCAGACGGUCAGUAGAAAAUUCAGUGACGGGGUUACUCCAAUUACCUGCAUGAAACAUGUCUACAAGAUUUGCAGAUUCUAAUCCUUCCGUUUGUGAUGGUAUACCGGGGUUAGUAGUAGGAACAGCAGCAACUAUUUGAUUUAACUGAGAUUCAAUCAUUUUAUUAAAGCUAAUUUGAUUCUUGAUGGCAGUAGAGAAAUUAUCCAUUCUAUUAUUUAUAUUUUCUAGCAUUUUAUCAUUUGAUGCCAAUUUCUUAGACAGGUUAUCCAUUAGCUUUCCUUGAUUAGACACUAACUCUCUCAAAGGUGGAAAAUUAUUAUUAUUGUUGUAAGAAUUGUUACCUUGAUAAUUACCUGAGUAGUUAGGCCUCUGUUGAUUCCAACCUUGAUUUUGUUGAGGACGGUUGUAGUUGUUGUUGUUGUUGUUGAUGUAGUUCACAUCCUCAAGCAUCUUAGGGCAGUGGUUGCCUGAGUGUCCAGUGUCUCCACACUCCUCACAAGCCAAAAAUGCUUGUUGGGUAUUCUUAACAUCAUUACCAAAAGUAGACUAAGUUCUCUAAAUCUAGUAACGGUGCCAAAAAUGUCAAACCUAUCCCUCACACCACUUAAGCCAAGUUGUCAUCCCCAGCAUGAUAUAAGAGACGCGGUAUUGAAAUAUGCAAUUGCUCUUCUAAAUAAAUAAUGAAUUGGAUCUGCAAGCGCACAGAUUAAUACCGAUGUAGCAUUUUAACCGGGAAGUAUUCCAGGUAUCGUUAUUUAUAUUUUUACCACUGGGAAGGGAUUAGCAAUCAUCACUACUGAUUACAGAAUAGAAUAUGAGAUUGAGCAUCUAUCAUUGCAUGUAUAAUUGAGAACAUUAUAUCUAACUCUUCAUACAGGGAUAAGUGUCACAUAAAGGAUAUAUGAAAUAAUAAUAGUGACAAAGAUAAGUAAUCUGAUCUAGCCACAUAAUAAAUAUGAUAAGCACCUCAAUUAGAUACUCUAGAAAGUCAUUAGCAUGGUAUUAGAACGAACUACAAGAAUAUUCCCUAAGUUAUUCUCAACUAUAUAGUCUAGCAUAUCAUAGUUAGUGCAAGCAUACUUAGCAAUCAUUGCGAGACAAGACUACGCCCAUGCAUAGUGAUAUUAGCAAGGAAUAUGAGAAACAUAGCAAUCACUCCCCUGUAAUAAUGUUGCUCUGCCAGCCCAAUACACGAGAGGGGGACUAUAUAAGAAUCAAUGAAGCUGUCACUAUCACGAACCACCCCACGAUCUGGCAUAUUGGGUACAAUCGCAGAUAAAUACGGUAUAAGCACCACGCCUACACAAUAUCUAUCAUUUACCCAUGGAUCUGAUGGAUAAACGCUAUACGAUCCUAAGCAUGUAUAUAGAUCCAAUCUAACUAAGCCAAGUACAUAACUAUGAUAAACUAAGAACAAUAUAAUCUUGAAUAUAAGCAAGUAGAGCAAGGUCAUAAGCAAUAUAUUGAAGUAGAACAAAGUCAUAUUCAUAAUAUUGAAGAACAAAGAUAAUUAGAAAGCAAUUAGAAGCACAAUUAGAGAAUUACCAAGAAUCCUCUUGACAGAUCCGAAAACCAAUCGAAGAUUGACUCCUUCUAGUUCUAAUCCUAUGUAGCUAUGCUAAUCUAGAUAUCUAAUUGAUGUGGUGGCUCUAAUCUUGAUCAGAGGCUUCUUCUCCCUUGAUGGAACAAUGAAUUAGGGUUGAGAGGCUCUCUCCUCCAGGGGCCAGGGGGUCUGGUUUUAUAGUCCCUUCAAGUGAAUAUGGGCCCUUGGAUCAAACCGACAUAGAUUGUAUGGUUUAGAUUCAUCCUUUAGGUCGGUGGAGACUUCCCGCAAAGCAGAGUCCUGAUUGGACUUGGGAGCAGGGCGGGCGCCCAGUAGGACAGGGCGGGCGCCCUGUCUCUAGCCCUGAUUCGCCUCAGCUUCGGUCUCGUGGCUUCUGGAGUCUUCUAGAUGUAAGAUAAUUGCGCAGCACGUUAAUACCUUUACGUAAUCCUGACAUGUGGGCCUUUCUUCCAUAUUUCCUGAUAACCCCCUGCAGAAAUAGACAAACACCAAAACUCGUGGAAUUCUGUCAGAUAAAACCCUAAGUCUAGAUCUUGAAUUCAUUUGGAUCCUUUUCUUUAUUUAUUUGAUAAUUAAAUUUGAUACUUAAGGACCGUCAACAAACUCCCCCAAGCUUACCUCUUGCUCGUCCCUGAGCAAGGAUAGACUCAGCUAUGGAUCAUAAGUUGUUGCUAUAUUUUAAAAUUUUGACGGUACACAUGCUUUUAAAUAAGAUCUCAUCUCUGAGUUAGAGUAAACUGUCAAGAUUUAAAACUUACUUACUUUACCUACACCAUGGGACUUGUAACUGUCACUUCUGUCUUGAGUGGUUAAAAGAUAGAACAGUCUAGCCAAGUGCCAUGUCUCUUAUUCUUGAUCAGCUAUAACUCUGGGGUUUUUUGCAGAUUUUCAAAUAAAACUCAAAGAUUCCUUGUAUGAUUCUCUCAGGUCUCUCUUUUGUGGUAUUUUUGGAUCCUUACCAAGGCAUUGAUGGUAUAUGCCUUCUCUCAAGAUAUGUAGUAUUUGUGGUAUAAGGCAUAGUGACAUUGCCUUCUCUCUCACCCUACUCUAAUAAGGCUUUAAUAUCUGGAGCUCAUAGGUGGGAGAUAAAGUGUACAUACUUACAAGACAUUUAUUGCAUAGUCAAACCAUGGAUCCAAAGUAACAAGUCAUUAAGCCAAAUCAAGAUGUGCAUGUGUGGCGAAUGAAUGGUGUAUGGUGAUGAUGGUGAUAACAAUGGUGAAAACAAUGGUGGUGGAUGUCUAAUUCUACUUUGCUCUUUGAGGGGAUACAUACCUUCCUUGCUUUUGAAACUUUAUGAGGAGAAUGAGAUGCUCUUCUUUUUCUUGUCUCUCAGGUGGGUAUCUUGCACCCCUAAUUCUACUGUCGGACACUUGUCCAUUUUUACCUCUCGUCUCACUCUUUCUUUUCUUUCGAGGUUCCGAGCACUUGCUCCUUUUUAUUUCCUCGUAUAUUUUUUUUAUUUUCUUCUUUUUUCUAGAGCACUCAUCUCUUGAGAUAAUAUAGCAAGUGGUAGUAACAAGAUAACUUGAGCAUUUAUUUCACAAGGGGAAACAGAAAUAUUUUUGGUUAUUCUCUCCCGGAUUAGGAGCAGAAUAUUUUUGGGUGAUUCUGGAGAUGGAAAUGGUUGGAUAUAUGUGGAUGGUACUUCCGGAGUAGAAGUAGCAUAUAUGAGUGAACGUGCAAGUGAAAUCUUGAUUUAACCACAUGACAAGCUCCUAAGGGUCUACACAGCUUGACCACACUCAAUGCUCAUAAGCAGUAAAUAAUAAAUGUGUGGCUCAAAGUCUAGCAAGCAUGUAUAUAUGGCUGUGGUAGGAAUUUAAGCUCUCAUCAUACAGGAACUCAUCAUGCAACAUUUUAAAGAUUUUCAAAGAUAAAAUUCUCCAGAAUUCUAGCAUCUCUAGGAACAGAUAAACAGCAGCUCAACCUUCCCAUAUCGUAUCCGUUAACAACUUAGACUUUAGAUCAAGUUUUCAUCCCACAAGUUUAGGUCUAGGGCAAGCUUUAAAUUAUAACAGUUAUAUCUAGACUUGAGAGAGAACUUAGAAUGUGCAAAUUAGGCAGAGCAACUAUUCAUCAUAUCCAUGCUUAAGUUUUUGUUUAGAUACAGAUUAGCAUAGCCACUUUAUUUAUUUAUUAAACACACUAAGCAAAAGACAUAUAUAAGCAUAAAAUCUUUAUUUGGUUUUCCCAUAGUUUAUGUGUAUUUUAAUAUUCUAAAAUAAUAUAAGUAUAAAAAUAGAUAGAAAUACUUAUCAAGGUAAAUGGGGGUGCUCUCCCCCAAGCUGAAUUUUGACGUAAUUUCUCUUAAUGUAGCUAGCAGGUGGCAGAGGUGUAUUUGAAAGUCAGCAGUAUUCUGACAGCGAUUAGAAUGUCCUCCGUCUGCCAGUCUUCUUGAUUCUUAAAUUCUGUGGAGCUCAAAUAGACAACAAAGCUUGUGGAACUGAUUAAGUGUUAGCAUAAAUAUCUAGCCUUUAUUAUCUUGAGACUCCUCAAUAAAUAUUACUCCCUGUUUUUAUAUUUUUUUAUUUUAUAAAGCAGAAAUGAAAUUUUUAUUUUAUUUUUAUGCCACCACAGUGAAUGUAUUUAUGGGUUUUAUGCCACUCGUAUACUCACAUGGGGCUUACUGUUUUUUCACAUUUUUAUUUUCUUUUUAGGAUAGUGCGAACAUGAUUAACUAAGUAAACUAGUUGAAAUAAUUAAAAGGGAAAGGAUAACUACUAAGUUUACCUCUUGGCAGGGCGUUCGGUGUUUUUAAGUCCUCCGAACGGGACUCUCCAAUUUCUUAAUCGUCCUGAGGUUCGUUGGGUGGCGAAGUCGGUACUUCUGGCAGCGCCUCCUCUUCUUGUAUAGUUAUCUUCAUUUUCCAUACCUGACUCGGUGCUUCAAUCUCCUCUGGACAAUUCUGUUUAAACUCCACGUCUUCUGACCUUACAACUUCUCCUUCAUAGUCUGCCCAUCCGUCCUUGAUGAUCUGCCUCCUCUGGUUGCGGUUGCGUCUCUUUCUGACCUGCUUAGAUUCUUCAAUGAUAUAGUUAGGGUCAGUAAAAUAACGGCGUACCUUCUCUGAGGGGAAGUGCAUAUGGACUUCUCCGGUUCCAAUGUAGAUAAUUGCUUUAACGGUGCUGAGGAACGGUCUUCCAAGGAUGAUGGGUGGAUCGUACUCGUCUUCUCCCAUGUCAAUAACUUGAAAGUCUGUGUAGACAAAGUGAUCGUCUAUUUUGACUGAGACAUCAGAUAUUAUUCCUUGAACUUCUCGAAAUGUCUGAUCUGCCAUCUGGAGCUGAAUGUAUGUUGGUCUUAGUGGCAUGGUCCCGAACAAGAGCUGAUAAGUGACUGCGGCCAUUAUGUUAACGCCCGAUCCGGUGUCGCAAAUCGUCUUGUAGAAGUUAUAUCCAUUUAUGGAGCAGUAGAUGCUUGGCAUUCCUGGGUCGUCCUUCUUGGUCAAAAACGGUGACUUAAGUUGGUGAUCUUGGCCUCCAUGGACUACAGUGACCAUCUUAGCUGAAUCGGUCCACACUUGCUUGUUCCUGUUCCUCCUGUUGGUCCUCUUCCCUGAUUCACGUCUGGAUUGAUCUGGAAUUUGUGUAGUAUUGUUCUUGAAGAAAAAUGUCUCCUUCUUUCCUUUGAUGUAGAAACUGAUCUUGGCAGCACUAGCAUAGAUGAUAGCUCCCGUGGUGUUCAAAAAUGGCCUUCCUAGGAUGAUAGGUGCUCUCUCAUCAUUUCUGGUCUCAACCACUACGAAGUCUGCUGGGGCAUAUAAAGUACCAACUCGGACACAAAGGUUCCUCACUAUUCCUUUUGGAAAAGUUAUCGUCUGAUCUGCAAACUGCAAACACAUGGUUGUUUCUAACAAAGGAUAUGUAAAGAAUUUCUCAUAGAGUACCCUGGGUAUAAUGUUGACGCUAGAGCCAAAGUCACAGAGUGCUUCUGGAACGUCCACCAUGCCGAUGGAGAUCGGGAUGACGGGGCGUCCUGGAUCGCCUCUCUUGACCGGUAGACGGUCAGUAGAAAAUUCAGUGACGGGGUUACUCCAAUUACCUGCAUCAAACAUGUCUACAAGAUUUGCAGAUUCUAAUCCUUCCGGUUGUGAUGGUAUACUGGGGUUAGUAGUAGGAACAGCAGCAGCUAUUUGAUUUAACUGAGAUUCAAUCAUUUUAUUAAAGCUAAUUUGAUUCUUGAUGGCAGUAGAGAAAUUAUCCAUUCUAUUAUUUAUAUUUUCUAGCAUUUUAUCAUUAGACACCAAUUUCUUAGAUAGAUUAUCCAUUAGCUUUCCUUGAUUAGACACUAACUCUCUCAAAGGUGGAAAAUUAUUAUUAUUGUUGUAAGAAUUGUUACCUUGAUAAUUACCUGAGUAGUUAGGCCUCUGUUGAUUCCAACCUUGAUUUUGUUGAGGACGGUUGUAGUAGUAGUUGUUGUUGUUGUUGAUGUAGUUCACAUCCUCAAGCAUCUCAGGGCAGUGGUUGCCUGAGUGUCCAGUGUCUCCACACUCCUCACAAGUCAUGUGAGAGUCGUAGAUGUGCAUAACUUCUUUCUUGUCUCUAGCUCUAUCGUCGAGCUUCUUCAUGAGCAGGUCUAGCUUUGCAGACAGCAUGCCUACCUCCUUGAGCUGAUGUAUACCUCCACCUCUCUUGCGUGUCUGGGUCCUCUCUUCAUUCCAGCUUUGGUUGGACGCCAUCUUCUCCACAAGAGCUGUGGCUUGUGGUAUAGUAAGUGAUAAGAAUGCUCC
RNAcentral lists this long non-coding RNA (103412 nucleotides) under Sorghum bicolor (sorghum). RNAcentral describes it as "long non-coding RNA (SBIC_LNC017509)". The stretch from base 4982 to 5088 matches the Rfam family "Plant small nucleolar RNA R71". The record is from RNAcentral. Lineage: Eukaryota; Viridiplantae; Streptophyta; Magnoliopsida; Poales; Poaceae.